Molecule: long non-coding RNA, 120585 nt
Filed under: Zea mays
Lineage: Eukaryota; Viridiplantae; Streptophyta; Magnoliopsida; Poales; Poaceae
Description: long non-coding RNA (ZMAY_LNC005081)
Source: RNAcentral
UUUUGAUGGCGUCUUCACUCAAGUAAGAGGAGAACUUGCUGGCAAUGAAGUCAUGAAAAAUGAAAUAGUUCCUGCAGUCCCUUUUAGGAGGGUAUCCUUCUUCUUCUUCUUCGUUGAUAUAGAUGGAACUUGACAGCAGCAACUUAUUCCGCAUGUUGACUUGAACCAUCCAGAAAGGGUCACGGAACUUGUCCUCGAGGCGGAAGCAAAUGACAUCUGGAUCAACCAAGCUCACCACAGGAAAACUUGGCAUCACUCGUGGGAGGCGACUCUUGGCAGUGUCGUUGUAAAGAUUGAAGAACUCGCUGGCUCCCAUGGUCAAGUUGACAUCCUUCUCCCAUCUACCUUGGUGGAUAUCAACCAAAGUCCAUGUUUCUAUGGUGAAGGGAUAAGGAGAAGGGUGCUCUUUGGUAAUAAUGCAGACGAGCUUAAUGAUGCCACCAUCACAGACACUGAGACGCCGAAAGGAAUCAGGUUCACCGUCCUUGUACACACGGCCAGUCUUCAAAGCCUUAGAUGGGAGUGGUAUAUAACGGAGCCUGCUGUUGUUGUUGCUGCCAGCGAGGACAUCAAUGAGCAGCAUACCAUGGUAGUAGUCAACCCAGCACAAGCACCUCUCGCCAAUAGUGACGACGGCAUCAGUCUUAAACGAGUAGAGGCUGAUCUUCAUAUCGGCAGGGAUCUGCAGCUUCUCAACACUCCAUUUCAUUUCAGCAUCAGAGGCAGAAGGGGGAUGGUGCAGCAAGCAGAGUUGGACCUCCUGGUUGAAACGGUAGGUGAGAUCCGCCACCGUGAAUUCACCCUUGUCUCCAUGGCAGAGGAUGCCCAUAUCUUCUUCAAUCAUGGUCCGCUGUUGCUGGCGCCGGUGCGGUUGUAACCACUUAUCCAACUCGGGGUCGGUGCGUCCACCGCCGAAGCAAAGGGGAACCCGGGUGAAGCAAGGGGGAAGCCGAGUAAGGGACGGCGGCGACGAGGAGGACGAGUAGACAAAGUAAUCAUCAGGAAAGUAGAUCAUUCGGCUCCAGAAACAGGGAUCGUCGAAGGGGACAGACACCCGGAAUAGAAUGGAGUUGUGGUGGGCGGCGAUGACGACAGGCUCCUUCAUGCAGUCAAUGGCUGGAAUGCUGGUCCAGUGGACGUAGAGACGGGACACCGCGGGGGGGUCCGCGAUCCGGAGGGAGGCACGGAUCGGCCGGCCGACGCACUCGUGGGCGAGCGCCGAGGUCGUAGCGUCCCCGCACCGCUUCCGGCUGCGGUGGACGAUGCGGUCGAGGAUCAGCCAGCUAUGGUCUCCGGUCACCGGCGCCGAAGGAUCAGUCCACCAUGGAGCGGGCGGCGGCGGAGGCGACUUGCUCAGCUCCAGACCAGAAUCCCUCUCCGACGAGACACCUUUACCGCUCAGCUCCAGACAGGAAUCCCUCAUCGGAGAGACACCUUUGCCGUUGGGCGUGGGCUUAGCCCUGCGGCUUCGAGGACCUCCUUCCAUGAUGUCGGUGGAAUUGAGGAACGGGCAAACGCCGGUGGCAAAAGGGGGCCGUGCAGUCGACGCGGUGACCGGGACAGCACAGCAGAGUGGGGUCUGUAAAUGCGAUGGAAAGGUGCCCGCCGCCGCCGGAGAGAGAGAGGGGAAAGGUGCCCGCCGCCGCCGGAGAGAGAGAGGGGAAAGGUGUCCGCCGCCGCCGGAGGGAGAGGGGAAAGUGUAAGCGAGGACAAACGCUGAAGCCACUGGCCAAGGAUACGGGCGCGCAUCCCAUGCGAAAUGUUUGGCCUCUGGAGUUAUGCAGUGCCCACCGCACCCCGCUCGAGUAUUCUGCACACGGCAAAAUUUCUCUGGUGUGCUCUAUGUACUAUUCCUUUGCCCUCUGGAGUUAUGCAGUGCCCACCCCACCCCGCUCGAGUAUUCUGCACACGGCAAAAUUUCUCUGGUGUGCUCUAUGUACUAUUCCAGGCUGAGGCUGGUGGUUCCCCUACCUUAUUAGCUAGAGGAUUUGGAAGUGGACAGCCUGGAUCAGAGCAAUUUGAGAUGACAGUUCCUGAUAACAAUUUUUUUUUUUCUCUCGGUGCUAACGAUGUUGUUUUAGUGUACCAUUUUAUAUGUUCAACCAUUACCUGUAUUUCAUAGGUCGGUCUCAUUAUCGGAAAAGGUGGUGAGACAAUUAAAGGCAUGCAGACCAAAUCUGGUGCUCGUAUUCAGGUGGAUAUGUCGCUUGUCAUGGUGGCUUGCCAUCAUAAAACUUUUACAACUUGUAUACAUUGAGAGGUCUAAGGAGAUUUAACUUAGUUUUUUUUUGUAGUUAAUACCCCAACAUCCUCCAGAGGGUGUUACAUUGACUGAAAGAAUUGUACGUGUUACUGGGAAUAAGAAGCAGAUUGAAGCUGCAAAGGAUUUGAUCAAGCAAGCUAUGAAUCAGGUGAUGUGAUCUUCCUUUGUGAUUUUUUGGUAGUCGAUUUGUGUUUCCAUUGUUAAGUCAUGGUAGAUGCUGGUAUGAUACUAUAUGCUUUUAAUUGUUCAUGCUUUAUGUGAUUUUACUCUGAUGGUUGCUGAUGAUGUCAUCACAUUUCAUGAUUCAUUGUUCAUGAUAUGGUUACUUUAGUGAUCGUAGAUACCGAAUUCAAUGUUGUCUUCAUGGUAUUUUUUGACCAAGGCAAAUUCAACCUAUUGAGAACAUUGCCUUAUUACAAUGCUAUAAUGGACCAAUUGAUUUUUUAGCUUUGGGUUUCAUAAUAUGCCUGUUUUUAUCAUUGCAUACAUUUUUUACAAUUUUCCUGAUCAAGCCAAACUUGAGAAUCCAUGAUAAGCUUUGUAGCUUGCAUAUAUUUGGGUUCCAUAAUAUGCCUAUUUUAUCAUUGCACGCAAUUCAUAGUUUCAUACUGUCUUUCUGUUCAAACUAAGCUUGAGAAUUCCCUGAUGAGCUUUGUAGCUUAUAUAGGUGUCCCAAUUGUACUGAUAUUUUUGUUAUGAACAAAAAAUGAUUUGAUUUUGUACUUCAUUCAUACUGUGAAUAUAUUACUAUUUCUCUUGUAUGGGACCCUUGAAUUUUAAGUGUUGUUUUAAACUAAUCAAUCUUCUCUACACUUGGCCUUGUAUGAAGUAUCCAUGAUAUAUAGCAGAGCCUAAUUGGGCUGGAAGGUAAGUUUCUUUUAAUGUUUGAGUUCUCAUCUUUAGAUGAAAGACAAAUGGGACACCAUUGGCGUUUUCAAGAUUAUAAGGAUGUAAAACUUUUAAAUCGGAUUUAUUACCUCAAUGAAUAUUUCACUUUCUUUCCCUUGUCAAAAUGUCUUAUCCUGGGUGUUAAGCACUGCGAACUUUGGCUUAUUUUGCCUUCUUGUUUUUACUGGAUCAUACACGCUUCCAUUCUGUACCUGUUCGUUGGAGCAUAGUUCUUGAUUUAUGCAUUAAUGACAUAUGAUAUAUGAAUGGAAGAGUAAAAAAAUGAGUGCAUGGUCAUACGAUUCAGAAAUGAACUUUUGAGCUGUAAUACAUAGCAUAUGAUUCGUCUGGAAAUCUGGGUACUGAUUGAAUUCUUGAUCCCAUUAGCUUGACUAUUCUUCGUAGGAUAUACACUAUGAGUAGGACUUCUCAUCUAUCAGCCUUAACAGUAAACAUGGGCAUGCUUAAGCCAAUUGGAUCAAUGUCCAUGACUAUAGCUUUGCAAGUGUUGUAUACCAGCGGAUCAUCCAGUUGCUAGAUGAGAUAUGAUUCUGUUUCCUCCUGGUCAGGCUGGUUAUGCCUCCUCUGCGCCAGCGGCCAGCCAGAGCCUGCCUAUGGCCAGGCAGGAUACACCCAGCCACCUACAAAUCCUCCAAGUUAUGAUCAGUCUGCAGCACCAGCGGCGACUCAGAGCGGUUAUGCUGCGCCCCCUGCAAAUCCACAAUAGCCUGCUGCAGCAAAAGGGGUCUCGCCACAGCCUGCUGCUGCUGCUGCUGGAUAUGGUGCUAGCGGGCAGUGGACGGCAUGAGCUUUGUCUUCCCAACUUCGAUGACAGCAAGGUCAGGUUGGAUAUCCGCUUUUGGCGCGUGUUCGAAUGUUUGCAUCUUUUGGACGGUAUGUAUGAGCCUCGUCUUCCGAACUUCGAUGACAGCAAGGUCAGGUUGGAUAUCUGCUUUUGGUGUUUGCAUCUUUUGGAUGUCUGUGGACGCAUCAUGCAUGUAGGGCUUUACCCCGUUAUCGAAAGAGAUUGUAACCCCUUGAGUUGUGAUACUUGACAUCUACGAGUAGUUGCUUAAUGUACUUUUAAACAUUCUAUUCAGUUUGGAUGUUCCUUGUCUUGCUACUUCACAGCUUGCCAAGUCAGUAAUCUUAGGAUUCAUGUUUGGCUUGCUCUUUGGUCUUUGCUGUCGUUCCUGUAAAUAAAUAUUGGCGUUUAAUUUGGCCUUCUCUUACGUCGUUUAUGGGAUGAUGGGGUGCCGUUUCGAGUUGGCAAUAAUAGAUCUGUUGUUCAUCCAAACUCAGUUGGUUUUGUUUUGUAUUUGUUCCGAAUCAUGUUGGUACAGUUAGCAUGUGAAUGGACAAGCCAUUAGCCACGGUCUAUUUUUUUUGUUUGUUUGUUUGAAAAUGCCAUGUUUUUUGGUUUGCUUGAAAAUUGAAAUGAAAGCUAAAAGUUUUACCAUCUCUAUUUUAUACCACUUUCGUUCUCAAAUAUUUAUCGCUUCAUUUUUUAACUAAAUCGCGACAAAUAAAAUAAAAAAGAUGACAGAGUAUAUAAGGCUGGCUCUAGCAUAGACCACUAAACAGUCACGUCCGCUGAAUUUAGCGGACGGCAACGUACGUCCAACAAGGUACUCUAUACGAUACGCUAUAAUUUAGUGGUGGUGUCGAACACGGUAAAUGUGGCAGACUUCUAUCGUCUGCUAUCACCACCGUCGAGGCUGAUCAUUCGCUCCCGCGCGCGGCUCGGAACCUUCAACGCAUUGUCGGUUUUCCGUCCUCACUGUUCAACUCGGCAAGCUCUGGUGGUCCUGCUCCCCGUCGCAGAGGGUGCUGGUGCGAGAGGGACGGGAGCUGGUGGCAGAGCUCGGUACUCCUACACGCAGGGAUGGGUGACGAGCACAUGCGGCAUCAUCACUGUCAAGAUCAACAUCCCCACUGGAUAUUUGUUUUUAUUAUUAUUAUAUGUUCGUAGUGAAAAAUGUUAAUUACUUUUUUGAAUUAGGUACGUGAGCUCGAAUUCAAAUUACAUGAAAAAUAGAGAAUAAAUAUUGUAGGUAAUAGAUUCUAUUAACACUGUAGAUAUAGAGGAUCGAUUUUAGAGGACGUUGUUGGAGAUGAAGAAAAUAUAGAGGACGAAUUUUUUAGAGGAUGCUGUAAAUGAUAAAGAAUAUUACUUUAAAGGACGAAAUUUAGGAGACGUUGCUGGAGACAGCCUAAUACUAGAGCAAAAGGCGCCCUUACGGCCCCCCUAUCUGGUAUCAUACUAUUUAGAAAAUAAGAUAUCACAACCAAAAGUCUCCUAUCAAGCCUACACUGAUAGCAAUGCAAAGCACUCGCUCUGCCAUCAUUUUCUACUGGAUAUUUCUCGCUCACGUCAGCGCUUCGAUUUUCUCAAUGCACCUCAGGUGCAUCCACACCACGGGCAUUUUGCUCCACUUUGAUCACCUACAGUUACAAAGAGCAAAAAGAAACAAAAUUCAGUGGUCUAAGAUAUAAACUACAGACUGCAAGUUCAUAACCUGCUAUGCAUCAUACAAAAAGAUAUUACCUCCGUUCUUAAAUAUUUAUCAUCCGCUAGUUCAUUUUUGAACUAAACCGUGAUAAAUAAAAAAAGAACAAAAGAAAUAUAUUGUUGCACAUAUUAAAAACAUAGUAGCAUUCAAACCAUACAAGUUCAUCAUGAAUAAACAGAACAAACUGCAUCAGAGCACUACCAACCAGACACGGUCUAUCUCAGAUUCUAGCGUUCCAUGCCAAAAUACCUUCAUCCGAUAGCUGUUUUCAAAAACUUUCAGUUGCUCUAGAUCCUCUUCCAUUUGUAAUGGUUGGACUAUUGGUGGAAGUUCUAGAUAGAUCUUCAAAAAUCUUGAAUGAAAGCCCUGUGUGAGAGAGAGCAGUUAGUCAAUUAAUUAGCCAAAUGAAAGUCGGUUAAUCAAAGGACCAUGUAUCAAAUAUAAAUAAAUAAGCAUAAGCUUGAUAAGGUAUGCGAUUCCAAGAUGAAGAAGAUAUGGAUUUUUUGGAUUGACGUUCCCUGAUCUGAAAUGGUCAGGGCCAGAAGAUUUUCAUGUGAAAAAAUACAGUCAAUAUAAGAGUUAAAUAGCUAUUUGUGCCUCACUUAUUGAAUGGAAUCAGCCCUCUUAAAAAAUAUCACGUAGCCCAGAUUAUCCACAACACACUUCACUCUAUUCGUAUCGAAUGCAUCUUCUAGUUUCAGUGAAGUAACAGCUGUGCUGAAAACUGCAGUACUGAAUAUAAUACCAGAGUUCAUUUCUUGAAUGCGAAUAACUAUGAAAAUCGAAUAACUAUGAAAAUAUUAAUUAUUUACAUCUAAAACAUUGGUUUUGUAUGUGUAAGCAGUCAUUAACAUUCAUGAUAGAUCAAGAAAAAACAUACAGACUCAGCCUACCAGCCAGCUCCAAUGGAAAUAUCAACAGGUUCAUAGCCUCUGCAGUCAAACACCAUCAAACAAGUCUUCGUUUCUUUCUAGCUCUGCUCAAUAGUACUACCUCCAUUUUUAUUUAUUUGACGCUACUUAAUUCAAUUUUGUACUAACCGGCAACAAAUAAAAACAAGCGGAGGGAGUAAGUGGCAUCCACUGACCAUGAAUCAUCACAAUUGUUCCAUCUCUCCCACAAAGCUUGCACUGAGAGAAGACGACAGCUUACAUGGUUCAACAAAAUAUACAGUCGACACGCUAAAGAACCGAUAAUGCAAAAACCAUCACCCUGCCAAUGAUCACAAUACAAGAAAUCAUAUUAACAAAAAAGCAAUCCCAUUGCUUGUGAAUCAUAAAGCAUAUAUUUUCCUAGGUAACCUAGUUUGCAAAAUAGCAUGACCCUUGAGAAGGAACAAAUGAACAAUCCUCUGUUGUUGUCCUUUUACAAAAAUAUGCCUCCUGUCCACCCAAUUUUAAUCAUGAAUCAGUACCCCUCACAGAAUCCAACCCAACCUACUAAGCAAAUAACAUAAAAGAAGGAAAUUCAGAAGACUAAAGGAAUCUCAAUUAACCACGUCAUGAGUCAUCUCAUUUGCUGUCCUCAUAUCAUGUAGUACCAAAAUACGAAAAUGAAUGCAUUUUAAAAAUUGAAGAAGGCAUAGUAGGAGCAGCUAACAUCAGUGUCGAAAAAUCAAGUGACAUCAGUAAAAUCAAUUGCAUUCCUCAACUGAAUGUAGAUAAAGACACAUAGACCAAAUUAUUGGUGUUCAGAGAAAUCUAACAGAAAGCAAAUGCUCUCAAACAUCUAAAAGUCAAUAAAACAUAAUAUCAGUGGUCACUGCACAGUAUUAUGCACAUACAGGAAGCGAGAUCUUACAUCUACCACCGUCUUAUCAAUUUCACAUAUGCCAAUCUGCUCCACAGAGAUAUGUCGUGAAACCUAACACAGAACACCACCGUUCCCCUCCAAUAACCAACACAUGUGUAUCAUGAAACAAUUGAACGUUACAUCCAAUAAAUUUUAGAUAAUAUACAUAUUCAUCUGUGUACAUAUUCAUCAUUUUGAAAACUACAAAUACCAAAAAAUUCACCUAAUUAAUGAACCUGGCAGUACGACUGCAUCCUAACAAUUUUUUACUGCAGACUUCUCCAGGCAUUACAAGUUCAAACAAAUUACAAGACAAAAUUAUAUGAAGUAACCAAUGACAUAUUCUUAAAGAUGGUUUAAUUGAUGCAAAUAGCAUCAGAGCACACCUUUUAGUGCUAAAUGUACCAAAACAUGUAUGAUAAUAUCGUUAGCUAUGAUGCUAGCACGCAUUUCAUUUUUUGUCAACAAUAAUAUUGUAAGCGGCCAAUUGCAGUUUCGAUUCGAAUUUUUGGCAUCAAAAUAAAUAAAGCGUGCAUUCUACUUUUUUUUUGUUACCAACGCCAUCGCACCAGGCUUACCACCGGGAAAAAAAAUCUAUACAUACCGCAUGUGAACACCACCUUUUACAGCCCCUCACAUGCACCACUUAAAGGCCCACAAAGACAGAUCAAAAUUUACAAAAUAAUCUUUUAGUAAUUUAUUUUUUUCUUCUAUUUAUAUAUACCAGCAGCUGGUGUAUGUGAGGGGCUGUAAAAGAGAUUCUUUACAUCCCAGAUGUAAAGAAUUUUUUUUCCUACCAAUAGGCAAAACCCACAUUAGUAGUGAACUGGAACAACAAAGAGCAGUCCAUCAAAGAAGAGAGAUGGAAGGGACAUCAUACCUUCAAGCUUCCACGAAGGCAUCGUAGCAGCGAGACGGGACGCGAGGUCAGCGACGACAUGGGGGUUAGGUCGUUGCGGCUGCGUCGCGCGUGGCCACGUAGGUGAGGAGGGAGUCAUACCGCGGGCGGGAUCCGCAGCGGCAUGGUGAGGAUGGCGGCUAGGAGAAUGUACGCCGCGCAGACGAGAGAAUGUCAGUGUCAGGGCCGUUCCUGACUUUUCAAGGCCUUGAACGAAAUCCGAUAUGGAGGGUCCAUCCACACACAAAUAUAUAUAAUUAUACAUACAGUAUCGAAUAUUUAACAUAUAAAAAUUAUUAUGCUCUGUUUUGAUGCUUAUAAGAUAACAAAUGUAAAAUAUAGCUAAAAGCACUUACUUCUUAUUUGAUAUCAUUAAAAAUAUCUUCUAACAUUUUGUGAUACAAAGUCAUCGCUUAUAUCAUUGAGAUCAAUUUCAUCCAACAACUUUUUUUCGAUAUAUAGAAUCGUCAAGCCGUUUAACCUCUCUUAAGUUAUUGUUGACCAUAAAUAGUUCACAAAAAUAUUUCAAUUUUAAAAAGCUUCUCUCUGCCGAUGCAACCAUCAUGUGUAUAGUAAAUAAUACUCUCUCUAUAUCAAAAUAAAAUUUGUUUUGCUUCUUUAGUGGAUUCAUCAUCAUCUAGUUGAAUAUAAACAUAAAAAAUCAAGAGCUAAAACAAAUACUAUUUUUUAUCGGAUGGAGUAUUCGAUAAGCAAUUGAGACAUUAGUUUAACAAUCUAAAUGAGACUAGUUGAUAGCGCAUCGCUCUUUGCGUAUUUGUGUCUAGAAUAGAUAGGUUUAACAGGAAAAAAGUGUUAGCGUCUAGUGGCUAGGGGACCCUCUGAUUUUGGGGGCCUGGUGCGGCCGCACCCUUGGCACCCCCACAGGUACGGCCCUGGUCAGACAUACUGCCAUGGUCACCACAUAGGUUGGCAAGUGGGGAGGCAACUGGAGGUCAAUACAAGGCGAUGAAGCUGUUAGCAAGCAAUCAUAAGUGGAAAGGGAUGAACAAGACAACAGAAACAGACGCGGCAGAAGAGAAGGCUUAAGCGCAGUCGAGGAGAUCAAAGUGCGCCAGCCCCUGGCCAAAUAUAAAUGUGGUUGGGCCACGUUGGGCCAUGUAAUAUGGGCCUCAAUACUGAUACACUUGUGUGACCGCGUCCAUAUAUAAAUGGCGUGUAUCUGUACAGGAGAGGGUAUCGAAGAACAAAAAUAACAAUUCUAUUAUCGCCUUCCCUGCUAUCUUCUUCUUCCCCAUGUCAUAUCUUCCCGUUCUCCACACCUCUAGCGACUGUUAGUUCGUGCCCUAGCCGACAGAGUUGCUAACAGAGAAGAGGGGUGAGGUCUGUCAAGAAUGCCGCCAUGUCAAGUCGGAUUCCGCGCCGCCAUGGAGACAAACGGGGAGGGGUCACGGAAACUGCGGUGGCGCGAGGAGUAGCAUGCUUCGGGGCGACGACACGAGAAGGAGAGAGGAGUAUGUUAGGACACCCGAAGGAGAGACUACUAGGGAAUGGCAGGUGACACAGACGCCUCAGCUGAGAGAUCGAGAACCUCGAAGAAGAGAGGAGUAGGAGAAACAACAGUACCAUGCGUGCCGAUCCGAGCAGGGAGAGGGGCAGCGCGGAGAGGAAGAUGGCGGGAUGGGGCCGACGUUUGCUGCGGUGGUGCGGGGAGGAAUAGUAUGCGGAAGGGGGCGGUAGAACUUCUCAAAGGAUGCAAAUGCACUAGAACUUCUCAAUCACUCACUAGAAUGCGAUCUCAAGCAACAAGUAUGAGAGUUUGAGUUAGAGGAUCACAAAUGAGCUCAAUGUAUGCUAGGAGUGGUCAAGAGAGCCCUCACACACAAGCUCCAUUUCUAUUUAUAGCCCACAACUCAAACCUAGUCAUUAUGUGCAAAUAGCACAACUUCUGCGCACACAUGGACGGUCCACGCCCCAUGGCCGGACGGUCCAUCGUACCAGUAACGGCUAUAAAGACCGUUGAAACCUGUCAGUGCUGUCAGAAAAAGUCAAGCCUGGACGAUCCACCCUCCUGGGCCGGACGGUCCGGGACCUGUCAACAUGGAAUAUCAUAGCACUCGUCAGUUAAAACAAUCCGAGCGGAGUGUCCGCCAUUUUAUGGCCGGACGGUCUGCACAUGGACCACUUACCGUCCGGCUAAAAACCCCGGACAGUCCAUAGUGCAAGGACUCAAAAACACACUUUCCCUGCCCAAACUCAAUUCAGUUUAUGCGGACGGUCCAGCCUCCUGGCUUGGAUGGUAGCGAAGGGAGACAGAGACAAGGCGCCAGCAGACUUCUCUGACAGAGUCGCGGACGAGCUGGCCUCCUGGCUCGGACGUUCUACCAACCACAGAGUUGAUAUUUUUGCGCUUUUUCAAAAGAUUUUGUAUUUUAAAAAACGAAGCGUUGUUAGCCCUCAUGUAAAUGCAACCGUUUAUAUUAUACGAGGCACUAAGUUUUACACCGAUCAAGUUCAUUGACCCCUCUUAAUAGUACGACCGUCUACCCUAUUAAUCCGGUCAAUUUCUUCUCUAAACACCUGCUGACCGGCAAAAAACAAAACCUAUAUUUUUCCUUUGUCUUCUUCACUUGAUCGAUUAGUUUCAUCCAAUUUUCACACUAUUAAACGAUUGUGCUUGAGACUGAUUCAAUUUUUCUUUAGUUGAUCUAGUUGACAAAUUAUUAGCGGCUCCAUUCUGGACACUGAAACCAUGAUAUUAUGAACUAUGUAAUCCAGCAUUGAAUUUCCAAAAAUGGUAUCUAGAAUAAAAGGAGACUUUUCUGUACCUCUGGCAAAAAUAAUAGGUGACGCGGCUCUCAUAGGAAAUAAAUAUUUGACAUAAAGAGGAAGAGGCUCAAUGGGACACCCACAUGGAGUUUCUUUGCACUCUAAUGACAGGCCAAAUAUGAACGACAAAAAAAUGUCAAAGACAAGAAAAUAUAGGAAAGAAAUAUUUGACAUAAAAAGGAAGAGGCUCAAUGGGACACCCACGUGCAGUUUCUUGCCUACAUGUAUAGAUUAGUAGACUGUAGUAAAUGGUCCUUGAUGUCUGGUCAUUUCUAAGGAUAAAUUCUAAUCAUAUUUAACAGCAGUUGUGAAAUUCUUUAGCUUGUAAGUUCCCUUAACGACUGACAAACAUGCAUAUUAUUAUGAAGAGUACCGUAUUAGAACGGCGUAUUCAUUGAAUACAACAAGAAAAACUGAGAACUCUAGGAAUAAAUAAUACUCAUUAUUAUAAAUAAAAAUAAUUACAUCGUGAUACUAAUCUGCACAAGUGUGUUCCGAUUCCAUCUAUAAGAGACAUUUUUAAAGGAACUGAGCAUCAAUUCUGCAACUAACAGUAAAGUUUCUUUGAGUCUAGGUUGGGGAUCAAACAAUCACCUAUAAGAAAGGAUGUGGCGGAAAACUUAUGAUGCUGACAAUCCUUAGAAACCAAGUAGAUUCUAAAGAAAAGUUGCUUCUGCUGCUUCUCAUCUGAAGAGCUUGUUUCAAGUGUUGGUAGCUGGACUACUGGGUAACCAAAAGAAACCUGAGGGUUACCAAGCUCUCACCUAAUCUUUCUCUAGAAUUGCGCAUCUCGACAAGGGCCUUCACUAACUGAUGGGAAAGCAUGAUUCGGUAAUUUAGGCCCCCGAGCCAGAUGAUUUGACUGUAAUGAAAGGCAAAACAAAGGAACCAAUGUCACACCAAAUGCAUAUGGAGUAAACUUCAUGAAUCCGUUGUAAGGUUCUUUGCUUACUCGUGUCCUAUGAUUGUUUCUAGUGAACGCUCAUACUGCACAUAGACCAUUAGAAACCUGGUAUUCAUGAGGAUUUCUAGCACAUCGGAGUUCCUAUGCAACUCAUCACCUUCCUUGUCUUGAAGUCAGGUGGCUGCAGACGAAGCAUAAACUUGUUUGGUGCAAUGACAUGCAAAUCGAAUUGAACCCUGGAAAACAAAUCCUUUACUAUUGAAUAUUUAAGCUAACAAGAUUUCAUGUUUGUGCUCAAAGUAUAUAUGAUAAAGUGGAAAAGCAACAAAAAAAACACUAUGACUAACCUCAUGACGAGGUCAGAGAAGGCUCCCGAGCUGAACCCCUCGACCUGGACAUGGUCACAGAGCACGGUUGCAGUCCCUCGGUCGGAGCUCCGAUUACCAAUGACUAUCUGGGUACAUGACAAUCACCAUAGGACCUAGGAAGAAGCAUAGCGUUAUCCUGCAAGAAGCACACCAUGGCCAUCAAAUGCAGCACGGACAACACCUCAUACCAAGGAUCUGCCAAUGCCAUGGAUGUCUCCUGCACUCUAGUCAUGUAGUACUCUUAAAACAUUCAGAAGAACUUGCAUAGGUGCAUAUACAAGGGGACUCAAUUCUCACCUCAGCCACAUCUUCUUGGUUAGCCCGUACAAACUGCUGCAAUAUUGAUGUCCGAAUCAUGAUAAAUUAUCAGGAAAGCAAUUUUUUAGUGUAAACAGCAACAGUAGGGACAUUUCGCACGUAUAAUCACCUUCCACCAGUUCUAGCAGAGCCUGGAUAGAGGAGAUUAGCAGUGCUAGACCCUCUUGCAGAUCAAAGGCCACAAACAAAGCAAGAAUUCUGUUAUUCACAUUUAGUAUGAAUAACCACGGCAGGGUUCAUAUGCUACAACAACCAUUGUGCUCUUGUACCUAGAAUAAUUAGAGCAUUUGUGCCAGAAAUUCCAGUCACCUGAAAAAUUCAAGCGGUAGAAAAGAAAACAAACAAAAAAGGCAACUAAUGUACCAUUUUGCUUGUUAGAGUAAUAUGUUGGGAUUUUUUUUAUUGUAAACAGCACCUUAUCCACCAACUUAUUUUGAUGUCAAAAGGAACCCAAACAAGAUGAAUCCUGGAUAACAUCCUCUUUGGGGCAGAGGCGGGAUAUUGUACACCAAAGUUCAAACAUUGAAACAUAGCAAUUGCAAAGUGUAAAAAUCCAGAUUACCCUCACUACACAUGCUAAAUAAAUUCACUACAUAAUUAUUUAUCAGUGUAUUUAGUUGGGCUAGUAGCUUAGAUUCAUGCCAAAGUUUGAGUACCGAUUAAGGUUUCUCACACAUGACAAAGGCAGAGAAUUGGCAGUGGGCGUCUUCAAAAGAUUGUCAUUCGUUCAACAAAUCACUGUCGCUUGUUCACACUUUUGUGCCAUGCUCGCCUCUUUCACCUUCUACAUUGUCUCACUUAAUUCCCGACUGCAAGGAAGAAGAAAAAAACUGUCAUAAGGUGCUACAUAGAAAUUUUUAAUCUCUAGUUACAAACAACUGUGGUAGAACUUAAAUUACGCACAUAUAGUCAUAAUUCUUCUUCAUGUGAUAGAAAGUAUGCAAAAUAAUGAGCUAGCCAAAAGAAAGAAAUAUUUUUUUAUCAGAAACAGGUAUAAAACCAAGUUGGGUUGUUCAUCUUUACUACUCUAUUAAGAGUACAACGAAGGCGUCCACACCCCUUGCCCCCGCCUACUGCCGCCCGCGCGCCCCGCCUGCUCGCCCACAGGGCGAGGCAACGCCUCCGCCCCGACGCCCUCGUCUUACCCAUCAGCCGUGCAAUACCCACCCCCAGCCUUCGACCCAACAGAUGACGUGCGGCCGCCGCGCUGCGGCCGCCGCGCCCCGCCCGCUCGCGGCGCAUGCCCCUUGCCCCGCGUGCGUCGUCUCCCGUCACACCACCCCCUCGACCGCCUCGACGUCGGCGCGAGGCUCCAGGCCAUCGGGGACGAAUCCGGGCCAGGGCUCCCGAGCAGGCCACGGUCUACGACGAUGCCUACGAUCCCUGGACCCUGGAUGACACCGACGUGUGAGGUCCUACCCUGCCCCCACCCGCGUGUGUCGUCUCCCCUUGUGAACUUGUGAUCUAUUUUGUUUAGAUACUCUAUGAUUUGAAUUUUCCCUCUUUUUUUGUUAUUUGUCUUCCUUAACUAUAAUGAUUGUGAUAAACUUUAUUGUUGUGGAAUUUCUCAUCUAUGUUACAAGAUAGAUAUUCACCACUUUGAGGUCUGAAAUAAAACAUAAUAGCACUCCUAGGCUCACUUUGAGGUCUUAAAUAAAACAUAAUAGCACUCUUACAUGAUUACCACAUAGCUAUUUACCACUUUGAGGUUUGCAGGUCUCAGGCUCACUUUGAGAGGCUAGCAGAUUUGCUUACUUCAGAUAUUUUGAAGCCUUGUACCAAGCCAUCAAGGAGUAGGGUUGCAUCGGUCUUACUGCCAAUGAUGAUCCAUACAAUGCUAAUGAAAUGAGCCCAAGUGACCAAAGACAAAACCAUGUUUCAACAUCGAGAAAAAAGCCUAUUUCCCUCCCAAAAAGUGACAUAUGUCCCAAAAACCAUGUCUCCACUUUUCCCUCUUAUUGGUUGAUGCCUGACAUAUGUCCUGUUCAAACACAGUUUAUCACAUUUUUCCAUGCACAAAAAAUUAUUUUUCAAGAAAGAGACUAAGAGAGAAUGACGAUGAUAUGAUCCCAAGUCUUAAUUCAUGGUUCACCUGUAGUUCAACAAAUGACAAUGCAACAACUAACAGAGGGACAAUGCAACAACAAUUAGUGGGAGCCAGUUUCUCAUCCUAAAUUAUGUUGAGCACUAUUGAAGAAAAACGAAAAGUAUCAUAGUAAUCUGUCUAAAGCCAAUAAUAUAGUAAAAAAUGACAGUAAAGAAAUAUGGAUAGUGAAACAAAAAAAUAUUAGCGUUAUACACCCUCCUCCUAAUUAUAAGUCGUUUUAGCUUUUCUAGAUACAUAAAGGACUUAUAGUUUGGGCUGCAACAGGAGAGUGUAUAGCAAAAAAUAUCAAUAUUGUGCAACACAUGUAGAUACAACAUUAGGAAUCUUAUAUAAACUGACCAACAAAUUGUAAGAUGCAAGACCAGAGCGAUCCAUGGACAAAUGAAGGAGAGUCAAAAUAUUGAAUUAAUAUGAGUUAGUCUCAUUUAAUAGAUCUUUGACGGACUAAAGACUAAAACAGUUUAGUCCCUGUUUUAUUGCAACUUAUUUGCCAAUUUAGCUACUAAAUAAAACUAAAAUGAAUGAAUUAAUUUUUAGUCCCUAAAACCAAACGGAACGUGGAAUACUGCUAUUAAGAUCUCCAUCAUGAUCGUGACAAAGGUAAGAGCUGUGGUUGAGAAGAGCUUGAACUUUGUCGUGGUUCAGUUUGAUUUUUAACUUUUUCGUGCAGAAUACUCGAGUGGAGCCGUGAGGGUGGGGUGGGCUCUGAGAAAGGCAGAACUCCAGAGGGCAAAAGUGACAUUUCGCAUGGGGUUGUGUGGUCCGUAUCCUUGACCAUGGCUUCAACGUUUGUCGUCUCGUACACUUUCCCCUCUCUCCGGGGGCGGCGGGCACCGCAUUGACGGACCUCACCCUGUUGUGCUGCCCCGAUCACCUCGUCGACUGCACGGCCCCCUUUUGCCACCGGCGUUUGUCACUCAACACAUCUAACAAUCCCAACACCCGUUCCACAAUUCCACCGUCAUCAUCGAAGAAGUUCCCCGAAGCCACAGGGCUAAGCCCUCGUCCAACGGCAAAGGUGUCUCUCCGACGAGAGAUUCCGGUCUGGAGCUGAGCAAGUCGCCUCCGCCGCCGCCCGCUCCAUGGUGGACUAAUCCUUCGGUGCCGGCGACCGGAGACCAUAGCUGGCUGAUCCUCGACCGCAUCGUCCACCGCAGUCGGAAGCAGUGUGGGGACGCUACGACCUCGGUGCUCGCCCACGAGUGCGUCGGCUGGCCGAUCCGUGCCUCCCUCCGGAUCGCGGACCCCCCCGCGGUGUCCCGUCUCUACGUCCACUGGACCAGCAUUCCAGCCAUUGACCACCACGACUCCAUUCUAUUCCGGGUGUCUGUCCCCUUCGACGAUCCCACUUUCUGAAGCCAAAUUGUCUACUUUCCUGAUGACUACUUUGUCUACUCGUGCUCCUCGUCGCCGUCGUCCCUUACUAGGCUUCCCCCUUGCUUCACCCGGGUUCCCCCUUGCUUCGGCGGUGGACGCACCGACCCUGAGUUGGAUAAGUGGUUACAACCGCACCGGCGCCAGCAACAACGGACCAUGAUUGAAGAAGACAUGGGCAUCCUCUGCCAUGGAGACAAGGGUGAAUUCACGGUGGCAGAUCUCACAUAUCGUUUCAACCAGGAGAUCAAACUCUGCUUGCUACAUCAUCCACUUUUGCCUCUGAUGCUGAAAUGAAAUGGAGUGUUGAGAAGCUACAGAUCCCUGCCGACAUGAAGAUCAACCUCUACUCGUUUAAGACUGAUGUCGUCAUCACCAUCGGCGAGAGGUGCUUGUGCUGGGUUGACUACUACCAUGGUAUGUUGCUCAUUGAUGUCCUCACUGACAGCAACAGCAACAGCAGGCUCCGUUAUAUACCACUCACAUCUAAGGCUUUGAAGACUGAUCGUGUGUACAAGGACGGUAAACCUGAUCCGUUUCGGCGUCUCAGUGUCUGUGAUGGUGGUAUCAUUAAGCUAGUCUGCAUUAUUACUAAAAAGCACUCUUCUCCUUAUCCCUUCACCAUAGCAACAUGGACUUUGGUUGAUAUCUACCAAGGUAGAUGGGAGAAGGAUGUCAACUUGACCAUGGGAGCCAGCGAGUUCUUCAAUCUUUAAGACGACGCUGCCAAGAGUUGCCUCCCACGAGCAAAGUAACUAUUUUAAGAAUGAAUAUGCCAAAUUCAACUGGUUGUGCAAAGUGCUGCAUGCAAAAAACAAUGGCAUAGAUAAACUAAAUACAUGAGGAGAUGCAGUGAUACCUUUUGAUGGCGUCUUCACUCAAGUAAGAGAACUUGUUGGCAAUGAAGUCAUGAAAAAUGAAAUAGUUCUUGCAGUCCCUUUUAGGAGGGUAUCCUUCUUCUUCGUUGAUAUAGAUGGAACUUAACAGUAGCAACUUAUUUCGCAUGUUGACUUGAACCAUCCAGAAAGGAUCGCGGAACUUGUCCUCGAGGAGGAAGCAAAUGACAUCUGGAUCAACCAAGCUCACCACAGGAAAACUUGGCCUCACUCGUGGGAGGCAACUCUUGGCAGCGUCGUCGUAAAGAUUGAAUAACUCGCUGGCUCCCAUGGUCAAGUUGACAUCCUUCUCCCAUCUACCUUGGUGGAUAUCAACCAAAGUCCAUGUUGCUAUGGUGAAGGGAUAAAAAAGAAGGGUGUUCUUUAGUAAUAAUGCAGACGAGCUUAAUGAUGCCACCAUCACAGACACUGAGACGUCGAAACGGAUCUGGUUCACCGUCCUUGUACACACGGCCAGUCUUUAAAGCCUUAGAUGGAAGUGGUAUAUUACGGAGCCUGUUGUUGCUGUCAGUGAGGACAUCAAUCAGCAGCAUAUCAUGGUAGUAGUCAACCUAGCACAAGAACCUCUCGCCGAUGAUGACGACGGCAUCAGUCUUAAACGAGUAGAGGUUGAUCUUCAUGUUAGGAGGGAUCUGCAGCUUCUCAACACUCCAUUUCAUUUCAGCAUCAGAUGCAGAAGGGGGAUGGUGCAACAAGCAGAGUUGGACCUCUUGGUUGAAACGGUAUGUGAGAUUUGCCACCGUGAAUUCACCCUUGUCUCCAUGGCAGAGGAUUUCCAUGUCUUCUUCAAUCAUGGUCCGCUGUUGCUGGCGCCGGUGCGGUUGUAACCACUUAUCGAACUCGGGGUCGGUGCGUCCACCGCCGAAGCAAAGGGGAACCCGGGUGAAGCAAGUGGGAAGCCUAGUAAGGGACGGCAGCGACAAGGAGCACGAGUAGACAAAGUAGUCAUCAGGAAAGUAGACCGUUUGGCUCUAGAAACAGGGAUCGUCGAAGAGGACAGACACCCGGAAUAGAAUGGAGUUGUGGUGGGCGGCGAUGGCAACAGGCUCCUUCAUGCAGUCAAUGGCUGCAAUACUGGUCCAGUGGACGUAGAGACGGGACACCGCGGGGGGUCCGCAAUCCGGAGGGAGGCACGGAUCGGCCGGCCGACGCACUCGUGGGCGAGCGCCGAGGUCGUAGCGUCCCCGCACCACUUCCGACUGCGGUGGACGAUGCGGUCGAGGAUCAGCCAACUAUGGUCUCCGAUCGCCGACACCGAAGGAUCAGUCCACCAUGGAGCCGAUGGCGGAGGAGGCGACUUGCUCAGCUCCAGACCGGAAUGCCUCGUCGGAGAGACACCUUUGUCGUUGGGCGAGGGCUUAGCUCUGCAGCUUCGGGAACCUCCUUCGAUGAUGGCGUGGAAUUGUGGAACGGAUGUUGGGAUUGUUAGAUGUGUUGAGUGGCAAACGUCGGUGGCAAAAGAGGUCAUGCAGUCGACGGGGUGAUCAGGUCAGCACGGCAGGGUGGGGUCCAUCAAUGCGGUGUCCGCCGCCCCCGGAGAGAGGGGAAAGUGCACGAGACGACAAACACUGAAGCCACGGUCAAGGAUACGGACCACACAUCCCCAUGCGAAAUGCCACUUUUGCCCUCUGGAGUUCUGCCUUUCUCAGAGCCCACCCCACCCCCAUGGCCUCACUCGAGUAUUCUGCACGAAAAAGUUAAAAAACAAACUGCACCACGGCAAAGUUCAAGCUCUUUUCAACCAUAGCUCCGGCCCUUGUCACGAUCAUGAUGGAGAUCUUAAUAGCAGUAUUUCACGUUCUGUUUGGUUUUAGGGACUAAAAAUUAAUUCAUUCAUUUUAGUUUUAUUUAGUAGCUAAAUUGGCAAAUAGGUUGCAAUAAAACAGGGACUAAACUAUUUUAGUCUUUAGUCCUUCAAAGAGUGAUUAAAUGAAACUAACUCAUAUUAAUUCCAUAUUUUGCCUCUCCUUCAUUUGUCCAUGGAUCACUCUGGUCUUGCAUCUUACAAUCUGUUGGUCAGUUUAUAUAAGAUUCCUAAUGUUGUAUCUACAUGUGUUGCACAAUAUUGAUAUUUUUUGCUAUGCACUCUCAUGUUCCAGUCCAAACUAUAAGUCCUUUAUGUAUCUAAAAAAGCUAAAACGACUUAUAAUUAGAAGGAGGGUGUAUAACACUAACAUUUUCUUGUUUCACUAUCCAUAUUUCUUUACUGUCAUUUUUUACUGUGUAAUUGGCUUUAAACAGAUUACCAUGACACUUAUCGUUUUUCUCUAACAGUGCUCAGCAGAAUUUAGGAUGAGAAACUGGCUCCCACUAAUAGUUGUUGCAUUGUCCCCCUGUUAGUUGUUGCAUUGUCAUUUGUUCAACUACAAGUGAACCAUGAAAUUAAAAAGAUGUUCUGUUGGUCAGGCCUGAAAACUGAUGUGGAAUUAUUUGUGAAACAAUGUGCGGUUUGUCAGCAAGCCAAAAGUCCCAAGCAGUAUCCUUCUGGGUUACUUCACCCAUUGCCUGUGCCAGCAGGAGCUUGGCAAGACUUAACUAUGGAUUUUAUUGAGAAGUUACCCCGGUCAGAAGGAUAUGAUACUAUUUUGGUGGUGGUAGAUCGAUUCACCAAGUAUGCUCACUUCUUUCCCUUAAAGCACCCUUUCACUGCUCAGGGAGUGGCCCAAAUCAUGGUAGAUUCAGUAAUCAAGCUGCAUGGGGUGCCCAAAACAGUGGUAUCUGAUAGGGACAAGAUUUUUACAAGUGUUUUUUGGGAACAUUUGUUCAAGCUCUUGGAUAUUAAGCUUGCUUUAAGCACAACCUAUCACCCUCAGACAGAUGGGCAGAGUGAGCGAGUUAAUCAGUGUUUGGAGAUGUAUCUCAGAUGUGCUGUCCACUCCAACCCUCAGAAAUGGAAGUCUUGGCUAUCUUUAGCCGAAUUGUGGUAUAAUACCACUUUCCACUCAUCAUUGGGUUGUUCACCUUUCCAGGCCCUUUAUGGCUAUGAAGCAUUUGUUCUUGGCAUUCCUUUAGUCACAGGGCAGGAGGAUAAGGGAGCUGUCCAGUUUGUCCAGCACAGAGCUGAGCAUAUUGAGAUGUUGAAGGCCAAUUUGGCUAGAGCUCAACAGAGGUAUAAACAUUUUGCAGAUAAGAAGAGGGUUCCCAGGGAGUUUCAGGUCGGGGAACAUGUUUUGCUCAAGCUCCAGCCUUAUGCUCAAAAUUCUAUGGUCAAUAGACCUUGUCCCGAAUUCGCAUUCAAGUAUUUUGGGCCUUACACAGUGACUGAGAAAAUUGGGCCAGCUGCUUAUCGUUUGGCUCUUCCACCAGAAGCUCAGAUCCACCCUGUCUUCCAUGUUUCCCAACUCAAACCAUUUGUUCCAAAUUAUACUCCCGGUCUUUGAUACUCUUCCUCAACCAAUGGAUUUGGACAGGGGACCUCUGGCUACGGUAGAGAUCCUGGAUCGCAGUAUGGUCAAGAAAGGCAACGCGGCUACGGUCCAAGUGUUACUCAGAUGGUCUAGGUUACCAUCAUCAUGUGCUACUUGGGAGGAUUUUACUGUGGCCAAGAACAGAUUUUCAAAGGCCCUUGCUUGGGGUCAAGCAAGCUCUCAAGGGGGGCGGAUUGUCACAACCCUACCAAGAAUGCAUAGAUUCAGACAAGGUAACAAGAGGGCAAGAAGGAGGAUAGAGGGGAUAGAGUAAUACAGCUGUAAGCUGCUGGCAUCUAGCUAUAAUAACUGAUUAGAUCUGUCAUCUAGCUGUUAAUCCAGCUGUAAUAACUGAUUAGCAGUUAGAGUCACUUGGUGCUGCUAUAAAUCUGAGCAUUUGUAAUGGAGAAGACAUGAAAUGAAAUAAAACAGAAAUCAAGCUCCACCACAUACCUGUGUGAUUUAGCGUUCUUGUUUGAUUCGGCUAAAGGGGAGACCUCACGUCGGAUGAACCCUAGGGAGAGGGAAAGCCAUACCUGGGCACAGAUUCAAGGGUGGACGAAACCCUAGACCAGGGUUCCUCACAGGGAGAUCAGGAGAUGGCCACUGGGCUGACGCUUGCGGAGAUGGUGCUUGGGGAGAUGGCCGCUGGGCGCCUGGGGAGAUCCGGAGAUGGCCGCUGGGCGCCUGCCUGGGCGUGCGCGCCAGCGCGGUGCGCAUCGUGGGCGUGGGCGCGUGGCCCGACAGGCAGGGCCGCUGGCCGCUGGCCGCUGGCCGCUGGGCGUGCGCGAGCGCGCCUGGGGAGAUGGCCGCUCGCCGCUGGGCGCCUGGGGAGAUGGCCGCUGCCCGCUGGGCGCCUGGGCGGCCGCAGCGGUGCGCAUCGUGGCGUGGGCUAGUGGUGGCUGGCGGAGACCGGAGAAGACGAAUGGAUGGGCAGGAUGGCGGCGGCCGACGCCUCGGGAGUCGAGGAGAAAAUUGGAGACGGAAGAGGUGGGAACCCUAAACGGCUACAACUAAUUAAAUGGAGGCCGAGUUUUAGUUUUAAGUAGUGGUGCUUUAAGUAUAUUAGAGAUUAGAGAUAUAUAUUAUAUAGUUACAAAGAAAAAGAUAAAUAUAUUAAAAGUCCUUCUAUUUAUUGUGCCGAGUUUUAGUUUUAAGUUUUGGGUCUAAGUUUUGAAUACCAAUCUCCUAUUGUAAUUAUUCAUUCCCUUUAGAGAGGUAUACUUUACAAAGGAAUAAAAUCAUUAUUAGAAGUCAUUUUAUCUCAAAUCAUUUGAAGAAUUCUUUAAAUCACCAAAAUGAGAUUUUGGGUUUAUCUCUACUAACUAUUAAGUGAUUAGUGUAGACUGCCCCCGCUCCCGGCUCCACCCGCCCGCCCGACCGACCUUCGGAAACCUCGCCGCGCUUCCAACCGCCUCCUCAAACAACGCCGGGAACGCCGCAAACCCCGCCGCACGCAGCUCCUCUGUCGCCUCCACCGCACACAGCAUGCGCGCUCCUUCCCCGCUCUGUUCUCGUCCCCGCGUCGCUCAGAUCAGCUCUGGCUCCUCGCCACGCGCGCCCUCGGACCUCGACCCAUGGCGCGUCGAUCUGCCCGCGGCCCCGAGACCCUGCCCCGGCUCCCGACUCCUCUCCCUUCCCUACAUCGUGCUUCCACAAUAUCGCGCGCGGGGCCACGACAACGUCGUCAUCGCGGUGCCACACCAUCGCCGCGGGCCCCAACAUCGCCACAUCGUCGCCUCCGCUUUCCCGGUGUCGAUCGUGGUCGCCACCUCUACCAACAAAUGCCUCCAUUGCGUCGAGCUCUCAGCAUGGUCGCGCCAUGAAUUCCUCAACUCGCCAUGGGUCCGCGUGCGGGAGCUCCUCAACCAACUCUGCCAUCCCACCGCCCCCAUUGCGAUCCGCCAACCCAGCUCGAUCCCACGCGCCCCCCUUAAAAGCGGCGGCGCACACCCGUGUCUCCCUCACGCCCAACCACCCCCACCCUCGCCCUAGCCCCGAACCCUCCUGGCGGCGGCCCCGCACGUGCAGGCGCGCGACAUCCUAUCAGGAGGCGAGGGGGCUCUGAUGACCACCAGUGCCAACCUGAUGAACCAUCCGCCUCACCGCCUCGCUCCCCGUCAUGAAUAGGGUUCUGUCAUAUAUGUGCUCGAUUGGUCCAGGAACUCUGAGUCCCGCUUCCAGUUCAUUGUCAUGAAUACGCGCAACACUGGUACAUCGGCGAUCACUGCUCGGAUCGGUCACCCGCGGCGCCUAGACAGGAAUUCAAAUCACUACGCUAUUGUUGCAGAUGCCUUACAAUCUCUUUUGGUAAUGUGGAUUCUAUUUUCAUCCAUCUGUUUCUUAUUUAUUUCUUGUUAUAUAGGCUUGAUUAGCAUCCAGAUUCAGCGUUUGGCAUGGCAUGACUAUUCCUUAAAUAUUGCAAAUGGUCAUCUUCUUCGAAAUAUAAAAAGAAUGGUACCAUUUGUACCUACGGUAUUCGCCAUUGCUUUGACUGAAAACAAAAGUCUAUUUGUGUUAUGCGCUCAAACAUAUGUACACAAUAGACGUGCAUUACAUGUUCUAUAUAUCAGAUGCAUAUAAACUACUCCAUUUGUUUCUGCAGCUUGCCGAUUCAAAUUCCAAGGAUAUGAAGAGCAAGACAAAGGAGUGAAAUGACUUAAUCAAGCCAGACAUAGUAAGUUUUUGUGUUCACUGGUUGGAUAUCCGCUUUUGGCGCGUGUUCGAAUGUUUGCAUCUUUUGGACGGUAUGUAUGAGCCUCGUCUUCCGAACUUCGAUGACAGCAAGGUCAGGUUGGAUAUCUGCUUUUGGUGUUUGCAUCUUUUGGAUGUCUGUGGACGCAUCAUGCAUGUAGGGCUUUACCCCGUUAUCGAAAGAGAUUGUAACCCCUUGAGUUGUGAUACUUGACAUCUACGAGUAGUUGCUUAAUGUACUUUUAAACAUUCUAUUCAGUUUGGAUGUUCCUUGUCUUGCUACUUCACAGCUUGCCAAGUCAGUAAUCUUAGGAUUCAUGUUUGGCUUGCUCUUUGGUCUUUGCUGUCGUUCCUGUAAAUAAAUAUUGGCGUUUAAUUUGGCCUUCUCUUACGUCGUUUAUGGGAUGAUGGGGUGCCGUUUCGAGUUGGCAAUAAUAGAUCUGUUGUUCAUCCAAACUCAGUUGGUUUUGUUUUGUAUUUGUUCCGAAUCAUGUUGGUACAGUUAGCAUGUGAAUGGACAAGCCAUUAGCCACGGUCUAUUUUUUUUGUUUGUUUGUUUGAAAAUGCCAUGUUUUUUGGUUUGCUUGAAAAUUGAAAUGAAAGCUAAAAGUUUUACCAUCUCUAUUUUAUACCACUUUCGUUCUCAAAUAUUUAUCGCUUCAUUUUUUAACUAAAUCGCGACAAAUAAAAUAAAAAAGAUGACAGAGUAUAUAAGGCUGGCUCUAGCAUAGACCACUAAACAGUCACGUCCGCUGAAUUUAGCGGACGGCAACGUACGUCCAACAAGGUACUCUAUACGAUACGCUAUAAUUUAGUGGUGGUGUCGGACACGGUAAAUGUGGCAGACUUCUAUCGUCUGCUAUCACCACCGUCGAGGCUGAUCAUUCGCUCCCGCGCGCGGCUCGGAACCUUCAACGCAUUGUCGGUUUUCCGUCCUCACUGUUCAACUCGGCAAGCUCUGGUGGUCCUGCUCCCCGUCGCAGAGGGUGCUGGUGCGAGAGGGACGGGAGCUGGUGGCAGAGCUCGGUACUCCUACACGCAGGGAUGGGUGACGAGCACAUGCGGCAUCAUCACUGUCAAGAUCAACAUCCCCACUGGAUAUUUGUUUUUAUUAUUAUUAUAUGUUCGUAGUGAAAAAUGUUAAUUACUUUUUUGAAUUAGGUACGUGAGCUCGAAUUCAAAUUACAUGAAAAAUAGAGAAUAAAUAUUGUAGGUAAUAGAUUCUAUUAACACUGUAGAUAUAGAGGAUCGAUUUUAGAGGACGUUGUUGGAGAUGAAGAAAAUAUAGAGGACGAAUUUUUUAGAGGAUGCUGUAAAUGAUAAAGAAUAUUACUUUAAAGGACGAAAUUUAGGAGACGUUGCUGGAGACAGCCUAAUACUAGAGCAAAAGGCGCCCUUACGGCCCCCCUAUCUGGUAUCAUACUAUUUAGAAAAUAAGAUAUCACAACCAAAAGUCUCCUAUCAAGCCUACACUGAUAGCAAUGCAAAGCACUCGCUCUGCCAUCAUUUUCUACUGGAUAUUUCUCGCUCACGUCAGCGCUUCGAUUUUCUCAAUGCACCUCAGGUGCAUCCACACCACGGGCAUUUUGCUCCACUUUGAUCACCUACAGUUACAAAGAGCAAAAAGAAACAAAAUUCAGUGGUCUAAGAUAUAAACUACAGACUGCAAGUUCAUAACCUGCUAUGCAUCAUACAAAAAGAUAUUACCUCCGUUCUUAAAUAUUUAUCAUCCGCUAGUUCAUUUUUGAACUAAACCGUGAUAAAUAAAAAAAGAACAAAAGAAAUAUAUUGUUGCACAUAUUAAAAACAUAGUAGCAUUCAAACCAUACAAGUUCAUCAUGAAUAAACAGAACAAACUGCAUCAGAGCACUACCAACCAGACACGGUCUAUCUCAGAUUCUAGCGUUCCAUGCCAAAAUACCUUCAUCCGAUAGCUGUUUUCAAGAACUUUCAGUUGCUCUAGAUCCUCUUCCAUUUGUAAUGGUUGGACUAUUGGUGGAAGUUCUAGAUAGAUCUUCAAAAAUCUUGAAUGAAAGCCCUGUGUGAGAGAGAGCAGUUAGUCAAUUAAUUAGCCAAAUGAAAGUCGGUUAAUCAAAGGACCAUGUAUCAAAUAUAAAUAAAUAAGCAUAAGCUUGAUAAGGUAUGCGAUUCCAAGAUGAAGAAGAUAUGGAUUUUUUGGAUUGACGUUCCCUGAUCUGAAAUGGUCAGGGCCAGAAGAUUUUCAUGUGAAAAAAUACAGUCAAUAUAAGAGUUAAAUAGCUAUUUGUGCCUCACUUAUUGAAUGGAAUCAGCCCUCUUAAAAAAUAUCACGUAGCCCAGAUUAUCCACAACACACUUCACUCUAUUCGUAUCGAAUGCAUCUUCUAGUUUCAGUGAAGUAACAGCUGUGCUGAAAACUGCAGUACUGAAUAUAAUACCAGAGUUCAUUUCUUGAAUGCGAAUAACUAUGAAAAUCGAAUAACUAUGAAAAUAUUAAUUAUUUACAUCUAAAACAUUGGUUUUGUAUGUGUAAGCAGUCAUUAACAUUCAUGAUAGAUCAAGAAAAAACAUACAGACUCAGCCUACCAGCCAGCUCCAAUGGAAAUAUCAACAGGUUCAUAGCCUCUGCAGUCAAACACCAUCAAACAAGUCUUCGUUUCUUUCUAGCUCUGCUCAAUAGUACUACCUCCAUUUUUAUUUAUUUGACGCUACUUAAUUCAAUUUUGUACUAACCGGCAACAAAUAAAAACAAGCGGAGGGAGUAAGUGGCAUCCACUGACCAUGAAUCAUCACAAUUGUUCCAUCUCUCCCACAAAGCUUGCACUGAGAGAAGACGACAGCUUACAUGGUUCAACAAAAUAUACAGUCGACACGCUAAAGAACCGAUAAUGCAAAAACCAUCACCCUGCCAAUGAUCACAAUACAAGAAAUCAUAUUAACAAAAAAGCAAUCACAUUGCUUGUGAAUCAUAAAGCAUAUAUUUUCCUAGGUAACCUAGUUUGCAAAAUAGCAUGACCCUUGAGAAGGAACAAAUGAACAAUCCUCUGUUGUUGUCCUUUUACAAAAAUAUGCCUCCUGUCCACCCAAUUUUAAUCAUGAAUCAGUACCCCUCACAGAAUCCAACCCAACCUACUAAGCAAAUAACAUAAAAGAAGGAAAUUCAGAAGACUAAAGGAAUCUCAAUUAACCACGUCAUGAGUCAUCUCAUUUGCUGUCCUCAUAUCAUGUAGUACCAAAAUACGAAAAUGAAUGCAUUUUAAAAAUUGAAGAAGGCAUAGUAGGAGCAGCUAACAUCAGUGUCGAAAAAUCAAGUGACAUCAGUAAAAUCAAUUGCAUUCCUCAACUGAAUGUAGAUAAAGACACAUAGACCAAAUUAUUGGUGUUCAGAGAAAUCUAACAGAAAGCAAAUGCUCUCAAACAUCUAAAAGUCAAUAAAACAUAAUAUCAGUGGUCACUGCACAGUAUUAUGCACAUACAGGAAGCGAGAUCUUACAUCUACCACCGUCUUAUCAAUUUCACAUAUGCCAAUCUGCUCCACAGAGAUAUGUCGUGAAACCUAACACAGAACACCACCGUUCCCCUCCAAUAACCAACACAUGUGUAUCAUGAAACAAUUGAACGUUACAUCCAAUAAAUUUUAGAUAAUAUACAUAUUCAUCUGUGUACAUAUUCAUCAUUUUGAAAACUACAAAUACCAAAAAAUUCACCUAAUUAAUGAACCUGGCAGUACGACUGCAUCCUAACAAUUUUUUACUGCAGACUUCUCCAGGCAUUACAAGUUCAAACAAAUUACAAGACAAAAUUAUAUGAAGUAACCAAUGACAUAUUCUUAAAGAUGGUUUAAUUGAUGCAAAUAGCAUCAGAGCACACCUUUUAGUGCUAAAUGUACCAAAACAUGUAUGAUAAUAUCGUUAGCUAUGAUGCUAGCACGCAUUUCAUUUUUUGUCAACAAUAAUAUUGUAAGCGGCCAAUUGCAGUUUCGAUUCGAAUUUUUGGCAUCAAAAUAAAUAAAGCGUGCAUUCUACUUUUUUUUUGUUACCAACGCCAUCGCACCAGGCUUACCACCGGGAAAAAAAAUCUAUACAUACCGCAUGUGAACACCACCUUUUACAGCCCCUCACAUGCACCACUUAAAGGCCCACAAAGACAGAUCAAAAUUUACAAAAUAAUCUUUUAGUAAUUUAUUUUUUUCUUCUAUUUAUAUAUACCAGCAGCUGGUGUAUGUGAGGGGCUGUAAAAGAGAUUCUUUACAUCCCAGAUGUAAAGAAUUUUUUUUCCUACCAAUAGGCAAAACCCACAUUAGUAGUGAACUGGAACAACAAAGAGCAGUCCAUCAAAGAAGAGAGAUGGAAGGGACAUCAUACCUUCAAGCUUCCACGAAGGCAUCGUAGCAGCGAGACGGGACGCGAGGUCAGCGACGACAUGGGGGUUAGGUCGUUGCGGCUGCGUCGCGCGUGGCCACGUAGGUGAGGAGGGAGUCAUACCGCGGGCGGGAUCCGCAGCGGCAUGGUGAGGAUGGCGGCUAGGAGAAUGUACGCCGCGCAGACGAGAGAAUGUCAGUGUCAGGGCCGUUCCUGACUUUUCAAGGCCUUGAACGAAAUCCGAUAUGGAGGGUCCAUCCACACACAAAUAUAUAUAAUUAUACAUACAGUAUCGAAUAUUUAACAUAUAAAAAUUAUUAUGCUCUGUUUUGAUGCUUAUAAGAUAACAAAUGUAAAAUAUAGCUAAAAGCACUUACUUCUUAUUUGAUAUCAUUAAAAAUAUCUUCUAACAUUUUGUGAUACAAAGUCAUCGCUUAUAUCAUUGAGAUCAAUUUCAUCCAACAACUUUUUUUCGAUAUAUAGAAUCGUCAAGCCGUUUAACCUCUCUUAAGUUAUUGUUGACCAUAAAUAGUUCACAAAAAUAUUUCAAUUUUAAAAAGCUUCUCUCUGCCGAUGCAACCAUCAUGUGUAUAGUAAAUAAUACUCUCUCUAUAUCAAAAUAAAAUUUGUUUUGCUUCUUUAGUGGAUUCAUCAUCAUCUAGUUGAAUAUAAACAUAAAAAAUCAAGAGCUAAAACAAAUACUAUUUUUUAUCGGAUGGAGUAUUCGAUAAGCAAUUGAGACAUUAGUUUAACAAUCUAAAUGAGACUAGUUGAUAGCGCAUCGCUCUUUGCGUAUUUGUGUCUAGAAUAGAUAGGUUUAACAGGAAAAAAGUGUUAGCGUCUAGUGGCUAGGGGACCCUCUGAUUUUGGGGGCCUGGUGCGGCCGCACCCUUGGCACCCCCACAGGUACGGCCCUGGUCAGACAUACUGCCAUGGUCACCACAUAGGUUGGCAAGUGGGGAGGCAACUGGAGGUCAAUACAAGGCGAUGAAGCUGUUAGCAAGCAAUCAUAAGUGGAAAGGGAUGAACAAGACAACAGAAACAGACGCGGCAGAAGAGAAGGCUUAAGCGCAGUCGAGGAGAUCAAAGUGCGCCAGCCCCUGGCCAAAUAUAAAUGUGGUUGGGCCACGUUGGGCCAUGUAAUAUGGGCCUCAAUACUGAUACACUUGUGUGACCGCGUCCAUAUAUAAAUGGCGUGUAUCUGUACAGGAGAGGGUAUCGAAGAACAAAAAUAACAAUUCUAUUAUCGCCUUCCCUGCUAUCUUCUUCUUCCCCAUGUCAUAUCUUCCCGUUCUCCACACCUCUAGCGACUGUUAGUUCGUGCCCUAGCCGACAGAGUUGCUAACAGAGAAGAGGGGUGAGGUCUGUCAAGAAUGCCGCCAUGUCAAGUCGGAUUCCGCGCCGCCAUGGAGACAAACGGGGAGGGGUCACGGAAACUGCGGUGGCGCGAGGAGUAGCAUGCUUCGGGGCGACGACACGAGAAGGAGAGAGGAGUAUGUUAGGACACCCGAAGGAGAGACUACUAGGGAAUGGCAGGUGACACAGACGCCUCAGCUGAGAGAUCGAGAACCUCGAAGAAGAGAGGAGUAGGAGAAACAACAGUACCAUGCGUGCCGAUCCGAGCAGGGAGAGGGGCAGCGCGGAGAGGAAGAUGGCGGGAUGGGGCCGACGUUUGCUGCGGUGGUGCGGGGAGGAAUAGUAUGCGGAAGGGGGCGGUAGAACUUCUCAAAGGAUGCAAAUGCACUAGAACUUCUCAAUCACUCACUAGAAUGCGAUCUCAAGCAACAAGUAUGAGAGUUUGAGUUAGAGGAUCACAAAUGAGCUCAAUGUAUGCUAGGAGUGGUCAAGAGAGCCCUCACACACAAGCUCCAUUUCUAUUUAUAGCCCACAACUCAAACCUAGUCAUUAUGUGCAAAUAGCACAACUUCUGCGCACACAUGGACGGUCCACGCCCCAUGGCCGGACGGUCCAUCGUACCAGUAACGGCUAUAAAGACCGUUGAAACCUGUCAGUGCUGUCAGAAAAAGUCAAGCCUGGACGAUCCACCCUCCUGGGCCGGACGGUCCGGGACCUGUCAACAUGGAAUAUCAUAGCACUCGUCAGUUAAAACAAUCCGAGCGGAGUGUCCGCCAUUUUAUGGCCGGACGGUCUGCACAUGGACCACUUACCGUCCGGCUAAAAACCCCGGACAGUCCAUAGUGCAAGGACUCAAAAACACACUUUCCCUGCCCAAACUCAAUUCAGUUUAUGCGGACGGUCCAGCCUCCUGGCUUGGAUGGUAGCGAAGGGAGACAGAGACAAGGCGCCAGCAGACUUCUCUGACAGAGUCGCGGACGAGCUGGCCUCCUGGCUCGGACGUUCUACCAACCACAGAGUUGAUAUUUUUGCGCUUUUUCAAAAGAUUUUGUAUUUUAAAAAACGAAGCGUUGUUAGCCCUCAUGUAAAUGCAACCGUUUAUAUUAUACGAGGCACUAAGUUUUACACCGAUCAAGUUCAUUGACCCCUCUUAAUAGUACGACCGUCUACCCUAUUAAUCCGGUCAAUUUCUUCUCUAAACACCUGCUGACCGGCAAAAAACAAAACCUAUAUUUUUCCUUUGUCUUCUUCACUUGAUCGAUUAGUUUCAUCCAAUUUUCACACUAUUAAACGAUUGUGCUUGAGACUGAUUCAAUUUUUCUUUAGUUGAUCUAGUUGACAAAUUAUUAGCGGCUCCAUUCUGGACACUGAAACCAUGAUAUUAUGAACUAUGUAAUCCAGCAUUGAAUUUCCAAAAAUGGUAUCUAGAAUAAAAGGAGACUUUUCUGUACCUCUGGCAAAAAUAAUAGGUGACGCGGCUCUCAUAGGAAAUAAAUAUUUGACAUAAAGAGGAAGAGGCUCAAUGGGACACCCACAUGGAGUUUCUUUGCACUCUAAUGACAGGCCAAAUAUGAACGACAAAAAAAUGUCAAAGACAAGAAAAUAUAGGAAAGAAAUAUUUGACAUAAAAAGGAAGAGGCUCAAUGGGACACCCACGUGCAGUUUCUUGCCUACAUGUAUAGAUUAGUAGACUGUAGUAAAUGGUCCUUGAUGUCUGGUCAUUUCUAAGGAUAAAUUCUAAUCAUAUUUAACAGCAGUUGUGAAAUUCUUUAGCUUGUAAGUUCCCUUAACGACUGACAAACAUGCAUAUUAUUAUGAAGAGUACCGUAUUAGAACGGCGUAUUCAUUGAAUACAACAAGAAAAACUGAGAACUCUAGGAAUAAAUAAUACUCAUUAUUAUAAAUAAAAAUAAUUACAUCGUGAUACUAAUCUGCACAAGUGUGUUCCGAUUCCAUCUAUAAGAGACAUUUUUAAAGGAACUGAGCAUCAAUUCUGCAACUAACAGUAAAGUUUCUUUGAGUCUAGGUUGGGGAUCAAACAAUCACCUAUAAGAAAGGAUGUGGCGGAAAACUUAUGAUGCUGACAAUCCUUAGAAACCAAGUAGAUUCUAAAGAAAAGUUGCUUCUGCUGCUUCUCAUCUGAAGAGCUUGUUUCAAGUGUUGGUAGCUGGACUACUGGGUAACCAAAAGAAACCUGAGGGUUACCAAGCUCUCACCUAAUCUUUCUCUAGAAUUGCGCAUCUCGACAAGGGCCUUCACUAACUGAUGGGAAAGCAUGAUUCGGUAAUUUAGGCCCCCGAGCCAGAUGAUUUGACUGUAAUGAAAGGCAAAACAAAGGAACCAAUGUCACACCAAAUGCAUAUGGAGUAAACUUCAUGAAUCCGUUGUAAGGUUCUUUGCUUACUCGUGUCCUAUGAUUGUUUCUAGUGAACGCUCAUACUGCACAUAGACCAUUAGAAACCUGGUAUUCAUGAGGAUUUCUAGCACAUCGGAGUUCCUAUGCAACUCAUCACCUUCCUUGUCUUGAAGUCAGGUGGCUGCAGACGAAGCAUAAACUUGUUUGGUGCAAUGACAUGCAAAUCGAAUUGAACCCUGGAAAACAAAUCCUUUACUAUUGAAUAUUUAAGCUAACAAGAUUUCAUGUUUGUGCUCAAAGUAUAUAUGAUAAAGUGGAAAAGCAACAAAAAAAACACUAUGACUAACCUCAUGACGAGGUCAGAGAAGGCUCCCGAGCUGAACCCCUCGACCUGGACAUGGUCACAGAGCACGGUUGCAGUCCCUCGGUCGGAGCUCCGAUUACCAAUGACUAUCUGGGUACAUGACAAUCACCAUAGGACCUAGGAAGAAGCAUAGCGUUAUCCUGCAAGAAGCACACCAUGGCCAUCAAAUGCAGCACGGACAACACCUCAUACCAAGGAUCUGCCAAUGCCAUGGAUGUCUCCUGCACUCUAGUCAUGUAGUACUCUUAAAACAUUCAGAAGAACUUGCAUAGGUGCAUAUACAAGGGGACUCAAUUCUCACCUCAGCCACAUCUUCUUGGUUAGCCCGUACAAACUGCUGCAAUAUUGAUGUCCGAAUCAUGAUAAAUUAUCAGGAAAGCAAUUUUUUAGUGUAAACAGCAACAGUAGGGACAUUUCGCACGUAUAAUCACCUUCCACCAGUUCUAGCAGAGCCUGGAUAGAGGAGAUUAGCAGUGCUAGACCCUCUUGCAGAUCAAAGGCCACAAACAAAGCAAGAAUUCUGUUAUUCACAUUUAGUAUGAAUAACCACGGCAGGGUUCAUAUGCUACAACAACCAUUGUGCUCUUGUACCUAGAAUAAUUAGAGCAUUUGUGCCAGAAAUUCCAGUCACCUGAAAAAUUCAAGCGGUAGAAAAGAAAACAAACAAAAAAGGCAACUAAUGUACCAUUUUGCUUGUUAGAGUAAUAUGUUGGGAUUUUUUUUAUUGUAAACAGCACCUUAUCCACCAACUUAUUUUGAUGUCAAAAGGAACCCAAACAAGAUGAAUCCUGGAUAACAUCCUCUUUGGGGCAGAGGCGGGAUAUUGUACACCAAAGUUCAAACAUUGAAACAUAGCAAUUGCAAAGUGUAAAAAUCCAGAUUACCCUCACUACACAUGCUAAAUAAAUUCACUACAUAAUUAUUUAUCAGUGUAUUUAGUUGGGCUAGUAGCUUAGAUUCAUGCCAAAGUUUGAGUACCGAUUAAGGUUUCUCACACAUGACAAAGGCAGAGAAUUGGCAGUGGGCGUCUUCAAAAGAUUGUCAUUCGUUCAACAAAUCACUGUCGCUUGUUCACACUUUUGUGCCAUGCUCGCCUCUUUCACCUUCUACAUUGUCUCACUUAAUUCCCGACUGCAAGGAAGAAGAAAAAAACUGUCAUAAGGUGCUACAUAGAAAUUUUUAAUCUCUAGUUACAAACAACUGUGGUAGAACUUAAAUUACGCACAUAUAGUCAUAAUUCUUCUUCAUGUGAUAGAAAGUAUGCAAAAUAAUGAGCUAGCCAAAAGAAAGAAAUAUUUUUUUAUCAGAAACAGGUAUAAAACCAAGUUGGGUUGUUCAUCUUUACUACUCUAUUAAGAGUACAACGAAGGCGUCCACACCCCUUGCCCCCGCCUACUGCCGCCCGCGCGCCCCGCCUGCUCGCCCACAGGGCGAGGCAACGCCUCCGCCCCGACGCCCUCGUCUUACCCAUCAGCCGUGCAAUACCCACCCCCAGCCUUCGACCCAACAGAUGACGUGCGGCCGCCGCGCUGCGGCCGCCGCGCCCCGCCCGCUCGCGGCGCAUGCCCCUUGCCCCGCGUGCGUCGUCUCCCGUCACACCACCCCCUCGACCGCCUCGACGUCGGCGCGAGGCUCCAGGCCAUCGGGGACGAAUCCGGGCCAGGGCUCCCGAGCAGGCCACGGUCUACGACGAUGCCUACGAUCCCUGGACCCUGGAUGACACCGACGUGUGAGGUCCUACCCUGCCCCCACCCGCGUGUGUCGUCUCCCCUUGUGAACUUGUGAUCUAUUUUGUUUAGAUACUCUAUGAUUUGAAUUUUCCCUCUUUUUUUGUUAUUUGUCUUCCUUAACUAUAAUGAUUGUGAUAAACUUUAUUGUUGUGGAAUUUCUCAUCUAUGUUACAAGAUAGAUAUUCACCACUUUGAGGUCUGAAAUAAAACAUAAUAGCACUCCUAGGCUCACUUUGAGGUCUUAAAUAAAACAUAAUAGCACUCUUACAUGAUUACCACAUAGCUAUUUACCACUUUGAGGUUUGCAGGUCUCAGGCUCACUUUGAGAGGCUAGCAGAUUUGCUUACUUCAGAUAUUUUGAAGCCUUGUACCAAGCCAUCAAGGAGUAGGGUUGCAUCGGUCUUACUGCCAAUGAUGAUCCAUACAAUGCUAAUGAAAUGAGCCCAAGUGACCAAAGACAAAACCAUGUUUCAACAUCGAGAAAAAAGCCUAUUUCCCUCCCAAAAAGUGACAUAUGUCCCAAAAACCAUGUCUCCACUUUUCCCUCUUAUUGGUUGAUGCCUGACAUAUGUCCUGUUCAAACACAGUUUAUCACAUUUUUCCAUGCACAAAAAAUUAUUUUUCAAGAAAGAGACUAAGAGAGAAUGACGAUGAUAUGAUCCCAAGUCUUAAUUCAUGGUUCACCUGUAGUUCAACAAAUGACAAUGCAACAACUAACAGAGGGACAAUGCAACAACAAUUAGUGGGAGCCAGUUUCUCAUCCUAAAUUAUGUUGAGCACUAUUGAAGAAAAACGAAAAGUAUCAUAGUAAUCUGUCUAAAGCCAAUAAUAUAGUAAAAAAUGACAGUAAAGAAAUAUGGAUAGUGAAACAAAAAAAUGUUAGCGUUAUACACCCUCCUCCUAAUUAUAAGUCGUUUUAGCUUUUCUAGAUACAUAAAGGACUUAUAGUUUGGGCUGCAACAGGAGAGUGUAUAGCAAAAAAUAUCAAUAUUGUGCAACACAUGUAGAUACAACAUUAGGAAUCUUAUAUAAACUGACCAACAAAUUGUAAGAUGCAAGACCAGAGCGAUCCAUGGACAAAUGAAGGAGAGUCAAAAUAUUGAAUUAAUAUGAGUUAGUCUCAUUUAAUAGAUCUUUGACGGACUAAAGACUAAAACAGUUUAGUCCCUGUUUUAUUGCAACUUAUUUGCCAAUUUAGCUACUAAAUAAAACUAAAAUGAAUGAAUUAAUUUUUAGUCCCUAAAACCAAACGGAACGUGGAAUACUGCUAUUAAGAUCUCCAUCAUGAUCGUGACAAAGGUAAGAGCUGUGGUUGAGAAGAGCUUGAACUUUGUCGUGGUUCAGUUUGAUUUUUAACUUUUUCGUGCAGAAUACUCGAGUGGAGCCGUGAGGGUGGGGUGGGCUCUGAGAAAGGCAGAACUCCAGAGGGCAAAAGUGACAUUUCGCAUGGGGUUGUGUGGUCCGUAUCCUUGACCAUGGCUUCAACGUUUGUCGUCUCGUACACUUUCCCCUCUCUCCGGGGGCGGCGGGCACCGCAUUGACGGACCUCACCCUGUUGUGCUGCCCCGAUCACCUCGUCGACUGCACGGCCCCCUUUUGCCACCGGCGUUUGUCACUCAACACAUCUAACAAUCCCAACACCCGUUCCACAAUUCCACCGUCAUCAUCGAAGAAGUUCCCCGAAGCCACAGGGCUAAGCCCUCGCCCAACGGCAAAGGUGUCUCUCCGACGAGAGAUUCCGGUCUGGAGCUGAGCAAGUCGCCUCCGCCGCCGCCCGCUCCAUGGUGGACUAAUCCUUCGGUGCCGGCGACCGGAGACCAUAGCUGGCUGAUCCUCGACCGCAUCGUCCACCGCAGUCGGAAGCAGUGUGGGGACGCUACGACCUCGGUGCUCGCCCACGAGUGCGUCGGCCGGCCGAUCCGUGCCUCCCUCCGGAUCGCGGACCCCCCCGCGGUGUCCCGUCUCUACGUCCACUGGACCAGCAUUCCAGCCAUUGACCACCACGACUCCAUUCUAUUCCGGGUGUCUGUCCCCUUCGACGAUCCCACUUUCUGAAGCCAAAUUGUCUACUUUCCUGAUGACUACUUUGUCUACUCGUGCUCCUCGUCGCCGUCGUCCCUUACUAGGCUUCCCCCUUGCUUCACCCGGGUUCCCCCUUGCUUCGGCGGUGGACGCACCGACCCUGAGUUGGAUAAGUGGUUACAACCGCACCGGCGCCAGCAACAACGGACCAUGAUUGAAGAAGACAUGGGCAUCCUCUGCCAUGGAGACAAGGGUGAAUUCACGGUGGCAGAUCUCACAUAUCGUUUCAACCAGGAGAUCAAACUCUGCUUGCUACAUCAUCCACUUUUGCCUCUGAUGCUGAAAUGAAAUGGAGUGUUGAGAAGCUACAGAUCCCUGCCGACAUGAAGAUCAACCUCUACUCGUUUAAGACUGAUGUCGUCAUCACCAUCGGCGAGAGGUGCUUGUGCUGGGUUGACUACUACCAUGGUAUGUUGCUCAUUGAUGUCCUCACUGACAGCAACAGCAACAGCAGGCUCCGUUAUAUACCACUCACAUCUAAGGCUUUGAAGACUGAUCGUGUGUACAAGGACGGUAAACCUGAUCCGUUUCGGCGUCUCAGUGUCUGUGAUGGUGGUAUCAUUAAGCUAGUCUGCAUUAUUACUAAAAAGCACCCUUCUCCUUAUCCCUUCACCAUAGCAACAUGGACUUUGGUUGAUAUCUACCAAGGUAGAUGGGAGAAGGAUGUCAACUUGACCAUGGGAGCCAGCGAGUUCUUCAAUCUUUAAGACGACGCUGCCAAGAGUUGCCUCCCACGAGCAAAGUAACUAUUUUAAGAAUGAAUAUGCCAAAUUCAACUGGUUGUGCAAAGUGCUGCAUGCAAAAAACAAUGGCAUAGAUAAACUAAAUACAUGAGGAGAUGCAGUGAUACCUUUUGAUGGCGUCUUCACUCAAGUAAGAGAACUUGUUGGCAAUGAAGUCAUGAAAAAUGAAAUAGUUCUUGCAGUCCCUUUUAGGAGGGUAUCCUUCUUCUUCGUUGAUAUAGAUGGAACUUAACAGUAGCAACUUAUUUCGCAUGUUGACUUGAACCAUCCAGAAAGGAUCGCGGAACUUGUCCUCGAGGAGGAAGCAAAUGACAUCUGGAUCAACCAAGCUCACCACAGGAAAACUUGGCCUCACUCGUGGGAGGCAACUCUUGGCAGCGUCGUCGUAAAGAUUGAAUAACUCGCUGGCUCCCAUGGUCAAGUUGACAUCCUUCUCCCAUCUACCUUGGUGGAUAUCAACCAAAGUCCAUGUUGCUAUGGUGAAGGGAUAAAAAAGAAGGGUGUUCUUUAGUAAUAAUGCAGACGAGCUUAAUGAUGCCACCAUCACAGACACUGAGACGUCGAAACGGAUCUGGUUCACCGUCCUUGUACACACGGCCAGUCUUUAAAGCCUUAGAUGGAAGUGGUAUAUUACGGAGCCUGUUGUUGCUGUCAGUGAGGACAUCAAUCAGCAGCAUAUCAUGGUAGUAGUCAACCUAGCACAAGAACCUCUCGCCGAUGAUGACGACGGCAUCAGUCUUAAACGAGUAGAGGUUGAUCUUCAUGUUAGGAGGGAUCUGCAGCUUCUCAACACUCCAUUUCAUUUCAGCAUCAGAUGCAGAAGGGGGAUGGUGCAACAAGCAGAGUUGGACCUCUUGGUUGAAACGGUAUGUGAGAUUUGCCACCGUGAAUUCACCCUUGUCUCCAUGGCAGAGGAUUUCCAUGUCUUCUUCAAUCAUGGUCCGCUGUUGCUGGCGCCGGUGCGGUUGUAACCACUUAUCGAACUCGGGGUCGGUGCGUCCACCGCCGAAGCAAAGGGGAACCCGGGUGAAGCAAGUGGGAAGCCUAGUAAGGGACGGCAGCGACAAGGAGCACGAGUAGACAAAGUAGUCAUCAGGAAAGUAGACCGUUUGGCUCUAGAAACAGGGAUCGUCGAAGAGGACAGACACCCGGAAUAGAAUGGAGUUGUGGUGGGCGGCGAUGGCAACAGGCUCCUUCAUGCAGUCAAUGGCUGCAAUACUGGUCCAGUGGACGUAGAGACGGGACACCGCGGGGGGUCCGCAAUCCGGAGGGAGGCACGGAUCGGCCGGCCGACGCACUCGUGGGCGAGCGCCGAGGUCGUAGCGUCCCCGCACCACUUCCGACUGCGGUGGACGAUGCGGUCGAGGAUCAGCCAACUAUGGUCUCCGAUCGCCGACACCGAAGGAUCAGUCCACCAUGGAGCCGAUGGCGGAGGAGGCGACUUGCUCAGCUCCAGACCGGAAUGCCUCGUCGGAGAGACACCUUUGUCGUUGGGCGAGGGCUUAGCUCUGCAGCUUCGGGAACCUCCUUCGAUGAUGGCGUGGAAUUGUGGAACGGAUGUUGGAAUUGUUAGAUGUGUUGAGUGGCAAACGUCGGUGGCAAAAGAGGUCAUGCAGUCGACGGGGUGAUCAGGUCAGCACGGCAGGGUGGGGUCCAUCAAUGCGGUGUCCGCCGCCCCCGGAGAGAGGGGAAAGUGCACGAGACGACAAACACUGAAGCCACGGUCAAGGAUACGGACCACACAUCCCCAUGCGAAAUGCCACUUUUGCCCUCUGGAGUUCUGCCUUUCUCAGAGCCCACCCCACCCCCAUGGCCUCACUCGAGUAUUCUGCACGAAAAAGUUAAAAAACAAACUGCACCACGGCAAAGUUCAAGCUCUUUUCAACCAUAGCUCCGGCCCUUGUCACGAUCAUGAUGGAGAUCUUAAUAGCAGUAUUUCACGUUCUGUUUGGUUUUAGGGACUAAAAAUUAAUUCAUUCAUUUUAGUUUUAUUUAGUAGCUAAAUUGGCAAAUAGGUUGCAAUAAAACAGGGACUAAACUAUUUUAGUCUUUAGUCCUUCAAAGAGUGAUUAAAUGAAACUAACUCAUAUUAAUUCCAUAUUUUGCCUCUCCUUCAUUUGUCCAUGGAUCACUCUGGUCUUGCAUCUUACAAUCUGUUGGUCAGUUUAUAUAAGAUUCCUAAUGUUGUAUCUACAUGUGUUGCACAAUAUUGAUAUUUUUUGCUAUGCACUCUCAUGUUCCAGUCCAAACUAUAAGUCCUUUAUGUAUCUAAAAAAGCUAAAACGACUUAUAAUUAGAAGGAGGGUGUAUAACACUAACAUUUUCUUGUUUCACUAUCCAUAUUUCUUUACUGUCAUUUUUUACUGUGUAAUUGGCUUUAAACAGAUUACCAUGACACUUAUCGUUUUUCUCUAACAGUGCUCAGCAGAAUUUAGGAUGAGAAACUGGCUCCCACUAAUAGUUGUUGCAUUGUCCCCCUGUUAGUUGUUGCAUUGUCAUUUGUUCAACUACAAGUGAACCAUGAAAUUAAAAAGAUGUUCUGUUGGUCAGGCCUGAAAACUGAUGUGGAAUUAUUUGUGAAACAAUGUGCGGUUUGUCAGCAAGCCAAAAGUCCCAAGCAGUAUCCUUCUGGGUUACUUCACCCAUUGCCUGUGCCAGCAGGAGCUUGGCAAGACUUAACUAUGGAUUUUAUUGAGAAGUUACCCCGGUCAGAAGGAUAUGAUACUAUUUUGGUGGUGGUAGAUCGAUUCACCAAGUAUGCUCACUUCUUUCCCUUAAAGCACCCUUUCACUGCUCAGGGAGUGGCCCAAAUCAUGGUAGAUUCAGUAAUCAAGCUGCAUGGGGUGCCCAAAACAGUGGUAUCUGAUAGGGACAAGAUUUUUACAAGUGUUUUUUGGGAACAUUUGUUCAAGCUCUUGGAUAUUAAGCUUGCUUUAAGCACAACCUAUCACCCUCAGACAGAUGGGCAGAGUGAGCGAGUUAAUCAGUGUUUGGAGAUGUAUCUCAGAUGUGCUGUCCACUCCAACCCUCAGAAAUGGAAGUCUUGGCUAUCUUUAGCCGAAUUGUGGUAUAAUACCACUUUCCACUCAUCAUUGGGUUGUUCACCUUUCCAGGCCCUUUAUGGCUAUGAAGCAUUUGUUCUUGGCAUUCCUUUAGUCACAGGGCAGGAGGAUAAGGGAGCUGUCCAGUUUGUCCAGCACAGAGCUGAGCAUAUUGAGAUGUUGAAGGCCAAUUUGGCUAGAGCUCAACAGAGGUAUAAACAUUUUGCAGAUAAGAAGAGGGUUCCCAGGGAGUUUCAGGUCGGGGAACAUGUUUUGCUCAAGCUCCAGCCUUAUGCUCAAAAUUCUAUGGUCAAUAGACCUUGUCCCGAAUUCGCAUUCAAGUAUUUUGGGCCUUACACAGUGACUGAGAAAAUUGGGCCAGCUGCUUAUCGUUUGGCUCUUCCACCAGAAGCUCAGAUCCACCCUGUCUUCCAUGUUUCCCAACUCAAACCAUUUGUUCCAAAUUAUACUCCCGGUCUUUGAUACUCUUCCUCAACCAAUGGAUUUGGACAGGGGACCUCUGGCUACGGUAGAGAUCCUGGAUCGCAGUAUGGUCAAGAAAGGCAACGCGGCUACGGUCCAAGUGUUACUCAGAUGGUCUAGGUUACCAUCAUCAUGUGCUACUUGGGAGGAUUUUACUGUGGCCAAGAACAGAUUUUCAAAGGCCCUUGCUUGGGGUCAAGCAAGCUCUCAAGGGGGGCGGAUUGUCACAACCCUACCAAGAAUGCAUAGAUUCAGACAAGGUAACAAGAGGGCAAGAAGGAGGAUAGAGGGGAUAGAGUAAUACAGCUGUAAGCUGCUGGCAUCUAGCUAUAAUAACUGAUUAGAUCUGUCAUCUAGCUGUUAAUCCAGCUGUAAUAACUGAUUAGCAGUUAGAGUCACUUGGUGCUGCUAUAAAUCUGAGCAUUUGUAAUGGAGAAGACAUGAAAUGAAAUAAAACAGAAAUCAAGCUCCACCACAUACCCGUGUGAUUUAGCGUUCUUGUUUGAUUCGGCUAAGGGGGAGACCUCACGUCGGAUGAACCCUAGGGAGAGGGAAAGCCAUACCUGGGCACAGAUUCAAGGGUGGACGAAACCCUAGACCAGGGUUCCUCACAGGGAGAUCAGGAGAUGGCCACUGGGCUGACGCUUGCGGAAAUGGUGCUUGGGGAGAUGGCCGCUGGGCGCCUGGGGAGAUCCGGAGAUGGCCGCUGGGCGCCUGCCUGGGCGUGCGCGCCAGCGCGGUGCGCAUCGUGGGCGUGGGCGCGUGGCCCGACAGGCAGGGCCGCUGGCCGCUGGCCGCUGGCCGCUGGGCGUGCGCGAGCGCGCCUGGGGAGAUGGCCGCUCGCCGCUGGGCGCCUGGGGAGAUGGCCGCUGCCCGCUGGGCGCCUGGGCGGCCGCAGCGGUGCGCAUCGUGGCGUGGGCUAGUGGUGGCUGGCGGAGACCGGAGAAGACGAAUGGAUGGGCAGGAUGGCGGCGGCCGACGCCUCGGGAGUCGAGGAGAAAAUUGGAGACGGAAGAGGUGGGAACCCUAAACGGCUACAACUAAUUAAAUGGAGGCCGAGUUUUAGUUUUAAGUAGUGGUGCUUUAAGUAUAUUAGAGAUUAGAGAUAUAUAUUAUAUAGUUACAAAGAAAAAGAUAAAUAUAUUAAAAGUCCUUCUAUUUAUUGUGCCGAGUUUUAGUUUUAAGUUUUGGGUCUAAGUUUUGAAUACCAAUCUCCUAUUGUAAUUAUUCAUUCCCUUUAGAGAGGUAUACUUUACAAAGGAAUAAAAUCAUUAUUAGAAGUCAUUUUAUCUCAAAUCAUUUGAAGAAUUCUUUAAAUCACCAAAAUGAGAUUUUGGGUUUAUCUCUACUAACUAUUAAGUGAUUAGUGUAGACUGCCCCCGCUCCCGGCUCCACCCGCCCGCCCGACCGACCUUCGGAAACCUCGCCGCGCUUCCAACCGCCUCCUCAAACAACGCCGGGAACGCCGCAAACCCCGCCGCACGCAGCUCCUCUGUCGCCUCCACCGCACACAGCAUGCGCGCUCCUUCCCCGCUCUGUUCUCGUCCCCGCGUCGCUCAGAUCAGCUCUGGCUCCUCGCCACGCGCGCCCUCGGACCUCGACCCAUGGCGCGUCGAUCUGCCCGCGGCCCCGAGACCCUGCCCCGGCUCCCGACUCCUCUCCCUUCCCUACAUCGUGCUUCCACAAUAUCGCGCGCGGGGCCACGACAACGUCGUCAUCGCGGUGCCACACCAUCGCCGCGGGCCCCAACAUCGCCACAUCGUCGCCUCCGCUUUCCCGGUGUCGAUCGUGGUCGCCACCUCUACCAACAAAUGCCUCCAUUGCGUCGAGCUCUCAGCAUGGUCGCGCCAUGAAUUCCUCAACUCGCCAUGGGUCCGCGUGCGGGAGCUCCUCAACCAACUCUGCCAUCCCACCGCCCCCAUUGCGAUCCGCCAACCCAGCUCGAUCCCACGCGCCCCCCUUAAAAGCGGCGGCGCACACCCGUGUCUCCCUCACGCCCAACCACCCCCACCCUCGCCCUAGCCCCGAACCCUCCUGGCGGCGGCCCCGCACGUGCAGGCGCGCGACAUCCUAUCAGGAGGCGAGGGGGCUCUGAUGACCACCAGUGCCAACCUGAUGAACCAUCCGCCUCACCGCCUCGCUCCCCGUCAUGAAUAGGGUUCUGUCAUAUAUGUGCUCGAUUGGUCCAGGAACUCUGAGUCCCGCUUCCAGUUCAUUGUCAUGAAUACGCGCAACACUGGUACAUCGGCGAUCACUGCUCGGAUCGGUCACCCGCGGCGCCUAGACAGGAAUUCAAAUCACUACGCUAUUGUUGCAGAUGCCUUACAAUCUCUUUUGGUAAUGUGGAUUCUAUUUUCAUCCAUCUGUUUCUUAUUUAUUUCUUGUUAUAUAGGCUCGAUUAGCAUCCAGAUUCAGCGUUUGGCAUGGCAUGACUAUUCCUUAAAUAUUGCAAAUGAUCAUCUUCUUCGAAAUAUAAAAAGAAUGGUACCAUUUGUACCUACGGUAUUCGCCAUUGCUUUGACUGAAAACAAAAGUCUAUUUGUGUUAUGCGCUCAAACAUAUGUACACAAUAGACGUGCAUUACAUGUUCUAUAUAUCAGAUGCAUAUAAACUACUCCAUUUGUUUCUGCAGCUUGCCGAUUCAAAUUCCAAGGAUAUGAAGAGCAAGACAAAGGAGUGAAAUGACUUAAUCAAGCCAGACAUAGUAAGUUUUUGUGUUCACUGGUUCCCAUGAGGAUUAUGUAAUAAUUAUAGCUUUUAGUUUUCUUCUAUUACAUUAUGGGCACUAACAUUUACUACCAGGCAAAUAAUGCUUUUCAUAUUUAUAGCUGUUGAAACGAAAUUAAUUGGUUAAAGUUAAGGAUUUCUACUUGUUCAUGAUAUCUUGAGGUUCCUCUGGCUCUAGAUGUUUAAGAAAUUUAAGUAAUAUACACCAAUUUCAUGAGUACUGAAAGUCGCCUAGAGGGGGGGGUGAAUAGGCAAAUCUGAAAUUUAUAAAGUUUAAGCACAGCUACAAGCCGGGGUUAGCGUUAGAAAUAAAGUCGAGUCCAAAAGAGAGGGCCAAAACAAAUCAUAAGCAAAUAAAGUGGAUAACACGGUGAUUUGUUUUACCGAGGUUCGGUUCUUGCAAACCUACUCCCCGUUGAGGUGGUCACAAAGACCGGGUCUCUUUCAACCCUUUCCCUCUCCCAAACGGUCACCUAGACCGAGUGAGCUUUUCUCUUCAAUCAAACGGGACACUUAGUCCACUACAAGGACCACAACAACUUGGUGUCUCUUGCUUUGAUUACAAGUGAGUUGAGAACAAGAAUGGAGGAAGAAGAAAAGCGAUCCAAGCGCAAGAGCUCAAAAGAACACGGCAAAACUCUCUCUUCUAGUCACUAUUGCUUUGAGUGGAAUUGGGACUUGGAGAGAUUUUGAUUCACUCUAUUUGUGUCUUGUAUUGAAUGCACUAGCUCUUGUAUUGAAUGUGUUGGCUGAAAACUUGGAUGCAAUGAAGUUUGGUAGUUGGGGGUAUUUAUAGCCCCAACCACCAAAGGGCCGUUGGUGAAGGCUGCUGUUGAAGGGCGCAUCAGACAGUUCGGUGUGCCACCGGACACUGUCCGAUGCGCCAACCACGUCACCCAGCUGUUGGGGUUCGACCGUUGGAGCUCUGACAUGUGGGGCCACCGGACAGUCCGGUGGUGCAUCGGACAGUCACUGUUCACUGUCUGGUGCGCCAUCUGCGCCUGCUCUGACUUCUGCGCGCGCAGUCCGCGCACUGUAGCUCACUGUUCACCUUUUGCAGACGACCGUUGGUGCUGUAGCCGUUACUCCGCUUGGCACACCAGACAGUCCAGUGAAUUAUAGCGGAGGGCAAUUCCAGAAACCUGAAGGUGGCAAGUUCGGAGUGAUUCUCCGUGGUGCACCGGACACUGUCCGGUGGCACACUGGACAGUCCGGUGCGCCAGACCAGGGCAGCCUUCGGUUGUCUUUUGCUCUUUUUAUUUGAACCCUUUCUUGGACUUUUUAUUGGUUUGUGUUGAACCUUUGGCACCUGUAGAACUUAUAAUCUAGAGCAAACAGUUAGUUCAAUUAUUUGUGUUGGGCAAUUCAACCACCAAAAUCAUUUAGGAAAAGGUUUUAGCCUAUUUCCCUUUCAAUCUCCCCCUUUUUAGUGAUUGAUGCCAACACAAACCAAAGCAAAUAUAUAAGUGUAGAAUUGAACUAGUUUGCAUAAGGUAAGUGUAAUGGAAUUAAACCAAUUUAUACAUUCAAAGGAUAUGCAUGGAUUGCUUUAUUUAUUUUAACAUUUUGGACCACGCUUGCACCACUUGUUUUGUUUUUGCAAAUGUUUUGGAAAUUCUUUUUCAAAGUCUUUUGCAAAUAGUCAAAGGUAUAUGAAUAAGAUUUUGAGAAGCAUUUUCAAGAUUUGAAAUUUUCUCCCUCUAUUUCAAAUGCUUUUCCUUUGACUAAACAAAACUCCCCCUCAAUGAAAUUCUCCUCUUAAUGUUCAAGAGGGUUUUAGAUAUUAAUUUUGGAAGAGGUCAUACCAAUUUGAAAUUAUAUAAAAAAUAAGAUACCAGUUGAGAAACUUCUUUAAUACAAAUUGAAAAGACUAUAUUUUUGAAAUUGGUGGUGGUGCGGUCCUUUUGCUUUGGGCUAAUACUCUCUCCCCCUUUGUCAUAAAUCGCCAAAAACGGAUACUUGUGAGUGAAAUAUAAGCCCUUUUACUUUAUCUCCCCCUUUGGCAAAUAAUAUAUGAGUGAAGAUUAUACCAAAUUGGAGAGCGGUGCGGAGUGACGACGAAGGAUAAAUAAGUCAAUGGAGUGGAGUGGAAGCCUUGUCUUCGCCGAGGACUCCAUUUCCCUUUCAAUCUAUGACUUAGCAUGAAAUACACUCGAAAACUGCAUUAUCAUAACACAUGAAAGAGAGAUGAUCAAAGGUACAUAAAUGAGCUAUGUGUGCAAAACAUCAAUCAAAAUUCCUAGAAUCAAGAAUGUUUAGCUCAUGCCUAAGUUUGGUAAAAGUUUUCUCAUCUAAUGGCUUGGUAAAGAUAUCGGCUAAUUGUUCUUUGGUGCUAACAUAAGCAAUCUCGAUAUCCCUCCUUUGUUGGUGAUCCCUCAAAAAGUGAUACCAAAUGGCUAUGUGCUUAGUGCGGCUGUGCUCAACGGGAUUAUCCGCCAUGCGGAUUGCACUCUCAUUAUCACAUAGGAGAGGAACUUUGGUUAAUUUGUAACCAUAGUCCCUAAGGGUUUGCCUCAUCCAAAGCAAUUGCACGCAACAAUGACCUGCAGCAAUGUACUCGGCUUCGACGGUUGAAAGAGCUACUGAGUUUUGUUUCUUUGAAGCCCAAGACACCAGGGAUCUUCCCAAGAACUGAUAAGUCCCUGAUGUGCUCUUUCUAUCAAUCUUACACCCUGCCCAAUCAGCAUCUGAAUAUCCAAUUAAAUCAAAAGUGGAUCCCUUGGGGUACCAAAGACCAAACUUAGGUGUAUGAACUAAAUAUCUCAAGAUUCGUUUUACGGCCCUAAGGUGAACUUCCUUAGGAUCGGCUUGGAAUCUUGCACACAUGCAUACGGAAAGCAUAAUAUCCGGUCGAGAUGCACAUAAAUAGAGUAAAGAUCCUAUCAUCGACCGAUAUACCUUUUGAUCUACGGAUUUACCUCCCGUGUCGAGGUCGAGAUGCCCAUUGGUUCCCAUGGGUGUCUUGAUGGGCUUGGCAUCCUUCAUCCCAAACUUGGUGAGUAUGUCUUGAGUGUACUUCGUUUGGCUGAUGAAGGUGCCCUCUUGGAGUUGCUUCACUUGAAAUCCUAGGAAGUACUUCAACUCCCCCAUCAUUGACAUCUCGAAUUUUUGUACCAUUAUCUUAUUAAACUCUUCACAAGUGGAUUUGUUAGUAGACCCAAAUAUGAUAUCAUCAACAUAAAUUUGGCAUACAAACAAAUCAUUUGCAAUAGUUUUAGUAAAGAGAGUAGGAUCGGGUUUUCCGAAUUUGAAGCCAUUUGUGAUAAGAAAAUCUCUUAGGCAUUCAUACCAUGCUCUUGGGGCUUGCUUGAGUCCAUAAAGCGCCUUAGAGAGUUUAUACACAUGGUUAGGAUACUCACUAUCUUCAAAGCUGGGAGGUUGCUCAACAUAGACCUCCUCCUUGAUUGGUCCAUUGAGGAAAGCACUUUUCACGUCCAUUUGAUAGAGCUUAAAACCAUGGUAAGUAGCAUAGGCAAGUAAUAUACGAAUUGACUCAAGCCUAGCUACGGGUGCAUUGGUUUCACCUAAAUCCAAACCUUCGACUUGUGAAUAUCCCUUGGCCACAAGUAGGGCUUUGUUCCUUGUCACCACACCAUGCUUAUCUUGCUUGUUGCGGAAGACCCACUUGGUUCCUACAACAUUUUGAUUAGGACAUGGAACUAAAUACCAUACCUCAUUCCUCGUGAAGUUGUUGAGUUCCUCUUGCAUUGCCAACACCCAGUCCGAAUCCCUUAAUGCAUCUUCUACCCUGUAUGGCUCAAUAGAAGACACAAAGGAGUAAUGUUCACAAAAAUGAGCAACACGAGAUCAAGUGGUUACCCCCUUAUGAAUAUCGCCGAGGAUGGAGUUCACGGGAUGAUCUCGUUGUAUUGCUUGGUGGACUCUUGGGUGUCGCGGUCUCUCAUCAUCUUCCUUGUUUUGAUCAUUGGCAUCUCCCCCUUGACCAUUGUCCUCCUCUUGAGGUGGCUCUUCUUUAUCUUCAUUUUCAUCAUCUUGAGCUUGAUCCUCAUCUUGGGUUGGUGGGGAUGCUUGAUUUGAAGAUGAUGGUUUAUCUUGUUUAUGUGGAGGCUCUUCGGAUUCCUUAGGACACACAUCCCUAAUGGCACAUGUUCCUUAGUGCGACGCAUGGAGCCUCUUCAUCAUCUAGCUCAUCAAGAUCAACUUGCUCCAUUUGGGAGCCAUUAGUCUCAUCAAACACAAUGUCACAAGAAACUUCAACUAGUCCAGUGGACUUGUUAAAGACUCUAUAUGCCCUUGUGUUUGAAUCAUAUCCUAGUAAAAAGCCUUCUACAACCUUAGGAGCAAAUUUAGAUUUUCUACCUCUUUUAACAAGAAUAAAGCAUUUGCUACCAAAGACUCUAAAAUAUGAAACAUUGGGCUUUUUACCGGUUAGGAGUUCAUAUGAUGUCUUCUUGAGGAUUCGGUGAAGGUAGAGACGGUUGAUGGCAUAGCAAGCGGUGUUGAUUGCUUCCGCCCAAAACCGGUCUGAAGUCUUGUACCCAUCAAGCAUGGUCCUCGCCAUGUCAAGUAGAUUUCUGUUCUUCCUCUCCACUACACCAUUUUGUUGUGGCGUGUAUGGAGAAGAGAACUCAUGCUUGAUGCCCUCGUCCUCAAGAAAGCCUUCUAUUUGUGAGUUCUUGAACUCCGUUCCGUUGUCGCUUCUAAUCUUUUUGAUCCUUAAGCCGAACUCAUUUUGAGCCCGUCUCAACAAUCCCUUUAAAGUCUCCUGGGUUUGGGAUUUAUCCUGCAAAAAGAACACCCAAGUGAAGCGAGAAUAAUCAUCCACAAUAACUAGACAGUACUUACUCCCGCCGAUGCUUAUGUAAGCUAUCGGGCCGAAUAGGUCCAUGUGGAGUAGCUCAAGUGGCCUGUUAGUCGUCAUGAUGUUCUUGUGUGGAUGAUGACCACCAACUUGCUUCCCUGCUUGACAUGCGCUACAAAUCCUGUCUUUCUCAAAAUGAACAUUUGUUAGUCCUAAAAUGUGCUCUCCCUUUAGAAGCUUAUGAAGAUUCUUCAUCCCAACGUGGGCUAGUCGGCGAUGCCAGAGCCAACCCAUGUUAGUCUUAGCAAUUAAGCAAGUGUCGAGUUCAACUCUAUUAAAAUCAACUUAGUAUAGUUGACCCUCUAACACUCCCUUAAAUGCUACAUAAUCAUCACUUCUUCUAAAGACAGUAACACCUAUAUCUGUAAAAAGACAAUUGUAGCCCAUUUUACAUAAUUGAGAAACUGAAAGCAAGUUAUAAUCUAAAGAAUCUACAAGAAAAACAUUGAAAAUAGAAUGGUCAGGUGAUAUAGCAAUUUUACCAAGUCCUUUGACCAAACCUUGAUUUCCAUCCUCGAAUGUGAUAGCUCUUUGGGGAUCAUGGUUUUUCUCAUAGGAGGAGAACAUCCUUUUCUCCUCAGUCAUGUGGUUUGUGCACCCACUAUCAAUUAUCCAACUUGAGCCCCCGGAUGCAUAAACCUACAAAACAAAUUUAGGCCUUGUUCUUAGGUACCCAAACGAUCUUGGGUCCUUUCACAUUAGAAACAAGCACCUUGGAUACCCAAACACAAGUCUUUAAACCCUUGUGUUUGGCCCCAACAUAUUUGGCAACUACUUUGCCUGAUUUGUUAGUUAAAACAUAUGAAGCAUCAAAAGUCUUAAAUGAAAUGUUAUGAUUAUUUGAUGCAAUAGGAGAUUUUAGGCAAUUUAACAUGGGUUGAUUGCCUAGAGCUAGAUGCCUCACUCUUAUACAUAAAAGCAUGAUGAGAGCCAGAGUGAGACUUCCUAGAGUGAAUUCUCCUAAUCUUGUGCUCGGGAUAACCAGCAGGAUAUAAAAUGUAACCCUCGUUAUCCUGAGCCAUGGGAGCUUUGCCCUUAAUAAAGUUAGACAAUUUCUUAGGGGCAUUAAGCUUGACAUUGUCUCCCUGUUGGAAGCCAAUGCCAUCCUUAAUGUCAGGGCGUCUCCCACUAUAGAGCAUGCUUCUAGCAAAUUUAAAAUUUUCAUUUUCUAAGUCAUGCUCAUUAAUCUUAGCACUAAGUUGAGCUAUGUGAUCAUUUUGUUGUUUAAUUAAAGCUAGGUGAUCAUGGAUAGCAUCAACGUUAAUGUCUCUACAUCUAGUACAAAUAGUGACAUGAUCAACACUAGAUGUAGAGGGUUUGCAUGCAUUUAAUUCAUCAAUCUUAGCAUGUAAAAUAGCAUUUUCAUUCUUAAGAUUGGAAAUAGAAACAUUGCAAACAUUUAAAUCUUUAGCCUUAGCAAUUAAUUUUUCAUUCUCAAUUUUAAGGCUAGAGAGAGAUGCAUUCAACUUGUCAAUCUUAGUUAUCAUACUAGCAUUAUCAUUUCUAAGACUAACAAUUGAAUCAUCACAAUCAUCUAACUUCUCAACCUUAGCAAUCAAUUUAGCAUUUUCACAUCUAAGGUUGGAAAUAGUGUCAUGGCAAGUGCUAAGCUCACUAGUCAAUUUUUCACAUUUUUCUACUUCUUGAGCAUAAGCAUUUUUAACCUUAACAUGCUUCUUAUUUUCUUUAAUUAGGAAGUCCUCUUUGCUAUCCAAGAGUUCAUCCUUCUCAUGAAUGGCUCCUAUCAAUUCAUUUAGUUUUUCUUUUUGUUGCAUGUUGAGGUUGGCAAAAAGGGCAAGUAAAUUAUCCUCAUCAUCACUAGAGUUCUCCUCAUCACUAGAUGUUGCAUAUUUAGUGGAGGCUCUAGAUUUUACCUUCUUUUUGACGUCCCUUGCCAUGAGGCACUUUUGGCCGACGUUGGGGAAGAGGAGACCUUUGUUGACGGCGAUGUUUGUGGCAUCCUCAUCGGAGGAGGAGUCGGUGGAGCUCUCAUGGAGUCCCACUCCCGACAAACAUGGGCAUCGCCGCCCUUCUUCUUGUAGUAUCUCUUCUUUUCCCUCCUCUUUCCCUUCUUGUCGUCGCCACUGUCACUAUCACUUGAUAAUGGACAUUUAGCAAUGAAAUGACCGGGCUUACCACACUUGUAGCAUACUUUCUUGGAACGGGGCUUGUAAUCUUUCCCCUUCCUUUGCUUGAGGAUUUGGCGAAAGCUUUUGAUGAUUAAAGCCAUCUCCUCAUUGUCGAGCUUGGAGGCGUCGAUGGGGAGCCUACUUGACGUAGACUCUUCUUUCUUUUCUUCCGUCGCUUUGAAUGCGACGGGUUGCACCUCGGGUGUGGAGGUGGCGCCUCGUUCGAUGAUUUGUUUGGAGCCUUUGAUCAUUAGCUCAAAGCUCACAAACUUUCCUAUCACUUCCUUGGGAGACAUUAGUUUAUAUCUCGGAUCACCACGAAUUAAUUGAACUUGAGUAGGGUUAAGAAAAAAAGUGAUCUAAGAAUAACCUUGACCAUUUCAUGGUCAUCCCAUUUGGUGCUCCCGAGGUUACGCACUUGGUUCACCAAGGUCUUGAGCCGGUUGUACAUCGCUUGUGGCUCCUCCCCUUGAUGAAGCAUGAAGCGACCGAGCUCCCCCUCGAUCGUUUCCCUUUUGGUGAUCUUGGUCACCUCGUCUCCUUCGUGCACGGUCUUUAGCACUUCCCAAAUCUCUUUAGCACUCUUCAACCCUUGCACCUUAUUAUACUCCUCUCGACUUAGAGAGGCAAGGAGUAUAGUAGUGGCUUGGGAGUUGAAGUGCCGGAUUUGGGCUACCUCAUCCGAGUCAUAGCCUUCAUCCCCCAUGGAUGGUUCCUGCGCACCAAACUCAACAAUGUCCCAAAUGCUAGCAUGGAGUGAGGUUAGAUGGUGCCUCAUUUUAUCACUCCACAUACAAUAAUCUUCAUCGUCAAAAACUGGUGGUUUGCCUAGUGGGAUGGAAAGUAAAGGAGUGCGUUUGGAAAUACAAGGAUAGCGUAAGGGGAUCUUACUAAACUUCUUGCGCUCAUGGCGCUUAGAAGUGACGGACGGCGUGUCGGAGCCGGAGGUGGAAGGCGACGAAGAAUCGGUCUCGUAGUAGACCACUUUCUUCAUUUUCUUCUUCUUGUCGCCACUCUGGUGCGACUUGACGAGGGGAGGUGAUUCCUCUCUCUUCUUGUUGCCGGACUCUCCCUCCGGUGUGGCUUGUGGCGGGCUUCUCGCCGGUCACCAUCUCCUUCUUGGCGUGAGCUCCCGACAUAACUUCGAGCGGUUAGACUCUAAUGAAGUACCGGGUUCUGAUACCAAUUGAAAGUCGCCUAGAGGGGGGUGAAUAGGCAAAUCUGAAAUUUAUAAAGUUUAAGCACAACUACAAGCCGGUGUUAGCGUUAGAAAUAAAGUCGAGUCCAAAAGAGAGGGCCAAAACAAAUCACAAGCAAAUAAAGCGGAUGACAUAGUGAUUUGUUUUACCGAGGUUCGGUUCUUGCAAACCUACUCCCCGUUGAGGUGGUCACAAAGACCGGGUCUCUUUCGACCCUUUCCCUCUCCCAAACGAUCACCUAGACCGAGUGAGUUUUUCUCUUCAAUCAAACGGGACACUUAGUCCACUACAAGGACCACCACAACUUGGUGUCUCUUGCUCUGAUUACAAGUGAGUUGAGAACAAGAAUGGAGGAAGAAGAAAAGCGAUCCAAGCGCAAGAGCUCAAAAGAACACAACAAAACUCUCUCUUCUAGUCACUAUUGCUUUGAGUGGAAUCGGGACUUGGAGAGAUUUUGAUUUACUCUAUUUGUGUCUUGUAUUGAAUGCACUAGCUCUUGUAUUGAAUGUGUUGGCUAAAAAUUUGGAUGCAAUGAAGUUUGGUGGUUGGGGGGUAUUUAUAGCUCCAACCACCAAAGUGGCCGUUGGUGAAGGCUGCUGUCGAAGGGCGCACCGGACAGUCCGGUGCGCCAGCCACGUCACCCAGCCGUUGGGGUUCGACCGUUGGAGCUCUGACAUGUGGGGCCACUGGACAGUCACUGUUCACUGUCCGGUGCGCCAUCUGCGCCUGCUUCGACUUCUGCGCGCGCAGUCCGCGCACUGUAGCUCAUUGUUCACCUUUUGCAGACGACUGUUGGCGCUGUAGUCGUUACUCCGCUUAGCACACCGGACAGUCCAAUGAAUUAUAGCGGAGGGCAAUUCCAGAAACCCGAAGGUGGCAAGUUCGAAGUGAUUCUCCCUGGUGCACCUGACAUUGUCCGGUGGUGCACCAGACACUGUCUGGUGGCACACCGGACAGUCUGGUACGCCAGACCAGGGCAGCCUUUGGUUGUAUUUUGCUCUUUUUAUUUGAACCCUUUCUUGGACUUUUUAUUGGUUUGUGUUGAACCUUUGGCACCUGUAGAACUUAUAAUCUAGAGCAAACUAGUUAGUUCAAUUAUUUGUGUUGGGCAAUUCAACCACCAAAAUCAUUUAGGAAAAGGUUUUAGCUUAUUUCCCUUUCAAGUACACUUCACUUGCUUAUGUAAAUUUAAUGGCAUGGUAAGGAGAUAAUGAUCCAGGCCUUUCUCUUUGAUUUUUUGUUUAUUCUGUAUAGAUUAGACUUUUUUGUUAUCUAUGACAAAUAUUUCUCAUAUCUAUGUAUGUGUGUACUUAUAGUCAGGCUUAUAAUAACAACUUCAGUGGAAGCUCUAUCCUGCUGAAUACAAUAACAUACGAACACUUCUAAAGCUGUGAGUGUAACAACCUUUUCGCUCAUGUUCUCUCUUUUCAGAAUUUGAGGUAGAUGAGGGCAAAAGAAUUUAAACAGCUAUUACAACUUCUAUUAUUGAGAACAAUUUUUUAAAAUGUAGGCAUUGGUGAGUAAAAACCUAAGGUUAAAAGAAGAAUAUUUUGAAUAAAAGUGUUUGUAUUUGCUAAAUGGCUUAUGCUUUUAGUUGAGAUGGGUAGUAUAUCAAAGUUCAGGGCAUCACAUAGAUAAGAACGAAUUUGCUCUGUGUGCAACAAAAAACUCGUUUUUACACUACUCCUCUUCUAUUGCAGCCUAUAGAUGCCAAAUGGUUGGAUGCAACUGGUCCAUUUAUCUGGAAAUAUUUACAUUUAAAAAAUAUCAAAAAACAUUACAUUUAAAAUUUUAUAGGUAGUCUUCUUCCAUUCUGUGGAGAUCAUUUUCACUGAUAACUGAAACAACAAUUACUUCAUUAUAUUCAUUCAAGGACAAGCGCCACACAAUCAACAUCAUGUUUAAACCCAAAUCAAGACGUGUUGAGUAAAUCAUCCUUUUACAUGUUACCAGGAAUCUAAGGAACUACAAUUUGGGUUGUUCCAGAGUUGAGUGUCAUACCUAAAUUUGGCUACUUGUAACUCCAGAUUAAAUGCAAUGUUUCCUUUCUCAGUUUUUGGACAUCUUACAAUCAUAAAUUAUCCUUUUACAUCAACUUGCAGCCUUUCAAAAACAUAUGUUUUGCCAAUAUUAUUUCUUAAAUGCUUUUAGUAUUGUAUCUUUAUUUUAGAGUGAGAAAUCUGCUACUCAAUUCACAUCAGGAUAUUAGUUGUCAAAUAUUUUAGUACUAAUGUUGUGGGGGAUGGCGGAGGGCAUUGCGCGGCGGGGUUACACCGCUGUCACCUUCGACAUGCGCGACGUAGGCUAGUCCACAGGGCGGGUGUCGCUCACGCGCUCCAUCGAGAACAUCAAGUGAGGUGGUGUGCUGCUGCUCUAAAGAAGGGAGGAGAGGAAGUAGCGACAAGGUCGCCAAGACCACCUAGCGUGAUGUCUCCUACCAGAUCACCAAGAUCAACAUGUACAAGGUGGUCCAGUCUCGAGCACUCUCCCUGCAUGCUUCCAUUGAUUUUUUUAUUUCAUUCCAAUCGAUUUGUCGUGAUAUAUGCAAUACAGGAUGGUCGGCAUGUACAAGAUAUGCUUAAGGUGAAGUUGCAAUGCAGGAUGUGCAUAUAUUUCUUAGGCUUGAAUUUGUUUAAUCUAAAUAGAUUAUUUUUUAUCUAAUCCAAAUUUCCAAUGACUUGCCAUAUCAUUAGCAUCAGAGGCUUCGUAAAGCAGCUCUGCUGGGAUUAACGGAUUCACUGUCAAGGUCAAACAUCACUACGAUAUUGCUGAGAUGGUCCAAUCAGUGACAAUGCUGGUGGUAUUGUUGAGAUGGCUGGAAUGAGCCACAAAAUCUGAGAGAACUGAUGCUCUUGGUGCUGCUGGCAACACAACUGCUGCUAUUAGGAAGGUAGAAAUGCUUUUUAUCCAUUUGUUGGCUCAAUUUGUUCAUUUGUCACUGCCAUCAUUGGCACUAUUGGUAGGGUAUGUAUUUCUUAAUAUUUUAACAUAUGAGAAUGAACUAAUGAAGUAGUAGUAGCAGCAGAUAAUAUACAACAAAAGAACCAUUGUACUCGUCUGGUAACCUAAUUCAUCUGUAUCUCUAUUUUGCAUGAGGUUUGUUCAUCCCUCAUCAAUGCUAAUUUCAUGCUUAAACAUAUUGCAUCGUAGCUUAAUAAGGGGCGCGUGUGUGUGUAUAUAUAUUGGUAUGCAUUUCUCUUCUGUUUAACUUCAAUAGGAUGUGCUUCUCCUAAAUCAGAAAAAAGAAGCGCAUCCGAAGAAACAAUUCCUGGUUCUCCUCACCUCCCAACCCCAGAUAAUGCCACUCAUAUACUCAAUUUUGAUACAUUAAUAACACCAUAUUUUCAGUUUUUGAACAUGUGGGUUCUGAGAGAGUACUUGGAGAUUGAAUUUAAGAUUCUGGAACCAUUCUGUGAGUCUGAUAUUGAGAGGCUAAUAGAUGGCACAUUAUAGGGAAACCUAUAGCAGCUGACACGAGCAGAGUUAGGGGGGAUUAAGUUUUAGGUUUUAGGUUGUUUAUUUAGGGUACAUAGAAGCGGAAAGGAAAAGGUUGAUGCCUUUUACUUAGAUGUCAUUAAUUUGGAGCACUUCUUUUCUUGCUCUACCCAUUUCCUGUUUGUAAUUUUCGUCGGGAUUCAAAUCACUACGCUAUUGUUGCAGAUGCCUUACAAUCUCUUUUGGUAAUGUGGAUUCUAUUUUCAUCCAUCUGUUUCUUAUUUAUUUCUUGUUAUAUAGGCUCGAUUAGCAUCCAGAUUCAGCGUUUGGCAUGGCAUGACUAUUCCUUAAAUAUUGCAAAUGAUCAUCUUCUUCGAAAUAUAAAAAGAAUGGUACCAUUUGUACCUACGGUAUUCGUCAUUGCUUUGACUGAAAACAAAAGUCUAUUUGUGUUAUGUGCUCAAACAGAUGUACAUAAUAGACGUGCAUUACCUGUUAUAUAUAUCAGAUGCAUAUAAACUACUCCAUUUGUUUCUGCGGCUUGCCGAUUCAAAUUCCAAGGAGAUGAAGAGCAAGACAAAGGAGUGAAAUGACAUAAUCAAGCCAGACAUAGUAAGUUUUUGUGUUCACUGGUUCUCAUGAGGAUUAUGUAAUAAUUAUAGCUUUUAGUUUUCUCCUAUUACAUUAUGGGCACUAACAUUUACUACCAGGCAAAUAAUGCUUUUCAUGUUUAUAGCUGUUGAAACAAAAUUAGUUGGUUAAAGUGGGCCCUUUUUAUCAACAGAAACUAGAGCAGCUACAAUAAGCAGCUAGACAUAGGCAUGAGGUACAAAUCAUAUUAUUCUGUGUUUCUGACUGCAUCCAGUUUCUUCUUCUCAGGUUUCUGCAAGUACUAAGGGGACAACGAAUUUGAUAAUUUGGUGCAUAUCAUGAAAUGGUGGUAAGCCAAGCAUAGAGCUAACUAUAGGAUAAAAACUACGGGCUCUAAUUACAAUCAAAUUUUAAGUGCAUCAUUCACCAAUCACUAUUCUUAACUUGCAGAAAAAAUUUGUUGUUCUAUUUUUGUCAGGGUUAAAUUAAGUUUUCUAUUACAAAAUCACACCAUUGUUUGCUCGUCAAAAUGUAGGCCUCUCUGUGGACAUAUAUAAUAAAAGUUUCGAUGCACACAGGGACGAACAUGACACAGUAAAAGUGGGGGUUGGAUGUGUCUUUUGCUGGGGACUAUACACCAGCUUCUUAAUCCUGGAUGCUUGAUUCUUGGCUGCUCACAAACACCAUUGUGAUGGUCUUCAUUUAGGAUUCAAAGAAGGCUAGAUAGGUGAAGUUUUUAGUUCACAUUGCAUUGUUGCAGUGAUUAUUUUUCUUAUUCAAUCAGGUUUCUGAAAGUUGGGUUUUGGUCACUUUGCAUUUUUUAUGAAGGGAAUGUGCAUGCUUGCUGCUUUGGUUUGUGCUAGGAGCAUGCGCCGGGCGCGCUUCUUGAGGAGAACAUAGAUUAUUCGCUAUUUUGUAGUGGCUCAUGCUACCCGAGACGACCAAGCUGGUAUCCAUUCAACAUGCCCUCUUUUGAUGAAGUUAGAGUUUACCCCAUUCCUGUAAUGCUUUACCUGGUCAAGAACUUAUUGCAAGUAUGUCCAGUUGCCCACUCAUUCUGUUGUAUGAUUUUUUUAGAAAAAAACAAAAACAAGCAAAACAUAACCAUGUUUCCCUGCUUCUAUGGUUGUCAGUAUUAUAUUUUGAAUAUGUGGAUGCACCAGCUUACCAGAUUCUGAAGAACUUGAAUAUUAUCAGCACCGGUGUCCUGUACCGUAUAAUUCUCAAGAAAAAGUAAGUCUAAUGAGCUUGUUCUAUUAUAAGUUUUCUUUGCUAACAAGUGGCAUCCACUAUGUCAUUGGGUUCACUUUCACUUGAAAUCUUUGAUGCAAAGCUGAAUGCUAAAUCUGGAAGACAUGAAUUAUAGUUCUGUGAUGAAAGAGUCCUGUUGAAGUUCAGUAUGUAAAAUAAAUAGUCAUCCUUAGGCUUGAAUCCAUAUUUAUUUCCUCUAGAACCCCCGGUAAGAUUCCUUAUUUAUUUCAGUGAGGAGUAUUACCUAAUCGGUGCAAACUGAAAUGUAAGGUUGUGGCUUUUUGAAGUUUUCCUCUAUUUUGUGAGAUUAUAAUAAAUCUGCUCACUGCCUCACUAUGGGUUUCACUUCAAAAUUUUUAUUAGUUUCUCUUUCCAACAUUAUUGUAUUUGAUGCUUCCUAAUUUAUGCAUGCAUUUUGAUUUCAUAUAGGUGUAGAUUGUUGUCAUGCAUCACUGUGUUUACUUUCUACUGCUUGUUGCAGAUAGUAGAUGAGUUUGACUGGGAAAUGGACGAUUACGAGGUUUGUGUUGAAAUGUGCUUUGUUCUGCUGAAUAUGCUAAAGUUGCUACCCAUUAAAGUGCAUCUGUGUUGAAUGGCUUCAAUUAUUAUCUUGCAUUGCAGGAUUUUGCUGAUCAUAAAGUUCAAGAAGGUGGCCUGCCAGAGGAUGAGAAAGAAAAAUUCAAGUUACUGCAUUUAUUGUGUGCUUAAUCUGUGGCUAAGCUAAUCUUAGGGAAUUGGUUACAGUUGUGUCUUAUACUUACAAUUUUGCUGCCACAUUUAUUUGAAAAUAGGAGUUCCUAAAGGAGAAGGUUAGAGAAAGGAAGAGAGAGCUUAAACAGGUUCACAAUCAUGGGAACUAUUUAUUUUAUUUACAAGGUAUUUAUUGCAUUAGUAUUAAAUGUUUCUGCAAACUCUAUGUAGGCUAAAAAAGCCAGAAGGAAAGCUAUUGAUGAUAUGGAUCCUAAGGGGAAAGGGUAAACCAAAAUCAAAAUCAAAUCCAAAGGAUACAUGUUCAUGGUUUGAUGGCAGCAGAAAAGCCAUGAUCCAACUAGCUGGAGAACUUUUCUGGAAAAUGGGUGAAGACCUGGAUAGCAUCGCAAAAGAUUAUACAACUUCUCUUGAUGCUUUUAUAACGCAGCUGCCCAUGCAACAACACGUCGAUUUGAGGUUCCUUCUCUUCCGCCGUGACUUCACUGAAUGAGCCGCUUAUGUGAAAAACUAGGAGUUAGAUUGACCGUUUGGUUGGGACUUCACUGAAUGUGAGCUGUGUUUCCUCCAACAAUUGAUCUUGGUCACUUGACUAGCAAUGGUCACUUCCAUUUUCCUUGCACCUCCUGUAGAAGAGGAUCUGAAUACCCUUUUACUGAGGAUUGCCAAUGCUAGAAUCUGGUGAUUUUGUCAGCUGUUUGCAUGCUGAUGCUUAUGUGCCGAUUCAACGAGGCUAAAGCCAGGCAUUUCAUGCAACUCUGUACAAAAUUGUAAGUUUGUUUUGAUCAUGAUUUUCAUGGAUGUUAUGGUGUAAAUUUAAUAUAUAUUUUUUCUCUAUUAAUUUCUUGAGAAUUAAAGCUGGAGGUCUUGAAGAUUUGUCCUUAACAGUUUAUAUUGUCAGUUUUACAAGAGUUAAUAUCUCAUUACACUGGUUGUUGUUCUUGGAUUUGAAAUUUCUAUUGAAGUUGUUGUCUGGAACUCUGGAUAGCAUGCUGUGGUAAGAGCAACUGAUGAUAAAAUAAUAUAUAUGUUGCUCAUGUAAAGGAGAAGUGUAGAACAAAAAGGUCUCGACUUAUAGUGAGUUCGUUUUCCCACUGUUCUGUAAUCUUUCAGUUGGUUUGACCAUGGUUGAAUGAAUCUGAUACUGCUACCGAGACAUGAGAGACUAUGCACGAGGCAUGCAAAUUAACAAGACUCAUACAAGCGCGGAACAGUGUGCUGAUAGAGCAUAAGGGUAACACAUGCUCAGGUCUUAAAAUAUUUGGCUUCCGAGUAAACUUUCUCCAGACCCCUAAGGAAAUAUAAGAUCCGAUUAGAUAUGUGUCGAUGCUUAUCUCAGCGUACUCCCGUUGUAAGGCACGGGCACACACCUAGUAACUUAUUACGAAUAAACAUUUGAAUCGUGAUCUAUUAUGACCCCUACCUAACAGACAACAAGAAAAAACAAGAUUAUAAGAGGGGGAAAAAGAUGUAUAUAAGGGUGCAGUUCACUAUUAUCGUCCAGGCUUAUUUCUUGAUUAUGUAAAAUAUUGUAUGUUUGUCUCCCAUGAUGUAAUGAUAAAGAAUAUUAUAUUCUUGUUAGAGUACUCCACAAGGAUGAAAUGGAGAAGAGAUCAACUUAGUUUAGAAAACAACAGUGUAAAUGGUUUAAGAUCACGCAUGAUGCUUACGUUUAAAAUUGAUAUGUAUUUCUAGCUUCAGCUAAUCUCUACUACUCUUUAAGAUAUUAGUGUAGGCGUCCACAAGUUGGUGGUUCUGCCAUGCCCGCGCCUCCGCGAUUCGCGUCUCUGCCGCCAUCCUCACCCUCGCCCCGCUCUCCAUCGAAGGAAGGGCGCCAUUCCAGGGAUUACCCACCAUUCUCGCCCUCGUCCGCUCUCCGCCAUCCUCGCCCCCACCCGCACCCGCCAUCCUUGCCCUCCUACGCGCAAGUCCUCGGCGCCCCUUCCCCUGCCAACGUCGUCUCGCAAGGGUCUGUCGUCUCCGCGCAAGGGCUCGUCGUCUCGCAAGGGCGCCCCUUCCCCUGCCCCCGUCGUCUCCACGCCAUCCUUGGAUCCGAGGUCCGCGCAAGGGUCUGUCGUCUCGCAAGGGCGCCCCUUCCCCUGCCCCCAUCGUCUCGCAAGGGAGGAGCAGAGGAGGAGGUGUGAUGGCUGUUGAGGAAGAGGUGGACGAGGAUGCCAUUGUGGCCCCUUCCCCUGCCACAAGUUGUUCGCGGCGCUCGAGUCCCUCAAGAAGAAGGGCAACAAGGGCGCGGACAUGCCCUCGCCCGAGCCCCCGUCCCGUGCCCCUGCCCCUCUCCCACACGUGUUCUGAGGCCCCUUUGAAAGGGAAAUGUGCCCUUGGGCCAUUUCUAAGUAUUUUGGUGAUUAAGUGUCCAACACAAGUGCCUAAGUGUUAAAUUGUGCCAAGGACUCAAGAAGUGCAAAUCAAGAUUAAAGGUAUGUUUCUAGACUUAGUACAUUGUUUUGAAGACUAAUGUAUUGUGUCUAAGUGCUAGAAACAGGAGAAACAAUUUUGGAGAAGCUGGCUGUGUACAGCCAAAAGACUGCUUAGUCUGGGUGCACCGGACUGUCCGGUGGUGCACCGGACAGUGUCCGGUGCGCCAGGCUGGCGGCUGUCAACUGGCUGCUCUCGGGACUUCGACGGCGGUGUACGGCUAUAAAUCACCGGACUGUCCGGUGGUGCACCGGACUGUCCGGUGAGCCAACAGUCGGCCGGGCCAACGGUCGGCCACGUAAUCCGCGCGCGACGCGUGGCAGAGCCAACGGUCAGAAGGGGGCACCGGACUGUCCGGUGUGCACCGGACAGUGUCCGGUGCGCCAAUGGCUCUGAAACUCCAACGGUCGGCUUCACCAAAGAAGGAAAGAAAUCCGCACCGGACAGUGUCCGGUGAUGCACCGGACUGUCCGGUGCGCCAGGCGACAGAAGGCAAAAAUUGCCUUCCUGGAAUGCUCUCAACGGCUCCUAGCUGCCUUGGGGCUAUAAAAGGGACCCCUGGGCGCAUGGAGGAGGACACCAAGCAUUCUCUAAGCAUUCCUAAGCACCAAGACUCCAAUUCCGCGCAUUCGAUUCUUUGUGAUAGCAACUAGAGCUCCAUUUGAGUAGAGAACUCUUUGAGUUGUGUUGAGAGCUCGUGUUGUGACUUGUGUGCGUGUUGUUGCUCUGAUUUUGUGUCUUGGGUGCGUUGCUCAUCCCAUCCUUACUCCGUGCUUCUUUGUGAUAAUCAAAGUGUAAGGGCGAGAGGCUCCAAGUUGUGGAGAUUCCUCGCAAGCGGGAUAUAGUAAAGUGAAAGCAAAACACCGUGGUAUUCAAGUGGGUCUUUGGACCGCUUGAAAGGGGUUGAGUGCAACCCUCGUUCGUUGGGACGCCACAACGUGGAGUAGGCAAGUGUUGGACUUGGCCGAACCACGGGAUAAACCACUGUGCCAUCUCUGUGUUGAUCUCUUUGUGGUUAUUGUGUUUUGCAAGAACUCCUCACUAGCCACUUGGCUUUAUUGUGCUAACUCCUAAUCAAGUUUUGUGGCAUUAAGUUUCAAGUUUUUACAGGAUCACCUAUUCACCCCCCUCUAGGUGCUCUCACCCUUCCCCAUCCUCUACCCUCCCCCGCGAUUCCAGCAUUGGUGCCCGCAUCCCCCCGUCCGAAGCAUGGCGCUCUCCGUCUCCUUCCUCGCCGCCGCCCUCUCCCACCUCUCCCUCCCAUCGACCUCCACCCCCAAGCCUCACCCGUCCUUGCUCCUGCGCCUGCGCUCCACCUACCAUCGUGUUGUUAGCCUUGCGCUCCGUGCCUCCGCAGGCGAAGCCGCCGAAGCCUUCGAAGCGGCCUGUUCACGGAGGAGGUGAUGGCUGUCGAGGAGGAGGCGGAGGAGGAUGCCCUGUCGGGAAUCGUGCUGCGAAAGUAUGUGAAGCAGCGGCUGCUGGGCGGGUUCACGGCGCAGCGGACCACCGCCAUGGGCCGUCGCAAGACAGCUAUCACUCGCUUCGUUCUCCAGGAGGGCACCGACAAGGUCUUCAUCAACUUCCACGACGCUAAGGUGCCUAUCAAUCCCAGAAUUGCACGCACUUAUUAUACCAAUGUCGCUCCAUUAUGUUGUUUGGGCCGCAUUGCAAUCGGUAGUACUAUACAUGUAAAUCUGCAAUUGGUUAAUACCUUAGAAUUUCAGGAGACGAAUUAAACCGCUAUGGUCAAAAUGCUGCAGUACUAUUGUUACUGAUAUCUACCAAUGUGCUUAUUACAUGCUACUUGUAGUAGUAACAACAAAGAGUCAAAGACUCUGAAGCUUUGGUGCCUGCGGUAAGACUUCUGAAAGAAAUGUGGAAGAGGUGGAUAUUUUGGCAUAUUACACGUUGAAUAGCAUGAAUAGCAUUUUAUUCCAUAUGCGGUGCGAAGAUAUUUCUUUUGCAUGUUGCUGCUACGUUCUUGUGUAAAAUUCGACAUAUGCAUGUUCCAAUCCCCUUAAUGUGUUCAUGACAUGUGGGUCCAUGAUCAACAUGUCAGUGACACAUUUUGGGAUUGCAAAUUUUGCAAUGGCAAAUAACUAACCUCUUUCCGCACAAAGGUAACUCCAUGUUCCAUGUGUAUUUCAGAAAAUAUGGUUUAAGUGAUGAUACAGUGGAUUUCGUUGGACAUGCACUUGCUCUUCAUAGAGAUGAUCGUUAUCUUGAUGAACCGGCACUUGAUACAGUGAAUAGGAUUAAAGUAAGUCUUGGCCAAAGUUGCUCCCUAGCUGUUGCUAUGGAUAAACUUGUGUGGUUCCUAAUGCUUGGAAUAUAUUUCCUUUAUAUAAUGCAGUUAUAUUUACCUAUUGUGUGCCUUUAGCUAUAUGCAGACUCUCUUGCACGCUUUCAAGGAGGAUCACCUUAUAUCUAUCCACUAUAUGGGCUGGGUGAGCUACCACAGGUCUGUCAAAAUCGAAUUUGUUAAUGUAAUACUUAUUGAGUAGGCACAUGUUCCUUGUUGAUGAUCAGUGCUUGUUUUGGGCUACAGGGUUUUGCGCGACUAAGUGCUGUUUAUGGUGGUACUUACAUGUUAAACAAGCCAGAUUGCAAGGUCUUCUUUUUCACCUCGCUUCACAUAAUUUGAAUAACAAGAAAAUGCUCUCAUUUUUUUCAUGUGUUGCCUCAUUUUAUAGGUUGAAUUCGAUAUGGAGGGGAAAGUGUGUGGUGUCACAUCUGAAGGUGAAAAUGCAAAGUGCAAGAAGGUGGUGUGUGAUCCUUCGUAUUUACAAAACAAGGUGAAUACUCUCUAUAUCCAGAUUUUAGAGGGCUUGGUUAUUUUGGUGCCAAAUACUUAUAUUUUGCUUGAUGACAAGCUAAUUUACUGAUUUUUCCAUCCUGAAAAAGUAUUUGUUAUUAUAUGACCUUCUGGUGUUUUUGGUAAACUUUUUUUCUCAUUUUUUUGCCACCCUAAUGUCUCUCGACAGGUUAGGAAGAUUGGUAGAGUUGUUCGUGCAAUUGCUAUCAUGAGCCACCCAAUCCCUAAUACAAACGAGUCCCACUCGGUUCAAAUUAUUUUGCCUUAGAAGCAACUUGGACGCAGAUCAGACAUGUGAGGCCUUCUCUCAUGCUGAAAUAGUUUUCAUUUCAUUAAUGACUAGAUUUAAACACUUUUAUCAAACAGAUCACUAUGCUUGACACAGUUAUGAUAUUUCUAUCUCUUUCUAGGUAUGUUUUCUGUUGCUCAUACACGCACAAUGUUGCACCAAGAGGGAAGUUGAAUAUAUUUGUGUCUGCAGAAGCAGAGACUGAUAAUCCCCAGUCUGAGCUAAAGCCUGGAAUUGAUCUACUUGGUUCUGUAGAUGAGAUUUUCUAUGAUAUCUAUGACAGAUAUGAACCAGUGAAUGAACCAUCUCUUGAUAAUUGCUUUGUCUCGACAGUAAGAUUUGCAGUUUAUGUUAGCAGAAUGAACAUUUAACUUCACUGUUUAAACAUUCUACUAAAUUUUUCUGGCUGUUUCACCAUGCAGAGCUAUGAUGCCACCACACAUUUUGAGACAACUGUAACAGAUGUUCUGAACAUGUAUACAAUGAUCACCGGAAAGGUAACAUGGACUUCAUCUUUUUAUUUAUUGGAGUGAUGUAGCCUGCAGUAGUUUUUGUACUAAAAUGUUGGUCAAACUUAAGUCCAAUUAAAAGAAGACCUGUGAAUAUGUGAUUUUUUAUCGAGUAGUUACAACUAACUGAGCAUUGUUUAAUCAUGACUUGAAACACACCUCCAGUUCAAGUUCGUCUGUUUGUAUGGGCACUUCUAUGUAGAGCACCAAAGUUGUUAUUUACUUAAUAUUUUUUGCCAUCACUUUUUAGAAACGAAUCAGUCAUUGAUUAUGGUGGUUAACAUAUAUAUGAAUUGUUUGUGAGACUCUUUACUUAUGAUCAUAUCUAGUGUUUCCUUGCAUUUGUUUAUGGUGGUGAUCCACUGACAGACCUAUCACUUCAUGCUCUCCUUGACAGAUUCAUGGAAAAUAAACCAAGAGGGAGCCGCAUAGCUGAAGGAAGAUGGCACGAUGGAUCACAAAUUGCCCUAGCUAAAAAGGUUGGCCCUUUUUACUUGGAUUCUCUUGACUCUGGGAGUCGUUUUCCUAUAUCUGGAUUUGUAGAUGACCUGAUUACUCUUCCCUCCAAUCACACUAGAUGCUCUUGAGAAGAUAUGCUCAAAACUUAGACUUAAAAUAUUUGUGUCAAAAUUUGAAUAAAUGUGUUUAGAUUGUCUUAAAUACUAAAUACUAUCAAACACAUUUUUUAUACCUUUCUGACCCAUGCCUUUGUCUUCAGCUUAACCUGAAUCAUCAUAUUAUUGGAGGAGAGCUUCUAGAAUUGUCAGAAAAUGAAGUGCCUCCUGAACAUAUUGUUUUCCACCGUUUCUAUUUGAACAAGACUGGCCCAGUUAAGCAUAAGGCAAAGUGGAAGGACUCAGUUCUUGGUGAAGGAAUAGUGUGAGGAGAUUGGUUAGUUACUCUAACACUCUCUUUCCUCUUUUGUUGGCACAACUGAUAUGCCAUAGAGAGUCGGCUUAUAUAUUAUCCAUUUAAUUGUUAACAUUGUGAUGGUAUUAUGUACUGUUAAUUGUGUUGACUGAGACACUGAGCAAUAUUAUUGCAGAGUAUUAUGUACUGUUAUAGCAGAUACUUAAAUUAUAUUGGAGUAGAUUUAUUCGAGGGCCCUAACUACAUCCAGAACUUUAUUAUAUGCAUUAUUAAGCCAGAUGCUUUGAUUCUAAAAAAGCAUAUUUUUAAGUGAAAUGUAUGGAUCUCGCUCUCCUUACUCAAACACAAGGUACAGAAGUCGCUCUUGGUAUGCCCUUCAUCCUUGGGCCAGUUAACAUGUUUCUGCCAAUGUCGUAUAUUUAAAUUCAAGACAUGAAACAUCUAUGUUGCUUGUAAUCUGAGUAUUUGAUAUUCAUAUAAUUUAUCUAGGAAUGUGGACUCAAGUGAUGCUGAAAAUCCUGGGAAACAACCUGUAUGUGACCGUUUUGUCACCUCGUGUAACUGAUCAAGAUCUGAAGAAGCACUUCUCCACUGAGGGAGAGGUAGGUAAUCAUUAAAGAAUAUAAUAAAAUAUCUGCAACUUUAAAGUGUCAUUUCUGAGAAGUCAAAAUAUAAUUAUUGAACAAUUCACUUUGCUUACUGAUUGUGCUAUAGGUGAUUGAUGCAAGCAUUGUGUAUGAUCCUUGGACAAGGGAAUCGCGGGGGUUUGGUUUUGUCACCAUGGCUGCUACUAAGGAGGCAGAUGUAACACCCAGUUUGUAACAUAUAAGGAAAGAGGAGAAAUUAAUUCCUUUAUCUAUAUGUGUGUUAUUUCUACUUACCAUCAUAUGUGAACACCCCACUUACACAAUUAAAUAAAUACCCCAAAGACACCUAAAUAAAUCUUGCAUCAUGCUGAGUUUUUAUUUGAUUGUGCAUUUGUGCUUAAUAAAAUAAAUGUUUCAUUAAUAGCAUAUCAAUGGAUCCAUAGAAUUCAAAGUCUAACUUGAAAAUAAAACCAUGAAAAUAGAUGAGAGAAAGGAAUAUUAUUCAAUAAAUAAAAUUAUAAUUUAAUAACUUCAUCGCAGUAGGUAUGAUCAAACUAAAUAAUUAGUCAGUGUACAAAGGUGCCACAAAGUUUGAAUUUAAAUUGAAGUUUGAAUUUGGAAAGAAGGAAAAGAUAAAAGAAAAGGAAAAUAAAAAGGGAAAAGAAUAAAACCUAACUGGGCCGACCGUCCCCAAUCCAGCCCACUUCUGCUUUCCUCAGCGCGCGCCAGCCCAACCUGAAAUUGGCACCGACAUCUGGGCCCCGCCCGUCAGCCAGUGACACGCUCCGCUCAGUGCUGCUGCCUGGCAUGCGGAGCCCAGCCCUCGCCCACAGACGAAAAUUGCGUGCGUACCCUAAAGCCUCCCUAACACGCUGGCCCCACUCAUUCGGCCGACUCCGCCCGCGCGCUGACGAACCCGGACCACUUGUCAGACGGCCCUGUGGCUCUUCCUUGCGAGCUCAAUGUCUCCCGACAACAGAAUCGCGACAGCCUCUCCACCCGCCGCGCGUAAAUCUUGCUGGAGAUCCAACUAACGGGCGCAGUCUGCCUCAUCGUGCGGCAAUAUAAGUACCACCGCCGCCAUACCUCUGCUCGCCCAGUUACAUGCGGUAGAAAAAAAAGAGAGAGGAGAAAACUCCCGUCGCCAUUGGCGCUGGACGGUAUAGGGUAGAGAGAAGGAAGGUGCGGGCGGGUCCAUCACUGGUGGUGCCGUAUGCGCGCGGAUUCACGGGGGGGGGGGAGCUCUGUGGGUUCUGGCGCUUCGCGGGGGUGCCGUGAAUUGCUCGCCGACGUCUGGCUCACAUUGGGGUCGCAUCGCGCCGUGGUUGGUGGUCUCUGCGCCCUCAAUCGUGGUAAGAACUCUUCGCCCCAGUUCGUUUUUGUCUCCGCAUGGAAUAGAGCAUACCCGAUGAGAGCUUCGAGCGCGGGGAGAUGGGAUUCGGGUGCGUGGCAAUGGCGCCGCCGUCGUCCACAAGGAGGCGAGGGGGUGACUGACGUCCGUUCAUCGGGCCGUGGACGAUCAGGAUUAGAACUAGAAUAACAUUUUGGUCAAAAACGAAUCCGUGCCGUAGAUCUGGUGAUAAGCGGUACCAGUUCGAUCACAGGCUCGUUGAAUCGGGACCGUAAGUUUAGGAUCCAACGGCUGCGGACGCGCACCGGUUCAUAACCCGCGUCAAUCUAAUCUGGCACGUAGGCUCUAGAUCGGGCGGUCCAGAUUAAAGGAUACCCGUUCCUGCAGGCAGUUUUGUUAAAGAGCCCCCUGGUAAACAGAAAAUCAAUCCGCAGUCCCUGCGCAGGGCGGAUUGUGUCUUAGAAAAUCUUAUCCCGAGCACCCUAGGUUUCUCUGUUAUAGUGCACCCAGUACAGAGCUGUUUUAAUUUGAUUAAAUGAAUUGGAAAUUUGAUUUUUAAUAUGAAAAUAAACCCUAUAACUUGUGAAAUUCAUAGAAAACUCAUAUGAACUCCAAAUUAACCCAUUCCAGUUUCUAAAAUUUUGUAAUUUUAAUUCUCUAUCAUUUAGAGUCUCUGUUUUAUCACUAAAACAGUAAGAAAAUUUAAUUCUCACUUAGUCCUAUUUUAAACACAUAAAACCUUUGAAAACUCAUAUCUUAAAAUCUAUAACUCCAAAAAUUAUGAUUCCUGUUCCUAGGAUUUUAUUUUAAUAUGUAGAUUAUUACUGUGUAUUUUGUGUACAUGUUUGGAGUGAUGUUAAUUUUCUCUAUAUACUGUGCUUGUUUGUAUUGUGGCGAGUAGAAGAGACUGUGACUGAGGAUCCUGGUGAGCAGCAGAUAGAAGUAGCUGAGCAGGAGCUCAUUGAAGGCAAGUUAUGCCCUUGAUCACUUCUUUUUACCCACUCAUAUUUUAAUUAAUCAUAAUGAUCUGCAUAGGUUAAUUUUGAUGGGACCCAAUAGGUUACCCUAGUUUGAUUAUCUUUAUACCUUGUUACCACUGAACUUUUUGGGUAGUACUUGCUAGUGCUUUAUGUGGUUUUGGGUAUGAAGAUACAUUAUUCAUGAUCACACUUUUAUUAUCUAUUUAUUAUUACUGUUCAUGAUAAGGUCAUUAUGUUAAUUGGAACAUGGAGCGACCACCCGGGAAAACAGUGCUACCACAAGGGUUUAAUGGGACGCCCUUGGCUGAUUAAUUAGGAAAGCUAGUGGAAGACUACCUUACUCGAAAGGGGCAAGGGCAGUAGGGGAGUGGUCAGUGUAGGGAGGUCCUUGGGAUGAUUUUGCUGCGAUGGCGAUCAUGCGAGAGAUCCCUGCAUUGGAGCUUCCUAUAAACUGUAGCGGGUUUUCUGAAGCUAGUGGAACUUUAUAAAGGCCUCGUAGUGUUACCCUGCCUCGCCUCCUCGGUAGAGGUGUAUGGGAAGUCGCGAUCCCUUGGCAGAUGGGUAACAUGACUUGUGGGUAAAGAUGCGCAACCUCUGCAGAGUGUAAAACUGGUAUACUAGCCGAGCUCACGGUCAUGAGCAGCUCAGGACUCUCUGAUGAUUAAAUUAUGGAACUUAAAUUCAAUUUUGUCAUUUGCAUAUGCAAGGAUUUAUUAUUAAUUUGUUCUAUUACUUUAUUUAAGGUUUGGUAUUUACUAACACUUAGUAACUGCUAAUAAAAUUUUGACCAACUACUUAAAAGCAAUGCUCAGCUUUAACCCCUGUCAUUGAUUAGCCUUACACAUCACAUGAACUCCCACCUUUGUGAGUUCAUGUCCACUAGUUCCCCACAACUUGUUGAGCUAUGAUCAUGUGUGAGCUCACCCUUGCUGUCUCACACCCCCCACAGGAGAAGAACAGGUGGUUCAGGAGGAGCCACAAAGCGAGGAGUUUGAUCUGAUCUAGGUGGCGUUUCUCAGUUGACAUUGGCGCCAACGACGAUCCUUAGUUUGUUUUAUAUUUAUAUUUUAUUUUGUAAUAAGACUUCCGCUAUGUAAUAAAUACUCUGAUGUUUUAUGACAUUUAUCUCUAUACACUCUGUUAUUAUAUAUGUUGUCUUCUUGGCGCAUGUAUGAGAUGCACCUGGCUUUGUUCCUUAAAGCCGGGUGUGACAGAAGUGGUAUCAGAGGAAAUGUUGACUGUAGGACGAAACCUAGAUAGAAAUGGACAGACCCUUACUUACUUACCUUACUCUGAUUCUCUCUAUACUCAUCUUGAUCUUGUCUCACCUUUUGCUUUUCUACUCUAAUCAUUCUUACCUUUUCUACUCUAAGACAUGAUGGAUUUCACACCUUGGAAUCCUACAACUAUGAACUUUUUCAGAGAUAGGGAACCUAAGAUGAAAUUAAAAAUAUUUUCUCUAUUAAAAAUGUUGGUUGAUUGUUUUGAUGAUCAAUGUCUGAUUUGCUUCUUUGAUUGAUUGAAAUAUUAUAAAUGGACAUCUUAGCAUGUACCACCAUAAGGUAAUGUAUUAGCUUUAAUAGGUGACACACUAAUCUAUUUAGCUAAUAAAUCCCCCAAAGUAACAUGAUUCGUAAUUACUCGCCUUGUCUAUAAUUCUUCCUUUCUUACCCUGUGUUACUAACCCGGAUGGGCUACCCCUAUAGUGUUAGAAGAGAGCACUAUAGAUGUGAUCCUUGGUAUAUCAUGGUUAAGAAAGGCAAAGACAGUUUAUACACUAUGCUAAAGGAAUCAUAGAACUCACCAGUUCCAAAGGAGAAAGAUUUCAAGUUAAUAUUGCAGUAACCACCUCAUCCAAACGUGCAAUGUUCUUCAUACCUGAGGAGUUUGUUGGUGACAACAUCCGUGUGGUUAGAGAUUUUCCAGAUGUCUUUCCAAAGGAGUUACUAGGGAUGCCACCUGAUACAGAAGUUGAGUUUAUUAUUGAUCUCUUACCUGGGACUGCCCCUAUUUCUAAACGGCCAUACAAGAUGUUCGUAGAGGAGUUAAAGGAACUUAAGAAACAGUUAACGGAGUUGCAAGAGGCUGGGUACAUUCGUCCGAGUUCCUCACCUUGGAGAGCGCCGGUUCUGUUUGUACAGAAGAAGGAUGGAUCACAAAGAAUGUGUGUGGAUUAUAGAUCACUUAAUGAUGUUACUGUGAAGAACAAGUAUCUGUUACCCCGUAUUAGGGAUGGCAAUUUUACCCGUGGGUUCGGGUAUCCACGGAUAUCCGACCCGUCGGAUUCGGGUUCGGGUAAGAAAUUUAACCCGCGGGUCUCACCCAUACCCGACCCGUGAUUAAAUCGGGUCGGGUACGGGUUUUAUCUUGCGCCCGCGGGUCUUGGCGGAUAUCCGAAAUAAUUUGAGUUUUCACUUUUCAAUUUCAGCCCACAAGAAACCGGCGGACCGCGGACCGGCCCAAUGUCCAGAAACCCUAGUCUCCCUACACUCUCACACACACGCAGGACGCAGCCCCAGGUGGCCAGGCCCCCAGCCGCCCACGCAAGUCUCUCACCGUCUCACGUCUCAUCUCAUCUCUCUGCUCUCUCUAUCUCUCAGCCGCAAACGCCCACCGCCGACAGCGCUAGAUCCACCCCGGCGUCUGGUACUCUGGUUGCCCCGGCCAUCCAUCGCAAGACUGGUUGCCCUGGUCCCUGCCGUCGUCGAGUGAGACUGAUUGCCCCGACCGUCCAGCGAGGCAGCGACCAGCGUGGCAGCGACGCAGCGUCCCUGGCUGGCGUCCCUGGCUAGUGGCUGGCUCUCCUGCGUGGCUGCGUCUCCAAUCCAUUCUCCUUCUCCGAUCCAAGGUAGCGUCUCUGUCUCUCUGAGGUAGUGAGUUAGCACUCCGAGUCUGAGGUAUAUUUUACAGUUGAUGUCUCACUAAUCUCAAAUAGGUGGAGGUGGUUCUCAAAUCUAAAGUAGUAAAGUUCAUCCAUGGCGCCUACAAGUGGAUCCGGCUCCGGGAUGCAAGCUAAUCGUCCACCGUUGUCUUCACAUGGUGCUUCAACGAGGAGGGGGAGAGUGACCUUAAACCGAUCAACUAUCAAUCGGGCUGGCGAUGCUGCUGGUACACCUACAUGGACGCCGACGCUGAGUGCAGACCCAUCAAGUGCUGGUGAUACUACUGCUAGUGCUAGUGGCACACCAUCAUCAAGUACUAAUGCUCCACCUGCAACAGCAGCACCACAAUUAGGUAUAGAUAAUGUCAUUGUGGAAGAUGAUGAUACUGUUAUUGUUGGGACAAAGAGGAUGCUGAAAUCUGAUGUUUGGCUAGAGUUUGAACAAGUAACUGUUGGUGGUAAAUUAAAAGCUCAAUGUAAUUGGUGUAAAAAGCAAUUAGUUGGAGAUAGUAAAGCUGGUACAACUCAUUUGCGUAGUCACCUUGGAAGUUGUCAAUCACGAUAAGUUAGAAAAGGAGCAAGCCCGCCAGUGCCCAGUGCACACGCUGCAGUGCUGCACGCCAUGUGGUGCUGUGCUGUCCAACAGCAACAGCCAACAGUCCAAGUCUCCAAGGCGUGUUGCUGUCCAAGAGACCAAGACUUGCUGUUUUGUUUUGUUCUUUGCUGUUUUUGUUCUUUUCUCAGUCCAAGUUCAUGUCCAACCGUCCAAGACUCUAAGAGACCUUUGCUGUUUUGUUUUGUUGAAUUGAAUAAUUUGAAUAUUUUGAAGUUUGGUUCAAGUGUAAACACUAUGUACUCAUAUAUUGCUUGCUUAUUUAACAAAUCAGAUUUAUUAUGUCUUGUUUUUUUUGUUUUACCUUGUCAUUUGUCAACCAUGUGUUUUAUUUGUGUGGAGUGUAAUUAUACCCGCGGGUAUCCGAUACCCGCCCGAUACCCGAUGGAUACGGGCACGGGUACAAAAUCCUACCCGCGGGUAUAGUCGCGGGCGGGUAUGAGUAAUACCCGCGGGUAUUGUCGCGAGCGGAUAUUUACCAUACCCGAUCCGAACCCGACCCAUUGCCAUCCCUACCCCAUAUUGAGGACUUAUUUGAUCAGAUGAGAGGUGCUAGAGUAUUCUCGAAGAUUGAUCUCCGAUCAGGUUACCAUCAGAUGAUGAUUAGACCAUCGGAUAUUCCCAAGACGGCUUUCUCAACUCGAUAUGGAUUAUAUGAGUUCACCGUUAUGUCAUUUGGAUUAACUAAUGCACCAGCUUAUUUUAUGAACUUGAUGAAUAAGGUGUUCAUGAUCUGGACAGAUUCGUCGUGGUUUUCAUCGACGACAUUUUUAUUUAUUCCAAGAGUGAUAGUGAUCAUGAGUAACAUCUAAGAUUGGUGCUACAGAAGCUACGAGAUAAUCAACUCUACACCAAGUAUAGUAAAUGCGAGUUCUAGAUUGACGAGGUGUCAUUUCUUGGUCGUAUUAUUUCUAAUGGAGGAAUAUCAGUGGACCCUGCUAAGGUCAAGGAGAUAAUGGAGUGGAGGGUACCCACUACAGUUACUGAGAUUCGGAGUUUCUUGGGACUAGCAGGAUAUUAUCGGAGAUUUAUUGAAGGAUUUUCUAAAAUUGCUAAGCCUAUGACCUCGCUUUUGGAGAAAGGAAGAUAAUUUAAGUGGAAAAAGAAGUGCCAAGACAACUUUGAUCAAUUGAAGAAGAGAUUGAUGUCGCCACCAGUGUUGGUUAUGCCAGACUUACAGAAAGGAUUUGAUAUUUAUUGUGAUGCAUGUGGCCAAGGCUUGGGAUGUGUGCUCAUGCAAGAAGGACAUGUGAUUGCCUAUGCUUCUCGUCAGUUAUGGAAACAUGAAUUGAACUACCCCACCCAUGACUUAGAAUUGGCAGCCGUUGUGCAUGCACUUAAGAUUUGGAGACAUUACAUUAUGGGAACCAAGUGCCAAAUGUACACGGAGCAUAAGAGUUUUGUCACACCCGGGCUUUAAGGAACAAAGCCGGGUGCAUCUCAUACAUGCGCCAAAGAAGACAACACAUAUAAUAACAGAGUGUAUAGAGAUAAAUGUCACAAUAUAAUCAGAGUACUUAUUACAUAGCGGAAGUCUUACAAAAUAAGAGAUAAAUAUCGCAGGAUCUAAAAUCUAUCCUUGGCGCCAGAAAGCUGACUGGGAGACGCACCUAGAUCAAGUCGAAAGCCUCAGAGUUAGGCGGCUCCUCUUUGACCACCUGUUCUUCUCCUAUGGGGGGGGGGUGUGAGACAGCAAGAGUGAGCUCACAUAUGUUCAUAGCUCAACAAGUCGUGGGGAAUAAUGUGGCAUGAACUCACCAAAGGUGGGAGUUCAUAAAGUGUAAGGCUGAUCAAUGAAAUAAAGGCUGAAGCUGAGCAUUGCUUUUAUAUGUUGGUCAAAAUUUUAUUAGCAGUUACUAAGUGUAAGUAUAUACCAAACCAUAGUAAUAAUAAGUAAAAAUAAUAAUAAAAUAAUCCCAGAUGCAAUGAAAUGACAAAUUGAGUUUAAGUUCCAUAGAUUAAUCAUGUGAGUGUCCGAGCCGCUCAUGACCGUGAGCACGGCUAGUAUACCAGUUUUACACUCUGCAGAGGUUGCGCAUCUUUACCCACAAGUCGUGUUACCCAUUUACCACGGAGUUGAUCAGAUCCCAUACAGCUCUACCUAGGAAGCGAGGCAGGGUACCACUACGAGGCCUUUACAAAGUUCCACUAGCUUUAGAAAACCCGCUACAGUUUAUAGGAAGCUCCAGUGCAGGAAUCCCUCGCUUGACUGCCAUCGCAGCAAAAUCAACCCAAGGACCUCCCUACACUGACCACUCCCCUACUGCCCUUGCCCCUUUCGGGUAAGGUAGUCAUCCACUAGCUUUCCUAGUUAAUCAGCCAAGGGCGUCCCAUUAAACCCUUGUGGUAGCACUGUUUUCCCGGGUGGUUCUCCAUGUUCCCAUUAACAUAAUGAUCUUAUCAUGAACAAUAAAUAAUAAACAGAUAAUAAAGAGUAUAACAAUAAGUGAUGAAUAUCUUUAUACCCAAAGCCACAUAAAGCAAUAGCAUGUACUACCCAAAAAUUUAGUAGUAAACCCAGUGGUGAAACAAGGUAUAAAGAUAGUCAAAAUCUAGGGUAAUCUAUUGGGUCCCAUCAAAAUUAACCUAUGCAGAUCAUUAUGAUUAAUAAGAACAUGACUGGGUAAAAAGAAGUGAUCAAGGACACAACUUGCCUUCAACGAGCUCCUGCUCAGCAGUCUCUACCAGCUGAACCUCGAAAUCCUCAGUAGCUUGCUCGUCUACUCGCAUCAAUACAAUACAUACAUAGUAUAGCAAUAAUUAACAUUACACCAAGCAUGUAAAUAAAUUACACAGUAAUAAUCUAGACAUUAAAAUAGAAUCGUAGGAACUGGACUCAUUAAAUUUGGAGUCAUAUAUUUUAAGUUAUGGAUUUUCCAAGGUUUUACGUAUUUAAAACAAGAUUAAGUACUAGAUAAAUUUUAUUGUGUCUUUCAUGCCAAAACAGAGGCACUAAUGGAUGAACAAUAGUAUUACAAAAAUUUAGGAACUGGAAUGGACCAAUUUGGAGUUCAUAUGAAUUUUCUACAAAUUAAACAAGUUUCUGCAUUUAAAUAUGUACUAAAAAUCGAUUUCUAAAUUCAUUUCUAUGAUUUUUCUAAUUCUCUGGACUGGGCCUUCAUUUCUAAGAAGUGCAGAGGCUACGGUGGAACAAUUCCUAAGGCUCAGAGAGUCACUGGUGUGGACGGCGGGUUGAUAUAUGUAAAAGGCAGGGUCUCAUUUAUAAAACGUACCCGCGAAGGGGUAUCGUGAUCACAGGGCCGUUGGAUCUACAUUAUGUGGUUUAGAUUAGAUCCCGAUGCGUAUGAAUCGGUAAGCUACGACUGCCGUCAGAUCUAAAACCUGUGGCUCGGAUUUCAUUUGAGAAGGGGUAUCGCGACCUUCUAAUCCUGACCGCACACCCAGAAUCAAUGGUUACGAUUUGUUCAAGCGGAGGGUUAUUCGGUGAUCUAAUCUACACCGUCCGAAUUGAAUCAGACGGCACGGGAGCUGUCUUCUUCCCCCACGACACCCUCUCUCCUCCACUCCAAUCGGUCUACACCAGGGCGGCGCCAUUAGCCAGAAAUUGAGCCCCUGAUUCCUACACCCGACCUCCAAAAUGAAAGCAGUAAUACAUGGAUGAUAACGGUACAACACGGUUGCAGGAUUACUCACUUCGAUUCAAACCACUCCGAGCCUCGCACAACGCGCGCGGCGGAUCUGUGGCACCCACAGUGCGAUGGCGAGCGAUUCCCGAGAGCUUGACCGCCCUUGCGCCAACGCCAAUAACCGUCCAGCCCCUCAUGGUUCGCGCGCCCUCCAACUCGCUGCCCAAGCGAACAGAGACAUGGGUGCCCCACCGACGUUGCAGGGGAUGGCUUGGCCGGCCAUGGCGCAUGGUAGUUCCGUGGUCGCCAAAGCCCUCCGGUGCAAUGACGCAGCACCUGCGAGUCAUACCAGACUUCCAGAGCAUACGCCGAGAGCGAGACGACGACAAGGUCGAGUUCCGCCGCCGCCAUUUUCCCACAUCGCGACCUCCCCACAGCUUCUCUCUCACCUUGGUUGCGCUGGCUUGGCGAAAGAAAGGGAGUCAUGGCUGGUCGAGCUAACAUCUCAGGGAAGGACCAACUUAUAAAUCCACCAGGGGACGACGUUCAUGCGAUUGGUUGAAGUAGGGCCGAAUCUCCCGGAGUCUUCAGUCGUUUCUGUUAGCGCUUAAUGUGGAGAAGAGAUCUGGAGGGGAGAGCCGACCACGCGAGGAAGACGGAGACGACCCGACGGAUGGGCCCCAACGCGGUCAGCGCGAGUGCGGCACCGCGACCACACGGCUUGGAGAGACUGCACGAUGGGACCUGCCUGGCGGUGAAGGUGGCAAAGUUGGGCUGACGCUCAGGAAUUUGGCCCGUGGCGUGGAUGAAAAGGGGGAAGAAAUGGGCCGAAUUCGUGGAAGCCAGCCCAAACUAGGUUUUAGUCUUUUUUUUUCUUUUUAUUUUCUUUUCUCUCUCUUUUCAAAUUCAAGUUGUAUUCAAAUUUAAUUCAAACUCUUGUGACCAAUUAUUACAAUUUAUACUUGCAACAUUUAGAGAUACUAAUUCUGGAGGUAUUUAUUUACAUAUAUUAUUUAUUUAUUCAUAUCCUUUAUCUCUUUCUCUUCUCCACAUUUCUAGAAUCCCCUCUUGGGUUUAAAUUCUAAUUUAGGUGUUGUCAUUUUUAUUUCUACAUUAUUGUCACUUUGUCACAAAAGAAAAUGCACACACAAUGAAACAUCAGCAUGAUGCACAAUUUAAUGAUUUUUAUCAAUCCUUUAUUUAUUUUAUGAGAUGUUCACAUGCAACGAUAAUUAGAGAUGGCACACAUGUAUUCAAAGGAAUAUGAUCUUCUCCUUUUAGGUUUUUUUUACAAAGUGGGUACUACAAGUUUGAAGUAUAUAUUCACUCAGAAGGAUCUCAACCUUAGGCAACGCCGUUGGUUGGAGCUUAUUAAGGAUUAUGAUUUGGAGAUUCACUAUCACCCGGGCAAGGCAAAUUUGGUUGUAGAUGCCUUGAGUCGCAAGGAGCAUGUUCAUUCAGCUAUUGUUGCCCAGCUACCUGAUGAGAUUGUUGAGGAUUUCAGGAGACUUAACCUGGGGCUAGUUGCUCACACUGAAGGAGUUACUAUUGAUGUGGAACCUACUUUAGAGCAAGAAAUCCGCAAAGGACAAACUGGUGAUGCUAAGAUACAAGAGAUUAAGGAUCGUAUUACUGAGGGUCGAGGUCCGGAAUUUAUGGAAGAUGAGCAAGGCACCGUAUGGUUCAAGGACAGGAUGUGUGUUCCUGAUAUUGAAAGCCUUCGAGAGACUAUUUUAAAAGAGGCCCAUGAUUCGGAUUAUUCUAUUCAUCCUGGUAGUACCAAGAUGUAUCAGGAUUUGAAGCGGAAAUAUUGGUGGUAUGGAUUGAAGAGAGAUGUGGCUGCACAUGUGGUUAUGUGCGAUGUAUGUCAAAGAGUUAAGGCUGAACACCAGAGGCCAGCUGGACUAUUGCACCCACUGAAGAUACCCGAGUGGAAGUGGGAAGAGAUUGGUAUGGAUUUUAUUACUGGAUUGCCUCGCACCCAGAAAGGAUAUGAUGCUAUAUGGGUGAUUGUGGAUAGAUUAACAAAAGUGGCUCACUUCAUUCCUGUCAAGACUACUAAUAAAGGUUCUCAGCUAGCAGAGUUAUAUAUGGCUCGGAUUGUGUGUUUACAUGGAGUACCAAAGAAGAUCGUGUCUGAUCGAGGUUCACAGUUUACCUCAAGAUUUUGGAGAAGCUUUCAUGAGAACAUGAAUACCAAGUUGAAUUUUAGUACAGCUUAUCACCCUCAGACUGAUGGACAGACUGAAAAGACUAAUCAAGUAUUGGAAGAUAUGUUGAGAGCAUGUGCCCUUCAGCAUGGAGGAAGUUGGGAUAAGAGUCUACCUUAUGCUGAGUUCUCAUAUAAUUGAAAGGGAAUUAGGCUUACACCUAUUUCCUAAUUGAUUUUGGUGGUUGAAUUGCCCAACACAAAUAAUUGGACUAACUAGUUUGCUCUAGUCUAUAAGUUAUACAGGUGCCAAAGGUUCACAAAAAGCCAAUAAAAAGACCAAGAAAAGGGUUCAACAAAAAGAGCAAGGGAUAACCGAAGUGUGCCCUGGUCUGGCGCACCGGACUGUCCGGUGUGCCACCGGACAGUGUCCGGUGCACCAGGGGACUUCAAGCUGAACUCAACACCUUCGGGAAUUUCCAGAGGCGCUCCGCUAUAAUUCACCGGACUGUCCGGUGCACCACCGGACAGUGUUCGGUGCUCUAAGGAAGAGCGACUCUGAACUCACCAGCUUCGGGAAUCCGCUCCGCUAAAAUUCACCGGACUGUCCGGUGUGACAGCGGAGCAACGGCUACUUCAAGCACAACGGUCGUCUGCAACGCAUUAAAUGCGCGCCAGCGCGCGCAGAGGAGCAGAGCACGAGCGGGUGGCGCACCGGACAGCCUACAGGGCGUGUCCGGUGCACCACCGGACAGCCAGGCGGGCCCACAAGACAGAGCUCCAACGGUCGAACCCUAACGGCCGGGUGAUGUGGCUGGCGCACCGGACACUGUCCGGUGGCGCACCGGACUGUCCGGUGCGCCCGUCGACUGCAGCCUUCACCAAACGACUAGUUUGGUGGUUGGGGUUAUAAAUACCCCCAACCACCCCACAUUCAAGUCAUCCAAGUUUUCCACCUUCCAACCACAUUACAAGAGCUAGCAUUCAAUACAAGACACACAAAAGAGAUCAAAUCCUCUCCCAAUUCCACACAAAGCUUUAGUGAUUAGAGAGAGUGAUUUGUUGUGUUCAUUUGAGCUCUUGCGCUUGGAUUGCUUCUUUUCUUUCUCAUUCUUCUUGCGAUCAAACUAAUUUGUAAUCGAGGCAAGAGACACCAAUUGUGUGGUGGUCCUUGCGGGAAGUUUGGUUCCCAAUUGAUUGAGAAGAGAAGCUCACUCGGUCCGUGGGACCGUUUGAGAGAGGGAAAGGGUUGAAAGAGACCCAGUCUUUGUGACCACCUCAACGAGGAGUAGGUUUGCAAAAACCGAACCUCGGUAAAACAAAUCCUUGUGUCUCACUCUUUAUUCGCUUGCGAUUUGUUUUCACGCCCUCUCUCGGACUCGUUUACAUUUCUAACGCUAACCCGACUUAUAGUUGUGAUUAAGUUUGUAAAUUUCAGAUUCGCCCUAUUCACCCCCCUCUAGGCGACUUUCAAUUGGUAUCAGAGCCUGGUGCUUCAUUAGAGCCUAACCGCUCGAAGUGAUGUCGGGAGAUCACGCCAAGAGGGAGAUGGAGACCGGCGACAAGCCCACUACAAGCCACGGGAAGGCUUCAUCGGAAGAGUCCCAUAACAAGGGGAAGGGGAAGGAGAAGAAAUCCUCUUCCCACAAGUCGCAUCGAAGUGGCGACAAUAAAAAGAAGAUGAGGAAGGUGGUCUACUACGAGACCGAUACUUCAUCACCUUCCACCUCCGGCUCCGACGCGCCAUCCAUCACUUCUAAGCGCCAUGAGCGCAAGAAGUUUAGUAAGAUCCCCCUACGCUAUCCUCGCAUUCCUAAACAUACACCUUUACUUUCUGUCCCAUUAGGCAAACCACCAACGUUUGAUGGUGAAGAUUAUGCUAGGUGGAGUGAUAUGAUGCGAUAUCACCUAACCUCACUCCACAAAAGUAUAUGGGAUGUUGUUGAGUUUGGUGUACAGGUACCAUCCGUAGGGAUGAAGAUUAUGAUGAGGACGAAGUGGCCCAAAUCCAACACUUCAACUCCCAAGCCACAACUAUACUCCUUGCCUCUCUAAGUCAAGAGGAGUAUAAUAAGGUGCAAGGGUUGAAGAGUGCUAAAGAGAUUUAGGACGUACUAAAAACCGCGCACGAAGGAGAUGAGGUGACCAAGAUCACCAAGCGGGAAACGAUCGAGGGGGAGCUCGGUUGCUUCCGUCUUCGCCAAGGGGAGGAGCCACAAGAUAUGUACAACCGGCUCAAAACCUUGGUGAACCAAGUGCGCAACCUCGGGAGCAAAAAAUGGGAUGACCACGAAGUGGUUAAGGUUAUUCUUAGAUCACUUGUUUUUCUUAACCCCACUCAAGUUAAAUUAAUUUGUGGCAAUCCUAGAUAUACACUAAUGACUCCCGAGGAAGUAAUCGGGAAUUUUGUGAGCUUUGAAUUGAUGAUCAAAGGCUCAAAGAAGAUCAACGAGCUAGAUGGCCCCUCUACGCCCGAAGCACAACUAGUGGCAUUCAAGGCGACGGAGGAGAAGAAGGAGUCUACAUCAAGUAGACAACCCAUCGACGCCUCCAAGCUCGACAACGAGGAAAUGGCACUCAUCAUCAAGAAUUUCCGCCAAAUCCUCAAGCAAAGGAGGGGGAAGGAUUACAAGCCCCGCUCCAAGAAGGUUUGCUACAAGUGUGGUAAGCCCGGUCACUUUAUUGUUAAAUGUCCAUUAUCAAGUGAUAGUGACAGGGACAACGACAAGAAGGGGAGAAGAAAGGAGAAGAAGAGGUACUACAAGAAGAAGGGCGGCGAUGCCCAUGUUUGCCGGGAGUGGGACUCCGACGAGAGCUCCACCGACUCCUCCUCCGACGAGGACGCCGCCAACAUCGCCGUCACCAAGGGACUUAUCUUCCCCAACGUCGGCCACAAGUGCCUCAUGGCAAAGGACGACAAAAAGAAGAAGGUUAAAUCCAAAUCCUCCACUAAAUAUGAGUCCUCUAGUGAUGAUAAUGCUAGUGAUGAGGAGGAUAAUUUGCGUAUUCUUUUUGCUAACCUCAACAUGUAACAAAAAGAAAAACUAAAUGAACUAAUUAGUGCCAUCCAUGAGAAGGAUGAACUCUUGGACUCCCAAGAGGACUUCCUAAUUAAGGAAAAUAAAAAGCAUGUUAAGGUUAAAAAUGCUUACGCUCUAGAAGUAGAAAAAUGUGAAAAACUAUCUAGUGAGCUAAGCACUUGCCAUGAUACUAUUAUCAACCUUAGAAAUGAGAAUGCAAAUUUAAUUGCUAAGGUUGAUUCAAAUGCUUGUGAUAUUUCAAUUCCCAAUCUUAGAAAUGAUAAUGAUGAUUUGCUUGCUAAGAUUGAAGAAUUGAACAAUUCUCUUGCUAGCCUUAGGAUUGAAAAUGAAAAAUUGCUUGCUAAGGCUAAAGAUUUUGAUGUUUGCAAUGUUACUAUUUCUAACCUUAGAAGUGAAAAUGAUAUAUUACAUGCUAAGGUGAUAGAAUUAAAAUCUUGCAAACCCUCUACAUCUACCGUUGAGCAUGUUUCUAUUUGCACUAGAUGUAGAGAUGUUGAUAUUGAUGCUAUUCAUGAUUAUAUGGUCUUAAUUAAGCAACAAAAUGAUCAUAUAGCAAAAUUAGAUGCUAAAAUUGCCGAGCAUGAACUUGAAAAUGAAAAAUUUAAAUUUGCUUGUAGUAUGCUUUAUAAUGGGAGACGCCCUGGCAUUAAGGAUGGCAUUGGCUUCCAAAAGGGGGACAAUGUCAAACUUAAUGCCCCAGCCUAAAAGAUUGUCUAACUUUGUAAAGGGCAAGGCUCCUAUGCCUCAGGAUAACGAGGGUUACAUUUUGUACCCUGCCGGUUAUCCUGAGAGCAAAAUUAGGAGAAUUCAUUCUAGGAAGUCUCACUCUGGCCCUAACCAUGCUUUUAUGUAUAAGGGUGAGACAUCUAGUUCUAGGCAACCAACCCGUGCUAAGUUGCCUAAGAAGAAAACUCCUAAUGCAUCAAAUGACCAUAGCAUUUCAUUUAAAACUUUUAAUGCUUCCUAUGUGUUAACUAACAAAUCCGGCAAGGUAGUUGCCAAGUUUGUUGGGGGCAAACACAAGGAAUCAAGGACUUAUGUUUGGGUACCCAAAGUUCUUGUAUCUAAUGCCAAAGGACCCAAAACUGUUUGGGUACCUAAAAUCAAGAACUAAACUUGUUUUGUAGGUUUAUGCAUCCGGGGGCUCAAGUUGGAUCAUCGAUAGCGGGUGGACAAACCAUAUGACUGCGGAGAAGAAGAUGUUCUCCUCCUACGAGAAAAACCAAGAUCCCCAAAGAGCGAUCACAUUCGGGGAUGGAAACCAAGGUUUGGUCAAAGGUUUGGGUAAAAUUGCUAUAUCACCUGACCACUCAAUUUCCAAUGUUUUUCUUGUAGAUUCUUUAGAUUACAAUUUGCUUUCCGUAUCUCAAUUAUGUCAAAUGGGCUACAAUUGUCUUUUUACUGAUGUAGGUGUCACUGUCUUUAGAAGAAGUGAUGAUUCAAUAGCAUUUAAGGGAGUGUUAGAGGGUCAGCUCUACUUAGUAGAUUUUGAUAGAGCUGAACUUGACACUUGCUUAAUUGCUAAGACUAACAUGGGUUGGCUCUGGCACCGCCAACUAGCCCAUGUUGGGAUUAAGAAUCUUCAUAAGCUUCUAAAGGGAGAACACAUUUUAGGAUUUGUAAGGAAAAUGGACCCCGAGCCAUUUGGCUAAUUGAGUUUUGGUGUUUGAUGAUUAACACAACCUGUGGACUAAUAUGUUUGCUAGUGUUUAUAAUUAUAGUUCACAGGAUGCGAAGAGAAUUGGACCAAGGCAAUGAGGAUGCAACACCUCAAAAGAAGACAUAAAAAGAUGCAUAGGAGUCCAAUACUCAAGAACAAAAGAAGCCCGAAGAAAUCAGCGAAGAAAUCCAAGAUAAGGGCUGUCAGCCAGCGCCUGGUGGCGCACAGGACAUUGGUGUCCGGUGUGCACCGGACUGUCCGGUGAGGCACCAGACAGUCUGCGCAGAGAGGCCGCAGACAGGCGCUCUCUGGCUGUAGCACCGGACUGUCCGGUGUGCCAACGGGCAGACGGCAACAGUCGGAUCCAACGGUCGACUGCUAUAGGCGCCAACGGUCGGCUGACGUGGCGUGCACCGGACAUCUACUGUGCAGUGUCCGGUGGUGCACCGGACUGUCCGGUGCACCCGACGACAGAAAGCUGCUGCUUUCUGUCCAACGGCUAGUUUGGGGUGUGGAGGCUAUAAAUACCACCCCAACCGGCCAUUCUCAAGUGUGAGAGCCCAAGCAACAUAUCAAGGCAUAUAGUGCACAUUUCCAAGAGCUCAAACACCUAAGUGCUUAAUAGAAUCACUCGGUGAUUAGCGUAGGUGCUUUGCGAAGUGCUUAGGUUAGUUAGACCACUUUAGCGCUUGCUCUAGGUGAAUCCUAGUUAGUUGAGUGAGUUUUGUAAAACCACACAACCCCUCGGCUCUUGCGUGAGUCGUUGUAAUUGUACCGAGUGGGGCGAGAGUCUUGCGAGACCGUGACAACCGCGUUUGUGUCACGGCCGCCACCGUGUACCGGAGGGAACGAGGCCCGCGGUGUUUCGGCCGGAAGCUCGAUAGUGGAGACGGCGGGGAGUGUCCGAGAGGAGCCGGAAGCGGAGCACCACUUGCGCGUGGAGAAGGCCCGCGGCUCUCUACGGAGUUACUCGACCGUGGUGCUUGGCCCUCGCGUGGGCUUCCCUUUGCGUAGGGGCACCAACGAGGAUUAGUCGGGACCUUGCGUGGUUCCGGAUACCUCGGUAAAAAUACCGGCGUCAUCCACGAGAGUUUGCUUCUCUACUUAGCUCUUUACAUUCCGCAUUUAUAUUAAGCAUUUAAGUUUCAAUCUUGUAGUCAUACUUAUUUAGUGUAGAUUGAAACUUAGCCUUUUGCGGUAGAGAUAGCAACACUUAGACAAAACCUAGUUUGCACAUUCUAGUUUUGAUUAUUUGCAUAGGUUUUGCUCUAGGGAUUUAAUUGUGGCCUAGUUUAGUAAAAGUUUUAGAAGUCCUAAUUCACCCCCCCCCUCUUAGGCGUCACCCGUGUCCUACAAGUGGUAUCAGAGGCCAGUUUGGCUCAUUUGAAACGCUUUAGCUUCACCGCUAAAAGAGCCGACGCUUUUUAGAGGAAGGGAUGGAUACCCAUAGGCCACCACACUUCGACGACACUAACUUCCCAUAUUAUAGUGCUAGAAUGGCUUGUUACCUAGAGGUCGUUGAUCUAGGUGUUUGGAGAGUCACUCGUGACAGGAUGAAACCUCUCAAGAAUCCCGAGAAACCCACCACGAGUGAGGAAAAAGAAAUUCAUUUAAAUGCUAGAGCCAAAAAUUGCUUGUAUGAAUCUCUUAGCAUGGAUAUUUUUAAUCAAGUAUUUACCUUGAGAACUGCUAAUGAGAUUUGGCUAAAAUUGCAUGAGCUCCAUGAUGGCACAUCCAAUGUCCAUGAGCAAAAACAUUGCCUAGUCUUGAAUGAGUAUAAUUCUUUUGCUAUGAAAGAUGAUGAGCUUGUUAGAGACAUGUAUUCUCGUUUGAAUCUAAUUAUCAAUGAGCUCAAUUCUAUUGGCAUUAAUAAGCUAGGUGAUGCGGACAUUGUGAGGAAGAUUAUCUCCCUGCUACCACAACAAAGAUAUGGGAGCAUCAUCACCAUCCUUCACAACAUGGAGGAUUUGAGCAACAUGACCCCGACCAUUGUGAUUGGGAAAAUCGCGGCCUUUGAGAUGUCGCGAAAAAUGAGUCGGGGAGAGGAGCCAACUUCCUCAAGACCAUAUGCUUUUGCAUGUGAUGAAAGGAAGGGCAAAAAGAAGGCUCCCACUCCAAGUUCCUCAAGUGAAGAAGAGGAAGAAGAAGAAAGUGAUGAUGAUGAAGAUAAUCAACCAUGCACAUCAUCCUCCGAGGACGAAGAAACAAUCCGACGCGUUGGAAAGGUAAUGAGGAUGAUUCGCAAGAUUAAUCUAAUGGGUGUGCCCCUGCAGGUCGAGGAUCUUCUCUUUAACAUUGACAGGAAAAAGCAAAGGAAGAGAGGAUGCUUCGCAUGUGGGGAGAAGGGCCACUUCAGGGACAACUGUCCAAAUAUGGCCAAGCCCAAAAAGGAGAGGUGCAAAGGCAAGGCGCUAACCAGUGUUAGAACUUGGGAUGAUUCUUCAAGUGAAGAUGAACCUCCAAAGACGCGCAGCCACCGGUCCUCGUCACGAUCUUCACGGUCAUCACACAAAUGCCUUAUGGCAAGAGGUAACAAAAGCAUUCCAUCCUCUAGUGAUGAAAGUAGUAGUGAUGAUGAAGGUGAGGGAAAGCCCUCUCUAGAUGAGCUUGCGGAAGCCGUAGAAUUUUUCCAGGAUGUUUGCACUAAGCAAAAAGCUCAACUUAAAACUUUGAAAAAUAAGUUGGUUAGCUCUCAAAAUGAUUACAAAGGUUUGCUAGAAAAAUUUGAAACUUUUGCAAACUUAAAUAGUGAGCUAUCAACUAAAAUUGAGCUAUUAGAAUCUAGUGCUCCAUCCACUGCUACCGAUGAUAGCCUUAUUAAAAAGAAUGAAAAACUUAAGGCUAAGUUAGCUAGCCCCCAAGAAGCUAUUGAAAAUUUGCUAGAGAAAAUGGAAAUUCUUAGCAUACACAACAAUGAGCUAACUACUAAGCUAGAAAACAUUGGUAGCACCCCAGCAGCAUCUUUAGUUGAAAUACCUGAAAUAAUUAAGAAAGAUGCUUCUACUUCCUGCUUUGAUUUAAUUGAUGAUUCUAACCCCUGCAACCAAGUCGUUGUUGAGAAUAUUGUUGUAGAGACAUGUUCGGAUGAGGUUGCAAAGGAAAAUGAACAAUUAAAGCAAGAAGUGGCUCGCCUUGGCAAGGCUUUGUAUGACAAGAAAGGCAAAGCCAAACAAAUCCGACCUCCACAGGAUAACACCACUGCGGGAGUGAACAAGCCUGUAGAGGGAGAAACUGUGAUUUGUAGGCUAUGCCACAUGGAAGGCCACAAGUCUUUCCAAUGCAAGGCGAUGACCGGGGAUAAACAAAGGCAAAAGCUCAAGCAAAAGCCAUCAAGCAAAAUCUCCAACACCUACAUCAAAAAGGUGAACAAAAAGGAUGCUACACCAUAUUUGAUCAAGAAGAAAAAGAAUGGAAAGGUGAUAGCAAUCAAGGCAAACAAGCAAGCCAACAAAGGAAAGGGGGCCAAACGCAUCUGGGUGCCAAAGGAAAUAAUUUCAACCAUGAAAAGCACCAAGAAGGUUUGGAUCCCGAAAGGGAAGUGAGUGGACCAAAGGUCGUACGGGAAAUUUGGAGACUUGGCAAAAUUGGGAUGUAUAUCAUGGGAUACAUCAUAUUGAAUCAAGUUUAUUGCCAAGUGGGUUAGUGAAAAUUUUGGACCCAAAUUUCCCACCCAUGACUAAGGUAACUAGUUUUAUUGUAUUUCUCGUUUUUAGAUAUGCGUAUCUAUUUAUCUUUUAUCUAGUUUACCUUUCUUGCCUAGUAUUACAUUUGUUAUGUACUUUUGUUCAAAAUCAUGCAUACUAGGUAAAUCAUAUGGUAGGAUUGCUAGUUUUUAAAUUCAUAUACUUAAGCAAACCUACAUGGCUUAAAAUGUUUAGUUAAAGCACGGCACAUAGCUUCUAUAUCACUCCAUAGUAAAUGAUGCAUCAAUUGAAAAUUUUGAUUUCUACAAAGUGUAUCAUUUAACUUAUAUGUGCCAAAGUUAGGAUUAUGGAUAAUUUGCCCCUCUUGAUAUCAAAUCAAAGUGCAUGUCUCCUACAAGUAUUCAAAACUUGUAUGCACACCUUUAGGGGGAGGUUACUUGUCGGGGACCAUAAUUAGGGGUACCCUCAAGACGCCUAAUUCUCAGCUGGUAACCCCCAUCAGCAUAAAGCUGCAAAGGCCUGAUGGGUACGAUUAAGUCAGGGAUCAGUCCACACGAGUGACUCGAUCACGCUUCACCCGAGCCUAGCCUCGGCCAAGGGCAGCCGACCUCGAGAGACUUCCGUCUCGCCCGAGGCCCCCCUUUUUACGGCGGACACAUCACCGGCUCGCCCGAGGCCUUGGCUUCGCUCAGAAGCAACCUUGGCUAAAUCGCCACACCGACUGACCAAAUUGCAGGAGCAUUUAACGCAAAGGUGGCCUGACGCCUUUAUCCUGACACGCGCCCCCCCCGGCAGAGCCGAAGUGACUACCGUCACUCCACCGCUCCUCUGACCAGUCUGACAGAAGGACAGCGCCGCCUGCGCCACUCCGACUGCAGUGCCACUCGACAGAGUGAGUCUGACAGGCAGUCAGGCCUUGCCAAAGGUGCCACGGCGAACUCCGCUCCGCCCGACCCCAGGGCUCGGACUCGGGCUAAGACCCGGAAGACGGCGAACUCCGCUCCGCCCGACCCCAGGGCUCGGACUCGGGCUAAGACCCGGAAGACGGCGAACUCCGCUCCGCCCGACCCCAGGGCUCAGACUCGGGCUAAGACCCGGAAGACGGCGAACUCCGCUCCGCCCGACCCCAGGGCUCGGACUCGGGCUAAGACCCGGAAGACGGCGAACUCCGCUCCGCCGGACCCCAGGGCUCGGACUCGGGCUAAGACCCGGAAGACGGCAAACUCCGCUCCGCCCGACCCCAGGGCUCGGACUCGGGCUAAGACCCGGAAGACGACGAAACUCCGCCUCGCCCGACCCUAGGGCUCGGACUCCGCCCUGGCCUCGGCCGAACGACUUCCGCCUCGCCCGACCCCAUGGCUCGGGCUCGGCCUAGGCAACAAAGGACAGACUCAACCUCGGCUUCGGAGGAGCCCCCACGUCACCCUGCCUAGGGCACAGACCCGCCACGUCAACAGGAAGCGCCAUCAUCAUCCUACCCCGAAUCGACUCGGGUCACGGAGAACAAGACCGGCGUCCCAUCCGGCCAGCUCCGCCGGACGGGCAAUGAUGGCGCUCCACAAACUCUAUGACGAUGGCGGCCCCCAGCUCUCUUACGGAAGCAGGACGACGUCAGCAGGGACUCGACCGCUCCAACAGCUGUCCCUCCGCCAAGCUCCGACGCACCUCCGACAGCCACGACAUCACGCCAGCAAGGUGCCAAGAUCUCUCCGGCUGCCACAUUGGCAUGUACCUAGGGCGCUAGCUCUCUCUCCGCUAGACACGUAGCACUCUGCUACACCCCCAUUGUACACCUGGAUCCUCUCCUUACGACUAUAAAAGGGAGGACCAGGGCCUUCUUAGAGGAGGUUGGCCGCGCGGGACCGAGGACGGGACAGACGCUCUCUUGGGGCCGCUCGCUUCCCUCACCCGCGUGGACGCUUGUAACCCCCCUACUGCAAGCGCACCUGACCUGGGCGCGGGACGAACACGAAGGCCGCGGGACUUCCACCUCUCUCACGCCCGACUCCGGCCACCUCGCCUCUCCCCCCUUCGCGCUUGCCCACGCGCUCGACCCAUCUGGGCUGGGGCACGUAGCACACUCACUCGUCGGCUUAGGGACCCCCCUGUCUCGAAACGCCGACAGUUGGCGCGCCAGGUAGGGGCCUGCUGCGUGCUGACGAACAGCUCCCCGUCAAGCUCCAGAUGGGCAGUCUCCAGCAACCUCUCCGGCCCGGGACGGUGCUUCGUUUCGGGACUCUUGAGUUCAUGUCCUUCGACGGCAGCUACGACAUGAUACUCCUUCCACCGCCGCGCGACGGCGACAAUGGCGGCCGACAACCCGCCCGCCGGCGGCGGAAUCGACGACAUCUUCCCCGCGUGGUGGAAGAGCAACAUUCGGGCUCGCUCCGUUCUCUCCCCCGCCAACGGAGGAGGAGGCGGGGCCAUCAAGGCCAGGCGGGAGGCCGCGCUUCGUUGGCCAUCGAGCGAAUCGACGCCCCCGACGCCCCGACGGAAGGCACGCCGGACGUCGACCUCGCGUUCAAGACGACGCCGGAAGACGACGCCGGCGCGCUCGCGGAAAGCCUGCAGGACGUCGCCCUCGUACCUGAGAUGACGGUGCAACCAGUCCCCGAUGUGACUACGUCGCUCCUCGUCGACCAAAAGGUACCAACUAACUCCCAUCUUGCGUCAUUUCGACUCGGCCUCAACCCGCCAAACGACCUCGUUUUGGCGGGCGCUCUCAUUGAGGCGAAUGCAACCCCACUGGGGUUUCGUGUGCGGUCGCCUUGGGACCGACUGACGGACGUCUCGACCUACGGGCCCUCUGGGUCCGAGGAAGAUGACGAUCCCAGCAUCUGUUGGGAUUUCUCCGGACUUGGUAGCCCCAGUGCCAUGCGGGACUUCAUGACCGCAUGUGACUACUGCCUAUCCGACUGUUCCGACGGAAGCCGCAGCCUUGGCGACGAGAGCUGCGGCCCAAGCCGCGAAUGUUUCCACAUCGAGCUAGGGGAUCCCUCCGAAGGCAACCAUCUCGGCAUGCCGGAGGACGGUGAUCUUCCUAGGCCGGUGCCUCGCGCCGACAUCCCACGGGAGCUAGCUGUGGUCCCCGCUCCGGCGGGGGGUUACGACCCACAACUCGAGCAAGUCCGCGAGGCGCAGGCCAGGCUCAACGAGGGAACAGGAGCGCUUGAGCCGAUCCGUCGGGACGUCGGACAAGCAUGGGCGGGCCAACCCCUGGCCGGAGAAAUACGUCACCUGCCCCAAGGUCUCCAGCACCGCGUUGCCAACGAUGCCAGGGUCAGGCCGCCGCCCGCAUCCAGCCGGGUUGGUCAGAACCUGGCAGCCGCAGCGAUGCUCAUCCGCGCGAUGCCGGAGCCGUCAACCACCGAGGGUCGGCGAAUCCAGGGAGAGCUCAAGAAUCUCCUGGAAGGCGCUGCGGCCCGACGGGCCGAAAGCACUGCCUCUCGAAGGCAGGGAUAUCCCUCGGAACCUCAUGCCGCGACUUCCCGAUUCAUGCGGGAAGCCUCGGUCCACACCGGGCGCACGCGCAACACCGCGCCUGCGGCCCCGGGCCACCUCGGCAACGAGCACCAUCGACGCGACCGUCGGGCUCACCUCGACGAAAGGGUGCGCCGAGGCUACCACCCCAGGCGUGGGGGACGCUAUGACAGCGGGGAGGAUCGGAGUCCCUCGCCCGAACCACCCGGUCCGCAGGCCUUCAGUCGGGCCAUCCGACGGGCGCCAUUCCCGACCCGGUUCCGACCCCCGACUACUAUCACGAAGUACUCGGGGGAAACGAGACCGGAACUAUGGCUCGCGGACUACCGAUCCCCCUGUUCAUCCGUAACCUCCCCCUGUUCCUCUCCGACACUGCUCGCGCCUGGUUGGAGCACCUGCCUCCGGGGCAGAUCUCCAACUGGGACGACUUGGUCCAAGCCUUCGCUGGCAAUUUCCAGGGCACAUACGUGCGCCCCGGGAAUUCCUGGGACCUUCGAAGCUGCCGGCAACAGCCGGGGGAGUCGCUCUGGGACUACAUCCGGCGAUUCUCGAAGCAGCGCACCGAGCUGCCCAACAUCACCGACUCGGAUGUCAUCGGCGCAUUCCUCGCCGGCACCACUUGCCGCGACCUGGUGAGCAAGCUGGGUCGCAAGACCCCCACCAGGGCGAGCGAGCUGAUGGACAUCGCCACCAAGUUCGCCUCUGGCCAGGAGGCGGUUGAGGCUAUCUUCCGAAAGGACAAGCAGCCCCAGGGCCGCCCAUCGGAAGAGGCUCCCGAGGCGUCUGCUCCGCGCGGCGCCAAGAAAAAAGGCAAGAAGAAGUCGCAAUCGAAACGCGACGCCGCUGACGCGGACCUUGUCGCCGCCGCCGAGUACAAGAACCCUCGGAAGCCCCCCAGAGGUGCAAACCUCUUCGACAAGAUGCUCAAGGAGCCGUGCCCCUAUCAUCAGGGGCCCGUCAAGCACACCCUCGAGGAGUGCGUUAUGCUUCGGCGUCACUUCCACAGGGCCGGGCCACCCGCCGAGGGUGGCAGGGCCCGCGACGACGACAAGAAUGAAGAUCACCCAGCAGGAGAGUUCCCCGAGGUCCGCGACUGCUUCAUGAUCUAUGGAGGGCAUGCGGCGAAUGCCUCGGCUCGGCACCGCAAGCAAGAGCGCCGGGAGGUCUGCUCGGUGAAGGUGGCGGCGCCAGUCUACCUAGACUGGUCCGACAAGCCCAUCACUUUCGACCAGGCCGACCACCCCGACCAUGUGCCGAGCCCGGGGAAAUACCCGCUCGUCGUCGACCCCGUUGUCGGCAAUGUCAGGCUCACCAAAGUCCUGAUGGAUGGGGGCAGCUGCCUCAACAUCAUCUACGCCGAGACCCUCAAGCUCCUGCGCGUCGAUCUGUCCUCCGUCCGAGCAGGCGCUGCGCCCUUCCACGGGAUCAUCCCUGGGAAGCGCGUCCAGCCCCUCGGGCGACUCGACCUCCCCGUCUGCUUCGGGACGCCCUCCAACUUCCGAAGGGAGACCCUGACGUUCGAGGUGGUCGGGUUCCGAGGAACCUACCACGCCGUACUAGGGAGGCCAUGCUACGCGAAGUUCAUGGCCGUCCCCAACUACACCUACCUGAAGCUCAAGAUGCCGGGCCCCAACGGGGUCAUCACCGUCGGCCCCACGUACAAACACGCGUUCGAAUGCGACGUGGAGUGCGUGAGUACGCCGAGGCCCUCGCCGAGUCCGAGGCCCUCAUCGCCGACCUGGAGAACCUCUCCAAGGAGGUGCCAGACGUGAAGCGCCAUGCCGGCAACUUCGAACCAGCGGAGACGGUUAAGGCCGUCCCUCUCGACCUCAGUGGCGACACCACCAAGCAGGUCCGGAUCGGUUCCGGGCUCGACCCCAAAUAGGAAGCAGUGCUCGUCGACUUUCUCUGCGCAAACGCCGACGUCUUUGCGUGGAGUCCCUCGGACAUGCCCGGCAUACCGAGGGAUGUCGCCGAGCACUCGCUGGAUAUUCGGGCCGGAGCCCAACCCGUCAGGCAGCCUCUGCGCCGAUUCGACGAGGAGAAGCGCAGAGUGAUUGGCGAAGAGAUCCACAAGCUAAUGGCAGCAGGGUUCAUCAAAGAGGUAUUCCAUCCCGAAUGGCUUGCCAACCCUGUGCUUGUGAGGAAGAAAGGGGGGAAAUGGCGGAUGUGUGUAGACUACACUGGUCUCAACAAAGCAUGUCCGAAGGUUCCCUACCCUCUGCCUCGCAUCGACCAAAUCGUGGAUUCCACCGCUGGGUGCGAAACCCUGUCCUUCCUUGAUGCCUACUCAGGGUAUCACCAGAUCCGGAUGAAAGAGUCCGACCAGCUCAUGACUUCUUUCAUCACGCCGUUCGGCAUGUACUGCUAUGUCACCAUGCCGUUCGGUUUGAGGAAUGCGGGCGCGACGUACCAGCGGUGCAUGAACCAUGUGUUCGGCGAACACAUCGGUCGCACAGUCGAGGCCUACGUCGAUGACAUCGUAGUCAAGACAAGGAAGGCAUCCGACCUCCUCUCCGACCUUGAAGUGACAUUCCGAUGUCUCAAGGCGAAAGGAGUCAAGCUCAAUCCUGAGAAGUGUGUCUUCGGGGUGCCCCGAGGCAUGCUCCUAGGGUUCAUCGUCUCCGAGCGAGGCAUUGAAGCCAACCCGGAGAAGAUCGCGGCCAUCACCAGCAUGGGACCCAUCAAGGACUUAAAAGGUGUACAAAGGGUCAUGGGAUGCCUCGCGGCCCUGAGCCGCUUCAUCUCACGCCUCGGCGAAAGAGGUCUGCCUCUGUACCGCCUCUUAAGGAAGGCCGAGUGUUUCGCUUGGACCCCUGAGGCCGAGGAAGCCCUCGGCAACCUGAAGGCGCUCCUUACAAAGGCGCCUGUCUUGGUGCCCCCGGCUGAUGGAGAAGCCCUCUUGGUCUACGUCGCCGCGACCACUCAGGUGGUUAGCGCCGCGAUUGUGGUCGAGAGGCAAGAGGAAGGGCAUGCAUUGCCCGUUCAGAGGCCGGUCUACUUCGUCAGCGAAGUGCUGUCCGAGACCAAGAUCCGCUACCCACAAGUUCAAAAGCUGCUAUAUGCUAUGAUCCUGACAAGGCGGAAGCUGCGACACUACUUCGAGUCUCAUCCGGUAACUGUGGUGUCAUCCUUCCCCCUGGGGGAGAUCAUCCAGUGCCGAGAGGCCUCGGGCAGGAUCGCAAAGUGGGCGGUGGAAAUCAUGGGCGAAACAAUCUCGUUCGCCCCUCAGAAGGCCAUCAAGUCCCAGGUGUUGGCAGACUUCGUGGCCGAAUGGGUCGACACCUAGUCGCCGACAGCUCCGAUCCAACCGGAGCUCUGGACCAUGUUUUUCGACGGGUCGCUGAUGAAGACAGGAGCCGGCGCGGGCCUGCUCUUCAUCUCGCCCCUCGGAAAGCACUUGCGCUACGUGCUGCGCCUCCAUUUCCCGGCGUCCAACAAUGUGGCCGAAUACGAAGCUCUGGUCAAUGGGUUGCGGAUCGCCAUCGAGCUAGGGGUCAGACGCCUCGACGCCCGCGGUGAUUCGCAGCUCGUCAUCGACCAAGUCAUGAAGAACUCCCACUGCCGCGACCCGAAGAUGGAGGCCUACUGUGACGAGGUUCGGCGCCUGGAAGACAAGUUCUUCGGGCUCGAACUCAACCACAUCGCUCGGCGCUACAACGAAACCGCAGACGAGCUGGCUAAAAUAGCCUCGGGGCGAACGACGGUCCCCCCGGACGUCUUCUCCCGGGAUCUGCAUCAACCCUCUGUCAAGCUCGACGACACGCCCGAGCCCGAGGUACCCUCGGCUACGCCCAAGGCACCCUCGGCGCAGCCCGAGGUACCCUCGGCCCCCGAGGGCGAGGCGUUGGACGUCGAGGAAGAGCAGAGCGGGGCCACGCCAGAUCGAGAUUGGCAGGCCCCGUACCUGCAAUAUCUCCGUCGAGGAGAGCUACCCCCCGACCAAGUCGAGGCUCGGCGGGUAGCGCGGCGCGCCAAGUCAUUCGUCUUGCUGGGCGAUGAAGAGGAGCUCCACCAUCGCAGCCCCUCGGGCAUCCUCCAGCGAUGCAUCUCCAUCGCCGAGGGUCGGGAGCUGCUGCAAGAAAUGCACUCGGGGGCUUGCGGCCACCACGCAGCGCCCCGAGCCCUUGUCGGGAAUGCUUUCCGACAAGGCUUCUACUGGCCAACGGCGGUGGCUGACGCCACUAGAAUUGUCCGCACCUGCGAAGGGUGCCAAUUCUAUGCGAAGCGGACCCACCUGCCCGCUCAGGCUCUGCAGACAAUACCCAUCACCUGGCCCUUCGCUGUAUGGGGUCUGGACCUCGUCGGUCCCUUGCAGAAGGCGCCCGGGGGCUACACGCACCUGCUGGUCGCCAUCGACAAAUUCUCCAAGUGGAUCGAGGUCCGACCUCUGAACAGCAUCAGGUCCGAGCAGGCGGUGGCGUUCUUCGCCAACAUCAUCCAUCGCUUCGGGGUCCCGAACUCCAUCAUCACCGACAACGGCACCCAGUUCACCGGCAAAAAAUUCUUGGAUUUUUGCGAGGAUCACCAUAUCCGGGUGGACUGGGCCGCCGUGGCUCACCCCAUGUCGAAUGGGCAAGUAGAGCGUGCCAACGGCAUGAUUCUACAAGGGCUCAAGCCUCGGAUCUACAACGACCUCAACAAGUUCGGCAAGCGAUGGAUGAAGGAACUCCCCUCGGUGGUCUGGAGCCUAAGGACGACGCCGAGUCGUGCCACGGGUUUCACGCCGUUUUUCCUGGUCUACGGGGCUGAAGCUAUCUUGCCCACUGACCUGGAAUACGGCUCCCCGAGGAUGAGGGCCUACACCGAUCAAAGCAACCAAGCUAGCCGAGAAGAAUCGCUGGACCAGCUGGAGGAGGCUCGGGACAGGGCCUUACUACACUCGGCGCGGUACCAGCAGUCCCUGCGACGCUACCACGCCCGAGGGAUCCGGUCCCGAGAACUCCAGGUGGGCGAUCUGGUGCUUCGGCUGCGACAAGACGCCCGAGGGAGGCACAAGCUCACGCCCCCCUGGGAAGGGCCAUUCGUCAUCGCCAAAGUUCUGAAGCCCGGAACAUACAAGCUGGCCAACAAUCAAGGCGAGAUCUACGGCAACGCUUGGAACAUCAAACAGCUACGUCGCUUCUACCCUUAAGAUGUUUUCAAGUUGUUCAUAUACCUCGCAGCCACGCAAAGUUUAGUCGUCAAGGAAGGGUCGGCCUAGCCUCGACAAAGCCCGACCCUCCCUCGGGGGCUAAAAGGGGGGAGACCCCCUCUGCGUCGAAUUUUUCCUCGAAAAAGGAUCUCUUUUUAGCAGGAUUUCUUUCGUGCUUCUUGACUACUUCGGAAAGCGGAUCCUAGAAACGACGGAGUACACGUAAGCAGCCAAGGCUGACCGAGCCGAGGGACUCCUACGCCUCCGGGAUACGGAUACCUCACUCAUCACCUUCUGCGAUAAGUAACUCGCGCUCGGAUAAAGCGACUCCGUGGACCGAACAAGUCUUCACGUUCGGAAGCUCUCCUGCCGAAGCAAUCCUUCAAGCUUUCUCGACUAAGUCGGGGACAGGGCCUCAUGAACGGGUGAAAGUAAGCGUAAACGGCAAGACCGACCGAGCCGAGGGAUUCCCACGCCUCUGGGACACGGAUACCUCACUCGUCCCUUCCGCGAGAAGCAACUCUCGCUCGCACAAACAUCCCUGUUACCGACAGGGUCCAGAUGCUCGAAACAAGAGGAAAAAAGACACAGCUUCGCAAGCGCGGCGAGGGUGUGUUUUUCUGGCCUCGGCGGCCGCAGAAGGCACACGCUACAAGACAAUAUGAUCCUGCAGGCUCGGGUCUUCACGCCGAAGGGAGCUAUAGCACCCUCGGCAUCGACGACGUCUUCAGCAAAGUCCGACCCAGCCUCGGACGGCGACGCGGUCCAGGGACUCCUCCGGGAAUCCGGCCCGAGCAGGCGGCUCGGCCGGUUACCCCUGGGGCCUCGGUCAACCGGCUUCCAAGGGCGCCAGCCCGACCCAAGGCCUCGGCUGAUCGACUUUGGCGUCGGCUCCACUGACGGACAACACGACUAGGCUCCGGCCAACCAGGUUCCCAUUCUCGAGCCAACUCCGCCUCUGUUCAUACUGAUAUCGCUACCCCUGGCCUCGGCCCAUCGAAGGGUGGCCGAGGGGUCUCUUCAACUAAGCUAAGAGGAGCCCCAGGCAACAAGGCCGAACGGGCCGAGGGAUUCCUACGCCUCCGGGAUACGGAUACCUCACCCGUCACCUUGACACGGGGUGACUCAUGCUUGGUAAAGCGGUUCAGAUAAUCGACAGGCGAGACUUAGUGCUCGAAAAUGAGGAAAAGACACGGCUCCGUGCCGAAAUUACAUACAUGUUCAGGCCCCGACAGCCGCAAUGAACAAAAAACACCGGCAUUCGAAAUGCCAUUACAAACGGAACUCCGGUUCCCCUCCGCAGGAACGAACAACCCCACUCCGAGGGGGAAGGCCUGCGGAGUAACAGAAGAACGAUGAGCGGCUCGCUGCCGCCCGUUCCAACCACGACGACAACCACCCCUGCCCUAGGCAGCGAAGCGGCUUAGGCAGCAGCUUUGGGGCAGGUGUCACGACAGGAGGGCUCUCCCCCGCUAAGGACAAGAACCAGCCAUUCAGGCAGGGAGACGGAGACCCAGGGCCACUAGCGCCCUACCUAUCCCGGCAUGGCUGGAGGAAGUCUCCGUGGGGCUCAAGGACGCCCUUCUCCCCCAGGCGCGGGGGAAGAAAAAGGCAGCCGACCCACGCGGGGGCGGCCCCCCGACUCGCCUCAUCUUCCAUCUUGGCCUGGAUGACGAAAAUCCUUGAGGCCGAGGGAGGAGUAGAGGCCGCGGCCUGGCCCGCUUUCCCCACCGUCGAACUAGAGGUCACCAUCUUGGGUGACCGCCGGUGGCGGGGUGUGGCCAGGCUGCGUGAUGAAAAUCCUUGAAGCCGAACGAUGGCUGAGAGGUACCAACUCUCAUGGAGUUGCGUUCCUCCGACGAGGAGGCGGAAAGGCGGCGGAUACCCCCCAUCCGGGGGCUUGGAAGAUGGAAAGACACGACGCAUAAGGGAAAAAGAAGACAUGGUUGCCUUCCGAAAGGAGUCCCCCUCCUUUUAAAGGCAACUCUCCCUACGUGCGCCCCCGGACGCCGCGGGCCGAGUCUUCUCCAACACGCUCCAAGGCCCUCCCCUGCGACUCGGGGGCUGGGUCCCGCAUGUCAUGCAAACCAGCUCAGGGCAGAAGAAGCCAAACCGCCGCGCGUGGUGCGCACGACCGUCCAGCGGUUACAAGCGACCCCCCACUUUGGCCCAGACCAACGGGCGGAAGGGGCGGGCAGCCAUGCAGGCGGCAUGCAACCGCGCCAGGUGGACGCGCUUCUCCGACUUCUGACACGCCAGCUUGGAAGCCCAAGCCCACGCGUCAAAAAACCGGCGCGCCAGUUGCUGCAUGCAAGCAACCGCACCGCCACUUGUGCCACCGUGACGCCUCUUCGGUUGCGGAGCCUAUGCCGCGACUUGAGGCGACCCAACAGCGCCAGCCUGGCACGUCGGUCAAAGCAACCGAAAGUGGGCCGGCAGUAAUGGCGGUGGCAGGCGGGCGGGCGCAGCAGUCACGUCGUCAGCCAGGCUCACGUCCCAUCCUGGGACAGCAAGAGAGCCUCCUCUCACGGCGCGAAGACGGUGCACCCGUGACCCGUUCCUCGAACGGCUCGCGCACACGUAACGGCCACCCCGCCAACCACUCGCCCCGUCGCAUUAACUCCGCGGCGGGACACGCGGAGCCUCUGGCGGGAGAAGCGCGCGACGCUUCGCCUUCGCCGUGAUAACCGCGUCAAAAAGAGGUACGCCACGUCGUUCGAUUUCGUAUCCUUUUCCUUUUUCCUCUUUCUCUAUCUCUUGCAACAGGGACCGGGAAAGGGGGAUACCCCGAAAAGGAUCCUUCUCUGCGAAGGAACCGGGCUCCGAGCCCCCCCUACUGAUCAGGGGUUCGAAGACUGGCCCUCCGAAGGGUUCAACAGUCGCCUCAGAUCGCGUGGGCCCGACACCCGCUACUGGUCAGGGGUUCGAAGGCCAGCCCCCCGAAGGGUUCCAUGGCCGCCUCAGGCUACUCGGGCUCCGCGCCCAUUACUGAUCAGGGGUUCGAAGGCUGGCCCCCGAAGGGUUCACAGUCGCCUCAGACACCGAGCGAGGGAUGACCAGGGGUACGUUCGAUACAUAACCGAGGCUCGGGCUGCGCUCCCGAGGUACCCUAGGACAUUUCCGAGACCAGCGGGAACGAUCUUGUAACGGAAUCCCAUCGGAGGGAGGCAUCGAGCCCUCGGACCCCGUCGCCAGGGGACCGGGUCCGGCAAAUCACCCGCAGGUACUUUUGGGCGUGCCUCUGGGCCCCUAGUCGACCCCCAACGAACGGGGCACGGACGUCCACUCGGAUUACCCGCUUGCAGCUCACCGGAGACACCAUGUUCGGUGCCCAUCGAGGGUAACAUGGCGCACUCCCCCCUCCUCCUUGCGGAAAGGCGACGUAGGGGCGUAUGUAAAAAGUCGAGUCUGUCCCUGAUCGUCCUCUCGCCCUGUGCAGAGGCUCGGGGGCUGCUCUCGCAAAAAACCGGCUCCGGCCAAACCGUUGACAGCGUCAACAUACCAGCCCGAGAGCUUGGGCCCCGACCGUGCACCCGGGCUACGGCCAGUUCGCAUGAGGGAACGACCAGACCAGCCGAAGCGUUACGCGAGGUAUUAAGACCUCGAAGGAGUGUAACCACUCCUCCGAGGCCUCGGGGGCUACACCCGGCGGGUGCGCUCGCGCGCACCCACCGGAACAAAAUGCAACCGAGAAAGGCUGGUCCCCUUGCAAAAAAGUGCGACGAAAGCCUCCAAGCGAGUGCUAACACUCCCUUCGAGGCUCGGGGGCUACUGUCGGGGACCAUAAUUAGGGGUACCCUCAAGACGCCUAAUUCUCAGCUGGUAACCCCCAUCAGCAUAAAGCUGCAAAGGCCUGAUGGGUACGAUUAAGUCAGGGAUCAGUCCACACGAGUGACUCGAUCACGCUUCACCCGAGCCUAGCCUCGGCCAAGGGCAGCCGACCUCGAGAGACUUCCGUCUCGCCCGAGGCCCCCCUUUUUACGGCGGACACAUCACCGGCUUGCCCGAGGCCUUGGCUUCGCUCAGAAGCAACCUUGGCUAAAUCGCCACACCGACUGACCAAAUUGCAGGAGCAUUUAACGCAAAGGUGGCCUGACGCCUUUAUCCUGACACGCGCCCCCCCGGCAGAGCCGAAGUGACUGCCGUCACUCCACCGCUCCUCUGACCAGUCUGACAGAAGGACAGCGCCGCCUGCGCCACUCCGACUGCAGUGCCACUCGACAGAGUGAGUCUGACAGGCAGUCAGGCCUUGCCAAAGGCGCCACGGCGAACUCCGCUCCGCCCGACCCCAGGGCUCGGACUCGGGCUAAGACCCGGAAGACGGCGAACUCCGCUCCGCCCGACCCCAGGGCUCGGACUCGGGCUAAGACCCGGAAGACGGCGAACUCCGCUCCGCCCGACCCCAGGGCUCGGACUCGGGCUAAGACCCGGAAGACGGCGAACUCCGCUCCGCCCGACCCCAGGGCUCGGACUCGGGCUAAGACCCGGAAGACGGCGAACUCCGCUCCGCCCGACCCUAGGGCUCGGACUCGGGCUAAGACCCGGAAGACGACGAAACUCCGCCUCGCCCGACCCCAGGGCUCGGACUCCGCCCUGGCCUCGGCCGAACGACUUCCGCCUCGCCCGACCCCAUGGCUCGGGCUCGGCCUAGGCAACAAAGGACAGACUCAACCUCGGCUUCGGAGGAGCCCCCACGUCACCCUGCCUAGGGCACAGACCCGCCACGUCAACAGGAAGCGCCAUCAUCAUCCUACCCCGAAUCGACUCGGGUCACGGAGAACAAGACCGGCGUCCCAUCCGGCCAGCUCCGCCGGACGGGCAAUGAUGGCGCUCCACAAACUCUAUGACGAUGGCGGCCCCCAGCUCUCUUACGGAAGUAGGACGACGUCAGCAGGGACUCGACCGCUCCAACAGCUGUCCCUCCGCCAAGCUCCGACGCACCUCCGACAGCCACGACAUCACGCCAGCAAGGUGCCAAGAUCUCUCCGGCUGCCACAUUGGCAUGUACCUAGGGCGCUAGCUCUCUCUCCGCUAGACACGUAGCACUCUUCUACACCCCCCAUUGUACACCUGGAUCCUCUCCUUACGACUAUAAAAGGGAGGACCAGGGCCUUCUUAGAGGAGGUUGGCCGCGCGGGACCGAGGACGGGACAGGCGCUCUCUUGGGGCCGCUCGCUUCCCUCACCCGCGUGGACGCUUGUAACCCCCCUACUGCAAGCGCACCUGACCUGGGCGCGGGACGAACACGAAGGCCGCGGGACUUCCACCUCUCUCACGCCCGACUCCGGCCACCUCGCCUCUCCCCCCUUCGCGCUCGCCCACGCGCUCGACCCAUCUGGGCUGGGGCACGCAGCACACUCACUCGUCGGCUUAGGGACCCCCCUGUCUCGAAACGCCGACAUUACUCUAUAAUCUAACACUUUGAGACUAACACCUUUUCAAGUCUAUUUCAUGUGAUAGUCUCAUUGUAAGGAAAAUGAAGUCCCCGGAGAAAGACAACAAUAUUCCACUGCAAAAUCUCCAAGAACUCUCAUGUCUCUCAAGCUCGCCAUUGAUCUUCAAUUGGUAUCUUUUGAGACUACAUUCAGUAUCAUUUACAUGUCUUCUCCAAAUAUUUGAUUAGACUAUAUUUCAUAUCAUAUGCUUCCAUGUUGCUAAAAAUGCAUAAGUAGUGAACUCAUACUCUGUUACCUAUGCAUAAGGGAAGUUAGUCUUUUCAAAUCAUGUCUUGCACCUCUAAUUUUCACAUGCUUUUUCCUAAGUAGAGGAUCUCUGUCAGGGGGAGUAUUUCUUCAUCUCUAAAAAGGGGGAGAAACUUCUUUGUAAAGAGAACACUCAUUUAGGGGGAGUUCCUUUCAACUGGUAUCAUUCAUAUGGUUUAUUUUAAUAUCCUUCUAGUGAUAUCAUUUGAUACAAUUCUUGUUGAGGGCAAGCUUUUAUUUACUUCCUACAUGCUUUUAAUGUCUUCCUUUUCGGUGGUUGAUGCCAAAGGGGGAGAAGUUUAGGGACCAAAAGCAAUGGAAACUAUAUCAAACACCAAACACCACCAAUUUAAAAUUUUAUAUCUACAAAUGGUUUUUCCAGUGGUUUUGGUUAUUUGGUCCAAAAAUAGGAAGUAAGUGAAUUAUGGAGUUAGGGGGAGACUUAAGUCCAUAAUAUCACAUUGUGGGGACAAUCAUGCAUCUUAGCAAGUAGAUUGCAUAUUUUAAUUCAAACACUUGUAUUAUUUGCUUGCUUUGGUUGUGUUGUCAUCAAUCACCAAAAAGGGGGAGAUUGUAAGGAAAAUGGACCCCGGGCCAUUUGGCUAAUUGAGUUUUGGUGUUUGAUGAUUAACACAACCUGUGGACUAAUAUGUUUGCUAGUGUUUAUAAUUAUAGUUCACAGGAUGCGAAGAGAAUUGGACCAAGGCAAUGAGGAUGCAACACCUCAAAAGAAGACAUAAAAAGAUGCAUAGGAGUCCAAUACUCAAGAAUAAAAGAAGCCCGAAGAAAUCAGCGAAGAAAUCCAAGAUAAGGGCUGUCAGCCAGCGCCUGGUGGCGCACCGGACAUUGGUGUCCGGUGUGCACCGGACUGUCCGGUGAGGCACCGGACAGUCUGCGCAGAGAGGCCGCAGACAUGCGCUCUCUGGCUGUAGCACCGGACUGUCCGGUGUGCACCGGACUGUCCGGUGUGCCAACGGGCAGACGGCAACGGUCGGAUCCAACGGUCGACUGCUACAGGCGCCAACGGUCGGCUGACGUGGCGUGCACCGGACAUCUACUGUGCAGUGUCCGGUGGUGCACCGGACUGUCCGGUGCACCCGACGACAGAAAGCUGCUGCUUUCUGUCCAACGGCUAGUUUGGGGUGUGGAGGCUAUAAAUACCACCCCAACCAGCCAUUCUCAAGUGUGAGAGCCCAAGCAACAUACCAAGGCAUAUAGUGCACAUUUCCAAGAGCUCAAACACCCAAGUGCUUAAUAGAAUCACUCGGUGAUUAGCGUAGGUGCUUUGCGAAGUGCUUAGGUUAGUUAGACCGCUUUAGCGCUUGCUCUAGGUGAAUCCUAGUUAGUUGAGUGAGUUUUGUAAAACCACACAACCCCUCGGCUCUUGCGUGAGUCGUUGUAAUUGUACCGAGUGGGGCGAGAGUCUUGUGAGACCGUGACAACCGCGUUUGUGUCACGGCCGCCACCGUGUACCGGAGGGAACGAGGCCCGCGGCGUUUCGGCCGGAAGCUCGAUAGUGGAGACGGCGGGGAGCGUCCGAGAGGAGCCGGAAGCGGAGAACCACUUGCACGUGGAGAAGGCCCGCGGCUCUCUACGGAGUUACUCGACCGUGGUGCUUGGCCCUCGCGUGGGCUUCCCUUUGCGUAGGGGCACCAACGAGGAUUAGUCGGGACCUUGCGUGGUUCCGGAUACCUCGGUAAAAAUACCGGCGUCAUCCACAAGAGUUUGCUUCUCUACUUAGCUCUUUACAUUCCGCAUUUAUAUUAAGCAUUUAAGUUUCAAUCUUGUAGUCAUACUUAUUUAGUGUAGAUUGAAACUUAGCCUUUUGCGGUAGAGAUAGCAACACUUAGACAAAACCUAGUUUGCACAUUCUAGUUUUGAUUAUUUGCAUAGGUUUUGCUCUAGGGAUUUAAUUGUGGCCUAGUUUAGUAAAAGUUUUAGAAGUCCUAAUUCACCCCCCCUCUUAGGCGUCACCCGUUUCCUACAGGAUUAACAAAUGUUCAUUUUGAGAAAGACAGGAUUUGUAGCGCAUGCCAAGCAGGGAAGCAAGUUGGUGUUCAUCAUCCACACAAGAACAUCAUGACGACUGACAGGCCACUGGAGCUCCUACACAUGGAUUUAUUCGGCCCGAUCGCUUACAUAAGCAUCGGCGGGAGUAAGUAUUGUCUAGUUAUUGUGGAUGAUUAUUCUUGCUUCACUUGGAUGUUCUUUUUGCAGGAAAAAUCUCAUACCCAAGAAACCUUAAAAGGAUUCUUGAGACGGGCUCAAAACGAGUUCGGAUUAAGGAUCAAGAAAAUUAGAAGCGACAACGGGAUGGAGUUCAAGAACUCUCAAAUUGAAGGCUUCCUUGAGGAGGAGGGCAUCAAGCAUGAGUUCUCUUCUCCUUACACCCCACAACAAAAUGGUGUAGUGGAGAGGAAGAAUAUAACUCUUUUGGACAUGGCAAGAACCAUGCUUUAUGAGUACAAGACUUCGGAUCGGUUUUGGGCGGAGGCGGUCAACACCGCUUGCUACGCCAUCAACCAGUUGUAUCUACACCGAAUCCUCAAGAAGACAUCCUACGAACUCCUAACCGGUAAAAAGCCCAAUAUUUCAUAUUUUAGAGUCUUUGGUAGCAAAUGCUUUAUUCUUGUUAAAAGAGGUAGAAAAUCUAAAUUUGCUCCUAAGACUGUAGAAGGCUUUUUACUAGGAUAUGAUUCAAACACAAGGGCAUAUAGAGUCUUUAACAAGUCCUCUGGACAAGUUGAAGUUUCUUGUGACGUUGUGUUUGAUGAGACUAACGACUCUCAAGUAGAGCAAGUUGAUCUUGAUGAGAUAGGUGAUGAAGAGGCUCCAUGCAUCGCGCUAAGGAACAUGUCCAUUGGGGAUGUGUGUCUUAAGGAAUCCGAAGAGCCUCCAAAUGCACAAGAUCAACCAUCCUCCUCCACGCAAGCAUCUCCACCAACUCAAAAUGAGGAUGAGGCUCAAGUUGAUGAAGGAGAAGAUCAACAAGAUGAGCCCCCUCAAGAUAACAACAAUAAUCAAGGGGGAGAUGCAAAUGAUCAAGACAAGGAGGAUGAAGAACCAAGACCGCCACACCCAAGAGUCCACCAAGCAAUCCAACGAGAUCACCCCGUCGACACCAUCCUCGGCGACAUUCAUAAGGGGGUAACCACUAAAUCUCGGGUUGCUCAUUUUUGUCAACAUUACUCUUUUGUUUCCUCUAUUGAGCCACACAGGGUAGAGGAAGCACUACAAUAUUCGGAUUGGGUGGUGGCGAUGCAAGAGGAGCUCAACAACUUCACUAGGAAUGAGGUAUGGCAUUUAGUUCCACGUCCUAACCAAAAUGUUGUAGGAACCAAAUGGGUCUUCCGCAACAAGCAAGAUGAGCAUGGUGUGGUGACAAGGAACAAAGCUCGACUUGUGGCCAAGGGAUACUCCCAAGUCGAAGGUUUGGAUUUCGGAGAAACCUAUGCACCCGUAGCUAAGCUUGAGUCAAUUCGUAUAUUACUUGCCUAUGCUACUUACCAUGGCUUCAAGCUUUACCAAAUGGACGUGAAGAGUGCCUUCCUCAAUGGACCAAUCAAGGAAGAGGUCUAUGUUGAGCAACCUCCUGCUUUGAAGACAGUGAGUACCCUAACCAUGUUUAUAGAUUCUCUAAGGCGCUUUAUGGGCUCAAGCAAGCCCCAAGAGCAUGGUAUGAAUGCCUAAGAGAUUUCCUUAUUGCUAAUGGCUUCAAAGUCGGAAAGGCAGAUCCUACUCUAUUCACUAAAAUUCUUGACAAUGAUUUGUUUGUAUGCCAAAUUUAUGUUGAUGAUAUUAUAUUUGGGUCUACUAACGAAUCUACAUGUGAAGAAUUUAGUAGGAUCAUGACGCAGAAAUUCGAGAUGUCAAUGAUGGGGGAGUUGAAGUAUUUCUGAGGAUUUCAAGUGAAACAACUCCAAGAGGGCACCUUCAUUAGCCAAACGAAGUAUACCCAAGACAUUCUAAACAAGUUUGGAAUGAAGGAUGCCAAGCCCAUCAAGACACCCAUGGGAACCAAUGGGCAUCUCGACCUCGACACGGAAGGUAAAUCCGUCGAUCAAAAGGUAUACCGGUCGAUGAUAGGUUCAUUACUCUAUUUAUGUGCAUCUCGACCGGACAUUAUGCUUUCCGUAUGCAUGUGUGUAAGAUUCCAAGCCGACCCUAAGGAAGCUCACCUUACGGCCGUAAAACGAAUCUUGAGAUAUUUGGCUUAUACUCCUAAGUUUGGGCUUUGGUAUCCCAGGGGAUCCACAUUUGAUUUAAUUGGUUAUUCGGAUGCCGAUUGGGCAGGGUGUAAAAUUAAUAGAAAGAGCACAUCGGGGACUUGCCAGUUCUUGGGAAGAUCCUUGGUGUCUUGGGCUUCAAAGAAGCAAAAUUCCGUAGCUCUUUCUACCGCCGAAGCCGAGUAUAUUGCCGCAGGCCAUUGUUGCGCGCAAUUACUUUGGAUGAGGCAAACUCUUAGGGACUAUGGUUACAAAUUAACCAAAGUUCCUCUCCUAUGUGAUAAUGAGAGUGCAAUCCGCAUGGCGGAUAAUCCCGUUGAGCAUAGCCGCACUAAGCACAUAGCCAUUCGGUAUCACUUCCUAAGGGAUCACCAACAAAAGGGAGAUAUCGAGAUUGCAUACAUUAAUACUAAAGAUCAAUUAGCCGAUAUCUUUACCAAGCCAUGAGAUGAACAAACUUUUAACAAACUUAGGCAUGAGCUCAAUAUUCUUGAUUCUAGGAAUUUCUUUUGAUGUCUUGCACACAUAGCUCAUAAAUAUACCUUUGAUCAUGUCUCUUUCAUAUAUGCUAUGACUAAUGUGUUUUCAAGUGAAUUUCAAACCAAGUCAUAGGUGUAUUGAAAGGGAAUUCGAGUCUUCGGCGAAGACAACAGGCUUCCACUCCACUCCAUAACUCAUCUCGCCGUCGCUCCGAGCAACUCUCCGUCUUUGGUAUAAUCUUCACUCAUAUGUUUUACUUGCCAAAGGGGAGAAAAUAGUUAGAAAGGGCUUAUAUUUCACUCAAAGUAUCCAUUUUUGGCGAUUCAUGCCAAAGGGGGAGAAAGUAUUAGCCCAAAGCAAAAGGACCGCACCACCAACCUAAUUUUAAAACUAAUGAUUUUCAAAUUGGUAUCUUAUUGUGUUCAUAAGAGGGAGAAAGUAGUAUUUUCAAAAUUGAUGUCUUAAAACCCUCUUGAACACUAAGAGGAGGAUUUUAUUAAGGGGGAGUUUUGUUUAGUCAAAGGAAAAACAUUUGAAACAAGGGGAGAAAAUUUCAAAUCUUGAAAAUGCUUCUCAAAAUCUUAUUCAUUUACCUUUGACUAUUUGCAAAAGGACUUUGAAAAGAAUUUGCAAAAACAAAACAUAUGGUGCAAGCGUGGUCCAAAAUGUUAAAAAUAAAGAAACAAUCCAUGCAUAUCUUAUGAGUAGUUAUAUUGGCUCAAUUCUAAGUAACCUUUGCACUUACUUUAUGCAAACUAGCUCAAUUAUGCACUUCUAUACUUGCUUUGGUUUGUGUUGGCAUCAAUCACCAAAAAGGGGGAGAUUGAAAGGGAAUUAGGCUUACACCUAUUUCCUAAUUGAUUUUGGUGGUUGAAUUGUCCAACACAAAUAAUUGGACUAACUAGUUUGCUCUAGUCUAUAAGUUAUACAGGUGCCAAAGGUUCACAAAAAGCCAAUAAAAAGACCAAGAAAAGGGUUCAACAAAAAGAGCAAGGGAUAACCGAAGUGUGCCCUGGUCUGGCGCACCGGACUGUCCGGUGCACCACCGGACAGUGUCCGGUGCACCACCGGACAGUGUCCGGUGCACCAGGGGACUUCAAGCUGAACUCAACACCUUCGGGAAUUUCCAGAGGCGCUCCGCUAUAAUUCACCGGACUGUCCGGUGCUCUAAGGAAGAGCGACUCUGAACUCGCCAGCUUCGGGAAUCCGCUCCGCUAAAAUUCACCGGACUGUCCGGUGUGACAGCGGAGCAACGGCUACUUCAAGCGCAACGGUCGUCUGCAACGCAUUAAAUGCGCGCCAGCGCGCGCAGAGGAGCAGAGCACGCGCGGGUGGCGCACCGGACAGCCUACAGGGCGUGUCCGGUGCACCACCGGACAGCCAAGCGGGCCCACAAGACAGAGCUCCAACGGUCGAACCCUAACGGCCGGGUGACGUGGCUGGCGCACCGGACACUGUCCGGUGGCGCACCGGACUGUCCGGUGCGCCCGUCGACUGCAGCCUUCACCAAACGGCUAGUUUGGUGGUUGGGGUUAUAAAUACCCCCAACCACCCCACAUUCAAGUCAUCCAAGUUUUCCACCUUCCAACCACAUUACAAGAGCUAGCAUUCAAUACAAGACACACAAAAGAGAUCAAAUCCUCUCCCAAUUUUAAACAAAGCUUUAGUGAUUAGAGAGAGUGAUUUGUUGUGUUCAUUUGAGCUCUUGCGCUUGGAUUGCUUCUUUUCUUUCUCAUUCUUCUUGCGAUCAAACUCAUUUGUAAUCGAGGCAAGAGACACCAAUUGUGUGGUGGUCCUUGCGGGAAGUUUGGUUCCCAAUUGAUUGAGAAGAGAAGCUCACUCGGUCCGUGGGACCGUUUGAGAGAGGGAAAGGGUUGAAAGAGACCCGGUCUUUGUGACCACCUCAACGGGGAGUAGGUUUGCAAAAACCGAACCUCGGUAAAACAAAUCCUUGUGUCUCACUCUUUAUUCGCUUGCGAUUUGUUUUCACGCCCUCUCUCGGACUCGUUUACAUUUCUAACGCUAACCCGGCUUGUAGUUGUGAUUAAGUUUGUAAAUUUCAGAUUCGCCCUAUUCACCCCCCUCUAGGUGACUUUCAAUAAUGAUAGCUAUCAGGCCAGUCUGAAGAUGUCACCUUUUGAAGCUUUAUAUGGGAGAAAGUGUAGGACUCCUCUAUAUUGGGAUCAGACUGGAGAAAUACAGUUCUUUGGGCCUGAACUGAUUCAAGAAGUAGAAGAACAAGUCCGUAUAAUUCGAGAGAAUUUGAGGGUGGCUCAAACCAGGCAAAAGAGUUAUGCUGAUAAUAGAAGAAGACCACUGGAAUUUAAAGAAGGAGAUUAUGUGUACCUCAAGGUGUCACCACUUCGUGGAAUGAGGAGAUUCGAAGUUAAGGGCAAAUUGUCCCCUCGCUAUAUUGGACCAUUCUUGAUCUUUAGGAGAGUUGGGGAGAUGGCAUACCAACUCGAGUUACCUGACAGUCUAUCGGAUGUGCAUAACGUGUUCAACGUAUCUCAACUGAAGAAGUGUCUCUGUGUCCCUGAGGAAUAGUUACCAAUGGAUGAGCUCAGUGUUCAGGGUGAUUUGACUUACAGGGAGUACCCGAUCAAGAUUUUAGAUACUUUGACUAGAGUUACAAGAAAUAAGGUGAUAAAGAUGUACAAAGUGCAAUGGAGUCACCAUGGCGAAGAUGAAGCAACCUGGGAAAGAGAAGAAGAGCUUCGCAUAGAUUUUCCCCAUCUUUUCCCUAGAUCUUCCUAAAUCUCGAGGACGAGAUUAUUUUUAAGUGGGGUAGGAUUUGUAACACCCAGUUUGUAACAUAUAAGGAAAGAGGAGAAAUUAACUCCUUUAUCUAUAUGUGUGUUAUUUCUACUUACCAUCAUAUGUGAACACCCCACUUACACAAUUAAAUAAAUACCCCAAAGACACCUAAAUAAAUCUUGCAUCAUGCUGAGUUUUUACUUGAUUGUGCAUUUGUGCCUAAUAAAAUAAAUGUAUCAUUAAUAGCAUAUCAAUGGAUCCAUAGAAUUCAAAGUCUAACUUGAAAAUAAAACCAUGAAAAUAGAGGAGAGAAAGGAAUAUUAUUCAAUAAGUAAAAUUAUAAUUUAAUAACUUCAUCGCAGUAGGUAUGAUCAAACUAAAUAAUUAGUCAGUGUACAAAGGUGCCACAAAGUUUGAAUUUAAAUUGAAGUUUGAAUUUGGAAAGAAGGAAAAGAUAAAAGAAAAGGAAAAUAAAAAGGGAAAAGAAUAAAACCUAACUAGGCCGACUGUCCCCAAUCCAGCCCACUUCUGCUUUCCUCAGCGCGUGACAGCCCAACCUGAAAUUGGCGCCGACAUCUGGGCCCCGCCCGUCAGCCAGUGACGCGCUCCGCUCAGUGCUGCUGCCUGGCAUGCGGAGCCCACCGCUCGGCCAUAGACGAAAAUUGCGUGCGUACCCUAAAGCCUCCCUGACACGCUGGCCCCACUCGUUCGGCCGACUCCACCCGCGCGCUGACGAACCCGGACCACUUGUCAGACGGCUCUGUGGCUCUUCCUUGUGAGCUCAAUGUCUCCCGGCAACAGAAUCGCGGCAGCCUCUCCACCCGCCGCGCGUAAAUCUCGCUGGAGAUCCAACUAACGGGUGCGGACUGCCUCAUCGUGCGGCAAUAUAAGUACCGCCGCUGCCAUACCUCUGCUCGCCCGGUUACAUGCGGUAGAAAAAAAAGAGAGAGGAGAAAACUCCCGUCGCCAUUGGCGUUGGACAGUAUAGGGUAGAGAGAAGGAAGGUGCGGGCGGGUCAAUCACCAGUGGUGCCGUAUGCGCGCGGAUUCAGGGGGGGGUGGGGAGCUCUGUGGGUUCUGGCGCUUCGCGGGGGUGCCGUGAAUUGCUCGCCGGCGUCUGGCUCACAUUGGGGUCGCAUCCCGCCGUGAUUGGUGGUCUCUGCACCCUCAAUCGUGGUAAGAACUCUUCGCCCCAGUUCGUUUUUGUCUCCGCAUGGAAUAGAUCAUACCCGAUGAGAGCUUCAGGCGCGGGGAGAUGGUAUUCGGGUGCGUGGCAAUGGCGCCGCCGUGCGCUGUGGCUGAUGCGCCGCCGUCGUCCGCGAGGAGGCGAGAGGGUGACUGACGUCCGUUCAUCGGGCCGUGGACGAUCAGGAUUAGAACUAGAAUAACGUUUUGGUCGAAAACGAAUCCGUGCCGUAGAUCUGGUGAUAAGCGGUACCGGUUCGAUCACGGGCUCGUUGAAUCGGGACCGUAAGUUUAGGAUCCAACGGCUGCAGACGCGCACCAGUUCAUAACCCGCAUCAAUCUAAUCUGGCACGUAGGCUCUAGAUCGGGCGGUCCAGAUUAAAGGAUACCUGUUCGCGCAGGCAGUUUUGUUAAAGAGCCCCCUGGUAAACAGAAAAUCAAUCUGCAGUCCCUGCGCAGGGCGAAUUGUCUCUUAGAAAAUCUUAUCCCGAGCACCCUAGGUUUCUCUGUUAUAGUGCGCCCAGUCCAGAGCUGUUUUAAUCUGAUUAAAUGAAUUGGAAAUUUGAUUUUUAAUAUGAAAAUAAACCCUAUAACUUGUGAAAUUCAUAGAAAACUCAUAUGAACUCCAAAUUAACCCAUUCCAGUUUCUAAAAUUUUGUAAUUUUAAUUCUCUAUCAUUUAGAGUCUCUGUUUUGUCACUAAAACAGUAAGAAAAUUUAAUUCUCACUUAAUCCUAUUUUAAACACAUAAAACCUUUGAAAACUCAUAUCUUAAAAUCUAUAACUCCAAAAAUUAUGAUUCCUGUUCCUAGGAUUUUAUUUUAAUAUGUAGAUUAUUACUGUGUAUUUUGUGUACAUGUUUGGUGUGAUGUUAAUUUUCUCUAUACACUGUGCUUGUUUGUAUUAUGGCGAGUAGAAGAGACCGUGACUGAGGAUCCUGGUGAGCAGCAGAUAGAAGUAGCUGAGCAGGAGCUCAUUGAAGGCAAGUUGUGCCCUUGAUCACUUCUUCUUACCCACUCAUGUUCUAAUUAAUCAUAAUGAUCUGCAUAGGUUAAUUUUGAUGGGACCCAAUAGGUUACCCUAGUUUGAUUAUCUUUAUACCUUGUUUACCACUGAACUUUUUGGGUAGUACUUGCUAGUGCUUUAUGUGGUUUUGGGUAUGAAGAUACAUUAUUCAUGAUCACACUUUUAUUAUCUAUUUAUUAUUACUAUUCAUGAUAAGAUCAUUAUGUUAAUUAGAACAUGGAGCGACCACCCAGAAAACAGUGCUAUCACAAGGGUUUAAUGGGACGCCCUUGGCUGAUUAAUUAGGAAAGCUAGUGGAAGACUACCUUACCCAAAAGGGGCAAGGGCAGUAGGGGAGUGGUCAGUGUAGGGAGGUCCUUGGGAUGAUUUUGCUGCGAUGGCGAUCAUGCGAGGGAUCCCUGCAUUGGAGCUUCCUAUAAACUGUAGCGGGUUUUCUGAAGCUAGUGGAACUUUGUAAAGGCCUCAUAGUGUUACCCUGCCUCGCCUCCUCGGUAGAGGUGUAUGGGAAGUCGCGAUCCCUUGGCAGAUGAGUAACAUGACUUGUGGGUAAAGUUGCGCAACCUCUUCAGAGUGUAAAACUGGUAUACUAGCCGAGCUCACGGUCAUGAGCAGCUCAGGACUCUCUGAUGAUUAAAUUAUGGAACUUAAAUUCAAUUUUGUCAUUUGCAUAUGCACGGGUUUAUUAUUAAUUUGUUCUAUUACUUUAUUUAAGGUUUGGUAUUUACUUACACUUAGUAACUGCUAAUAAAAUUUUGACCAACUACUUAAAAGCAAUGCCCAGCUUUAACCCGUGUCAUUGGUUAGCCUUACACAUCACAUGAACUCCCACCUUUGUGAGUUCAUGUCCACUGGUUCCCCACAACUUGUUGAGCUAUGAUCAUGUGUGAGCUCACCCUUGUUGUCUCACCCCCCCACAGGAGAAGAACAGGUGGUUCAGGAGGAGCCACAAAGCGAGGAGUUUGAUCUGAUCUAGGUGGCGUUUCUCAGUUGACAUUGGCGCCAACGACGAUCCUUAGUUCGUUUUAUAUUUAUAUUUUAUUUUGUAAUAAGACUUCCGCUAUGUAAUAAAUACUCUGAUGUUUUAUGACAUUUAUCUCUAUACACUCUGUUAUUAUAUAUGUUGUCUUCUUGGCGCAUGUAUGAGAUGCACCUGGCUUUGUUCCUUCAAGCCGGGUGUGACAGCAGAUCACUGCAUCAAAUAUCUGGACUGUUAUGUGUUGCAAGGUUAGGUCAUAAUUGUUGAGAAGGUAAAAUCAUAAGAUUGGGAGCAUCUGAAUUUCCUUUAUUUAAUUUCGUUACUAAAUGAUAUUUAUAUACUUGCUUAGUACUCUACACAGAACAUUUUAUUGUUUUGUCUUCACCACCGAGAAUUCGAGAUCGCCUCCCAUAGCCUCCACAUCCACAAGGUCCUGCUUGACUGCGACGACGUCAGGCAAGUCUAUCACAAACCUUCUAGAGUGAGGCGAGUCGAUCUAGGUACUCAGGCUCUAAUAUUUUUACAAAUCGAUGGAAAGUUCUAAAUCUCCUCAGUCAUAAAAAUAGUCGGAUUGUGGUGCCUUCUGAUAGUAAUCGCCCCCAAUUCGACAAUGAUAGUUUUUCUUCAGAAACUGCAUCAAAUCAAAUGGUCGUGUUCAACUCUGAAGCAGCAGAUGAACUGGGAGAAAAUCGUUUGCAGAAGUCAGUGAUAACAAAGAGGAUAUCACCAUCUAUUGGAGCAUUCACUGUCCAAUGUGCUAAAUGUUUUAAAUUGAGGCUUAUUCCAACAAAAGAGAAAUACGAAGAAAUUCGUGAACGUAUUAUACAGGAACCUUUUGUAUGCAAAAGAGCUCGUGAAUGGAGACCUGAUGUAACAUGCAAUGACCCAGAAGAUAUAUCUCAGGACGGUAGCAGGCUUUGGGCUAUUGACAAACCCAAUAUUGCACAACCCCCUCAUGGAUGGGAAAGGCAGAUUAGGAUAAGAGGUGAAGGGGUACCAAAUUUGCUGAUGUAUAAGUAAUGUUUUUCUAUUAGUGCUAUUUUUGCUCUGAUCUUAUUAUCUUUUGCAACACAAUUUGGUUCCAGUUUUUAUUGCUGUCAUCUUUCCUUUCAGAUCAUUGUUAAUGAUAGAGAAAAUAACAUAAAACAUAACUGCUUUGACGAGUGUGCUAUGCAUUUUGGUUGGAACAUUAUGUUUUUUCCAAAAAUGUUCUCCAAAAUAUCAUGGAUCUAGCCAAAAAAACAAAAAAACAGACAUGUAUUGUAACACCCGGUUUUAGCGGACAAAGCCGGGUGCAUCUCAUACAUGCGCCAAAGAAGACAACAUAUAUAAUCACAGAGUGUAUAGAGAUAAAUGUCACAAUAAUCAGAGUACUUAAUACAUAGCGGAAGACUUACAAAAAUAAAAGAUAAAUAUAACAGGAUCUAAAAUCUAUCCUUGGCGCUAGAAAGUCAACUGGGAGACGCCACCUAGAUCGAAUCGAACUCCCCGAUAUGCGGCUCCUCUUGAACCACCUGUUCUUCUCCUGUGGGUGGGGGUGUGAGACAGCAAGGGUGAGCUCACACAUGUUCAUCGCUCAACAAGUUGUGGGGAAUAAUGUGACAUGAACUCACCAAAGGUGGGAGCUCAUGAAGUGUAAGGCUUAUCAAAGAAAAUGGUUAAAGAUGAGCAUUGCUUUUAAUGUUGGUCAAACUUUUAUUAGCAAUUACUAGAUGUAAGUAAAUACCAAACCAUAAUAAAUAAUAGAACAAAAUUAAUAACAAAUCCCAUGCAAAUGCAAAUGACAAAUUGAAUUUAGGUUCCAUAAAUUAAUCAUGUGAGGGUCCGAGCCGCUCAUGACCGUGAGCACGGCUAGUAUACUAGUUUUACACUCUGCAGAGGUUGCACAUCUUUACCCACAAGCCGUGUUACCCAUCUGCCAAGGGGUCAUGAAUCCCAUACACCUCUACCAAGGAAGCGAGGCAGGGUAACACUACGAGGCCUUUACAAAGUUCCACUAGCUUCAGAAAUCCCGCUACAGUUUAUAGGAAGCUCCAAUGCAGGGUUCUUGCCUGACCGCCAUCGCAGCAAAGUCAACCCAAGGACCUCCCUACACUGACCACUCCCCUACUGCCCUUGCCCCUUUCGGGUAAGGAAGACCUCCACUAGCUUUCCUAGUUAAUCAGCCAAGGGCGUCCCAUUAAACCCUUGUGGUAGCACUGUUUUCCCGGGUGGUCGCUCCAUGUUCCAAUUAACAUAAUGAUCUUAUCAUGAACAUAAAUAAAAUAACAGAAUAAUUGGAACAUGGAUAUAAUGAAAUAUUAACCCGAAACCACAUAAUGCAAUAGCAUAACUACCCAAGUGAAUCAGGGGUAAACAAGGUAGACAGGAUAAUCAGUCUAGGGUGACCUAUUGGGUCCCAUCAAAAUUAAACCUAUGCAUUGAAUAAUGAUAUUAAAGAACAUUAUUGGGUAAACAAAGUGAUCAAGGGCACAACUUGCCUGGCACUUGAGAUUCCAGUUACCAAGGUGAUCUUCAGGUGACUCGUGACCGCACUGCUAGUCGUAGCAAUACAAACAAACAUGGUAUAGACAAAAUUAACAUCACACCAAACAAAAGUACAAACUGAAUAAUAAUCAUCUACGUGUUGCUACGAGACCGCGGGAUCGAGAACUACUAAGAUCGGAGUUACGAUUAGGGAGUUAUGAUUUAUAAAAGUUCUACGUGAUUUAAAUAUUAAACUUAAAUUAUAAAUUGGUUAGGACAAAUCAUAUGAGAUGUUAUUUUAUAAAUAAUUAUCUCAACUUUAAUCUAAGUUAUAAAUUAACCAUAGAUCAUAUUCUAGUAGAUUAUAAUGAUAAGUAGAUUAACAAUACUAACCCACAUAAAUUAAAUAAAGAUCUAAUUAGAAAAGAAUGAGACAUGGUAUAAUAAAUGUUGCUACUGCGUAGUAAAUACUUGUACGAGACUAACGCAACUGGAACGGAUCAAAUCGGAGUUAAAAUAAAUAAAUUAUGAAUUUCCAAAGUUUUUAUGUAUUUGAUAUAAGAUUAAUUAGGAAAUAAAUUUUUAAAGUGGCUUUCAUGUCAAAACAGGACACUAGAUGAUGAACAAUAAUAUUAUAAGAUUAUAAGAACUGGAAUGGAUCUAUUUGGAGUUCAUAUGAAUUUUCUAUGAAUUAAAUGAUUUACGGGAAUUAUUUAUAUACUAAAAAUUCAAUUUCUAUAUCUAUUUAUUCAUUAUCUCUGGUCUCUGGACUGCGCACCAAAAGCAGAGGAAUGCAGGGGCUUCCGCGCAAGAAUCCCGAGACACAGAAAACUCCUGCCAGGACUGUGGGAUGUUUAUGUGAAAGCUGAGGGCUCCAUUGCAAAACUGAUAUCGGACUCCAAUACCACGACACAUGGCGCCCUGCGACUGGCUGAAAUCAUACCACACCCCGGUGCACAUGGUGAGGCGCACGGGAUCCGAUCCACACAAGAUCCCCACCACCGCCCACACGUGCAUAUAAGUGGGAUCGCCCCUGGACCGUCAGAUCGACAAUCAAUGGCCCAGAUCUAAAGUGUCGAAGGGGUAUUUGUUGAUAUAAUCACGACCGUCCAUUAGAAGAUCCACGACCUAGAUUUCUCCAUCCCUGGAUCUAAUCACCGCCACACUGUUAAAAAUCUACGGUUCUCAACCUUUCUUAGCUCUAUCCGCCCUAGGCUGUUCGUUAUAAGAUCAACGACAAUAACAUCUUCUUCUUCCCCGAUCUCGCGCUACGGUAGUCUGCCAGUCGGGUCAAGCGAACGGUGAUCAGGCGGGUUCUAGUCUACCGGCUGGAGCACUACCAGGACCUACACAGUACAGGAACGACGACGAACAGCCAGAACCUUACCGGCGUCAGUAGUGUAGGCCGAGCCGCCCACGGAGUGGUCUGCACGAUGGAGUGCCCAGGCGGUGCGUCAGCUCCCGACACAAUGAUGCCCAGACCACUACCGAAGAAAUGGGGCCGCCGUGGAGCGCCCUUGCCGGACUCCCGCCCUCGGUUUCCCCGAACUCCGACCGAACGCACCAGCAACGAACCCGAAGGUCACCGGCGAGCUCGAUUCUUUCUCUCUCUUCGAUGGAGCUCGGUGUGAAUUCACCAAUGGCGGCGGAAUUGGAGCUGGCAAUGGACGGCUCAGGGAACUCUAGGGGUGUGUCGCCGAUGGGAUUUAUAGCUAUGGCGAGGGGCAAUCGGGCCUGAGAGCAGACGACUGACAUGGAUUUAUACCCCCGCCGAGUGGGAUAAGCACAGCGAACGGCGCAAGUCUGUUGCGCCAUUGCCGCGGGUGCUGUUACGGUUGAGCGGAGGGAUGGGGUCUUCGCGCAGUGGGCCCACGCAACAACCAGCCGCGGAGCUCGGCGUCUGUUGCGAGGAUUCCGGCGUGGUUCUGUUGUGUGCGAUUGAAGAGGACGCUCCUGACAUCAGGGUCCCACGUGACAUACGUACGAGCGGCUCGGCGUCAAGUUUCCCAGGAAUCACGCGGCGCAAGGAGCGGCUGGAGGGGUGGGUCCGGUUUGUCUGCGAGAGAAGAAUGAGGGAAGGAACAACAAUGCCACUGACAAGUGGGUCCCACACGGCAGGGCACAAAGUGCACGCGCAAAAGCAGGCCGCAGCAACGGUUCCACUGGGCCGAAAUGGGGAGUGGUAGCCCAGUAGACAUCUUAUUUCUUUUUCUUUAAAAAUUCCUGUUUUAUCUCCAAAUCAGAGAUUCAAACUAAAUUCAAAUUCUGGUUUUGAUUUUUUUUUCAGUAUUGCAAAAAUUUAAUAGAAUUCUAAAUGUGAAUAUAGUUCAUACUGUUUGCCUUAUUUAUUUAUUUUUCUUCCAUUAUUUUCACUCCUUUGCUCCUAUAUUUUAAUCCUCUAACUAGAUUUUUAAAGUUAUGCUUGUUUCACUUAUUUGUUUGAGUUUUAAUGCACAAAUAAAAUCUCCCAAAAUGAUGCAUAGAUUAAUUGCUUCAUUAGUUACUUAUUCCCUUUAAAUAUGAUUCUUAAUAUUUCUCAUGCUUGGGAGGCAAUACAUAUAAAAAGAUCUAUCUCGUACUUUUAUUGUCCAUCAUUUGGGUAUUACAUGUAUGUCUGUAGCAUCAUGGAUAAAAAUAUUGACCUAUGAGACAUACUUACACAAUUUUACUGCAUUUUCUGAACUUAAUAUGUUUGUGAACCCUGUUAUGGAUGGCUACUGUAGUGGUACUGUAGCGGGCCUUCUUGGGCCCUGACAAACCCUCUUCUAUUUGCUUUCAGAUACUAUACCUCUCCUACUGGAAGGAAACUUAGGUCUCUGGUUGAAGUCGAUAGGUAUGGCAUUCUAAUUUCUUCAAAACUUCCUUGAAUACCAUCCUUUUAUCAGUGAGCUUUAUAAGUUUCCUGAAAUUGCACUGUGAAAAGUUGCAACAUCUUGAAUUCAUGAGCAGAACUUUCACAGCAAUUAUUGUAUGUUGUAAGGCCUUUAAUGACAUAUUACGAAUAAAUAGUAUGCAGAUGUUAAUUGUACCAGUUAUGCACUGCCUUUAUUCCUUAUAUUUCUGAAUUGUAUACAUAUGCUUCAACAUGUCUGUCUUAAAGCCUCCAUGUCUUACUUUGUUCCUCCGAGAGAAUCCAUAGUAUGUUGCACAGGGUGUAACUUUAGCUCAGUUUUCGUUCCAGAUACCUAGACCUCAGGACUAUGUCAAAAAGAAACCGAAGUUGAUAAGUGCAAGUGAUGAAGCAAGUACAAUUACCUCUAAGUCUUCUGAACCAGAAGAAGGUCUCUAAUUCGGUAUCAGCAAACUAAUGAUUGUUUUCCAGUGUAAUGCAUGCACUAUUGAUUCUUUGAUGAAGUUCUCCAAUUUCCAUGUUAAUCCAUGAAUGAUAUAGCUUGAAACACAUGGGCAGACAAGCUGAGGUUUGGAAUAUGAUUGGCUAGGAUGAUGUAGCUAUCCGGCAUCUUACUACUUGAUUAGUAUGAAGCCCUUGUUAGAUAUGGGAGUAGUGAAUUUAUUUAACCUGUUGAAAUGCUUUUGUGGUACAUAAUAAUUCAAAUGAUUUUUUUGUGAGGUUAUUUGGGUUAUGGGAUUUGUUGGGAAAACUUUUUCCACCCCCAUCCCCAAAAAAACUAUAUAAACAGGCCUUGCUAACUGCCGUAUGUUGGGUAUGUGUACUAGAAAAUAUCCUUUAAUGUCCUGGCAUCUCUAUUGUACUCUCUUCGUUCCAAAUAAAAAGAUUUUGUCUUUUCUAGACACAUUAUUUUUACUAUGUAUCUAAACAGUGUAUAUCUAGGUGCAUGGUAAAAGCUAUGUAUCUAGAAAAGUCAAAAUAUCUAAUAAUUUGGAACGGAUGGAGUAGACACUAAGACAAACGAAUUAUUUCAUCAUGGUUACUUACUGCUAAGUGUUAGAUUGUGCAACAAGUUCUCUUCUACAUUUUAAUAAGAAACUUAAUUAACUAUGCCAUGGUGUUGUUGUAUUGCAGUAGUAUGUACACUGCUAGACUCACUAUACUUUUCUGAUUAAACAUUUUUUCAGUGAACCCUAUAGCCUGGGCAGUUCCUACAAAACAUGAGGGCGAUGCUAGUGAAGAAGCUUCUCUCGCCGAUGAGACACUUGCAUCAGAAGUAGUGCUAACCCGGAAGAGGAAAAUAGGAAGCUCUUUGUCAGUAGAGCCAAACCAUCUCUUUGAUGAAUUUGAACCAAAGUUCGAGGAUGCUUAAACCUGCAGGUAGUUUCUUAAACCUGAUUCUAGCUACAUGUUUCAUAUUGUGGCACAAGAACUUUUAAGAACAUAUGCUGAUGCCCACUGUAUUUAGUUACUACUUCAAGACCAACUGUAUUUUAGUUACAAAUGUGGUUUCAAGAUUGUAGAAAUUUGUAGCUGAAAUUAUCCACACCAUAUUUGUGAAUUGACAUCAUUUCUAAGAAUAUUACUGAUUAGAAUCUUUCACUUUUAUAAUGCUUUGCAGGAGUGGCCCCUCUGGAGUUGAAUAUGCAGUUAUAACCAAUUUUUACCCCUUUUAUCCUAGAAGAGUUGCCAAGACACUGUAUAAGACCAUGACAAUAGACUAAGAGAGGAUUUGGCUCUAAUUACUAUAUGUUUUAUUUAUGCAGUCCCAUGAGAACUUUGAGUAUUUGAAUAUAUAUAUAUAUAUAUAUAUAUAUAUAUAUAUUGUUGCUUGAGAACAAGUAUGUACAAUAGAGGCUUGACAAUUUUGUGAACUUGAGUUGAACAUGAAUUUUGAUGAUCACAACUCACCAUCCCUUUCAAUAUGCUUAGAAUAUAGCUUUUUAUAAUUUUCACCCUACAAUACAAAAUUGUUCUAUGAAGGCCAUGGUACAUUAUCAUAUCCUGUAUUAUCAACCUAGGAUUUGCCUAUUUCGAUUAAUAAUGGCAUUGAGUCAAAUUUUGGUUGUUUCAAAUGAUAGACUUCGACAUUUGUUAUGAUUUAUGAGUUGAUUCUUAAUAGCAUUACUAAAAAAUGACCUAUGUAUACACAAGUGUCUUCCGUUGCAACGCACGAGCAUAUACCUAGUUAAACCAAUGAAAUGUAGAAAAGAGAGAGAAGAUUCAACAAAAUUAGUGUUAAUACAUUACUGAAUCUGUUGCGAUGGUCUAUAAAAGGCUCACGAGUAUCUUACCCGUUGCAGAAUAAAUAGGCCUAGACAUAUCUUCUCUGGAGCUUCCAAGAAACCUUGCCAAAAGUCAAUCGCACUGUUGAAGAAAAAGUAUGGACAACUAAGGAAUCAACCCGAUAUAUAAUUUUCGGACCAACUAGUACAAGGUGCCCCGGUGCGUGACGGACGCGUGGGAUCCAGUCCUGCUCAGUCCCGCGUGUCAGUGACUCAUCCACAGAUUGAGAGGAUCCCAAUCCGUGCGUGACGUUCCCGCCCAUCAUCGAGCUCCUGGACUCCCGCGUCGUGUCCAGCCACUUCAGCCCCGCGCUGCCGCACUGGCACUGGACCGCCGGCCAGCGCUCCGGCUCCGGCUCCGACUAGACACAGCGGCAGGCUGGUGAGGCGUGUCCGUGUCCGGCGCGCUUAAUUAGACUGUGGAAUCAUCUGCUGCGUGUCGCAGACGUAGAAUGCCCGUGAAAACUUAAAUACUAUUUGUUAAUUUUGGAGUUUUGAGCACGUGCUGCCAGUUAGAAGCGUGCGGGUAACUUAACUCGAUGCGAUGAGAGUUGGGCUGCUUCUGCUUGAACCGAUCAGCUGAAGCAACAGUGUACGCAAUUGUAUUUCCGGUCCGGUAGUAGUGGCACUGCUGUCCGUAUCACUUAGCAGUAGGGAGAACGCAGCUAAUUUUAACGUCCAUCCAAAUCUGUGCGGGCUGUGCGCCUGCACAAGACAAGAUCUUGCUGCGAUAUUCCGAUUACUACAACCGGCUAGGAGCCUGUGAAGAAAGCUUCGUAAUACAUGAUUCAGUCUUGACUCUUGACUAAAAUAAAGCAUAGAUAUGAGCCAAAGACCCUUAGAAUUUGCCUCAUUACUGGCACAAACGAAGUGCUUGCCGGCUAACCAUAGCUGAUAGCUCAACAGCUUCUGUCCCUCACCCUCUGAUCUUGUGCUGUGCGGGUGUGACCUCUUGUGCAGUUGUGCGACGUUGACGCGCGGACGAUUAAUAAACUUUUGUGCUGAUAGCCAAAGACCUCUUGUGCUGCGUUGUCAUUUGUUCACACUUUUGUGUCAUGCUCGCCUCUUUCACCUUCUGCAUUGUCUCACUUAAUUUCCGACUGCAGGGAAGAAGAAAAAAACCGUUAUAAGGUGCUACAUAGAAAAUUUUAAUCUCUUGUUACAAAUAACUGUGGUAAACUUAAAUUACGCACAUAUAUAGUCAUGAUUUUUCUUCAUGUGAUAGAAAGUAUGCAAAAUAAUGAGCUAGCCAAAAGAAAGAAAUAUCUUUUUAUCAGAAACAAGUAUAAAACCAAGUUGGGUUGUUCAUCUUUACUACUCUAUUAAGAGUACAACGAAGGCGUCCACACCCCUUGCCCCCGCCUACCCCUGCCCACGCGUCCGCCAGCUCGCCCACAGGGCGAGGCAAUGCCUCCGCCCCCCCGCCCUCGUCUUCACCCUCAGCCACGCAAUACCCACCCCUAGCCUUCGCCCCAACAGAUGACACGCGACUGUCGCGCCCCGCCCGCUUGUGGUUACCUCCCCCUCCCCCACUCGCGACACAUGCCCCUUGCCCCGCGUGCGUCGUCUCCCGUCACACCACCCCCUCGGUCGCCUCGACGUCGACGCGAGGCUCCAGGCCAUCGGGGACGGGUCCGGGGAGGGGCUGCCCGAGCAGGCCACGGUCUACGACGGUGCCUACGAUCCCUAGACCUUGGAGGACACCGACGUGUGUGAGGUCCUACCCUACCCCCGCCCGUGUGCGUCGUCUCCCCUUGUGAACUUGUGAUCUAUUUUGUUUAGAUACUCUAUGAUUUGAAUUUUCCCUCUUUUUUUGUUAUUUGUCUUCCUUAACUAUAAUGAUUGUGAUGAAACUUUAUUGUUGUGUAAUUUCUCAUCUAUGUUACAAGAUAGCUAUUCACCACUUUGAGGUCUGAAAUAAAACAUAACAGCACUCUUAGGCUCACUUUGAGGUUUGAAAUAAAACAUAAUAGCACUCUUACAUGAUUACCACAUAACUAUUCACCACUUUGAGGUCUACAGGUCUCAGGCUCACUUUGAGAGGCUAGCAGAUUUGCUUACUUCAGAUAUUUUGAAGUCUUGUACCAAGCCACCAAGGAGCAGGGUUGCAUCAGUAUUACUGCCAAUGAUGAUCCAUAUAAUGCUAAUGAAAUGAGCCCAAGUGACCAAAGACAAAACCAUGUUUCAGCAUCGAGAAAAAGCCUAUUUCCCUCCCAAAAAGUGAAGAAGUAAAAAUUGGUAAACCUACAUUUCUAGAAAUAAAUUUGAUACUGGAAUGUUAUUGUUUAUCCAUAUCAGUUAAGUAUGUCAAGAUAGUUAUUACUUAUUCUCCACUUUCCCCUCUUAUUGGUUGAUGCUUGACAUAUCUCCUGUUCUAACACAUUUUCCAUGCACAAAAUUUUCUUUUUCAGGGAAGAGACUAAGAGAGAAUGACAAUGAUAUGAUCCCAACACUAGAGAACUAUAGACCUGAAGAUGUUGUAGCAAGGGAACUGAUCGACCAGAAUCAUUUACAACAAAGAAGUUAAGGGAGGGUGACUACGAUGAUGAAGGAAACAUUGUCUCUUCAAGCAAUAUUUUUGCGUAUAGGGUGAUACAUCUGCCUUGUGUAAACUCAUUUAGCGAAAUUGUGUAUAAUCAUCUAUUAAAUAUAUCAUGAUCUGUUGCCUCAUUAUGUUAUUAGAAGAUGUUCUCUUUAGUGCUCUUUGUUAUCCUACAUCUAUUGUAGUUCUGUAAAUGAGUGAACCUUACCAUACAUGUCUCAACUUGUAUUGUCUCUCUGUUUGUAUGUGGAGAAAUUUCUGAAUGUGAAUCCAGUGUCUGAACAGACUUAAUUAAUCGUUGUCUGCACAGGACUAUGUUUAAACAAGGUUUAGCUCUAUGAUAUAUAUAGAAACCGUAGCAACGCACGAGCAACUAACUAGUAAGAACAUGAAGAUGUCGAGAUCAUGCAACUAAUACAUUUGGUUUGUGUAGAACUAGCUUGGUUUGUAAGGUGCUGCUUGGGCGAGGGUCGUAAAUGGUUUUACAUGGGGCGCUAUGAUUUUAUUUGGAUCCCAGACAAGUAAUAUAUGCCUACUGGAUGCUCCAGGAUAAAAGGGUGAAUAUAAAUCUGAGUCAUGCUUAAACAAAGCCUAAACACAACAACACUAUUUUUUUUGUUAGCUUGCUGCAUAGUGUUGCACUGUCUUUAAAUCAUGAUAAAACUGGGAUAUAAUUUGAGCAGCUAAGCCUAACCUAAUUACAACAUGUCAAACUUGUUACCAAAUUGGCUAGUCAUUACACCUAGCACAGAAAUCACAGCGAUACAUCAACAUGUUAAAUAUCUAGCCACUUGAACACCAAACCACCAUCAUGUUACGAAAUGUACCUUGAGGCUGCUAAACACAACAAUAUAAUAACCAGUAAUUAAUUUAAGAAUGAAUAUGCCAAAUUCCUACAAGCAAAAAAAGCAACAACUGGCUGUGCAAAGUGUUGCAUGCAAAAAACAAUGGCAUAGAUAAACUAAAUACAUGAGGAGAUGCAGUAAUACCUUUUGAUGGCGUCUUCACUCAAGUAAGAGGAGAACUUGCUGGCAAUGAAGUCAUGAAAAAUGAAAUAGUUCCUGCAAUCCCUUUUAGGAGGGUAUCCUUCUUCUUCUUCUUCGUUGAUAUAGAUGGAACUCGAUAGCAGCAACUUAUUCCGCAUGUUGACUUGAACCAUCCAGAAAGGGUCACGGAACUUGUCCUCGAGGCGGAAGCAAAUGACAUCUGGAUCAACCAAGCUCACCACAGGAAAACUUGGCAUCACUCGUGGGAGGCGACUCUUGGCAGUGUCGUCGUAAAGAUUGAAGAACUUGUUGGCUCCCAUGGUCAAGUUGACAUCCUUCUCCCAUCUAUCUUGGUGGAUAUCAACCAAAGUCCAUGUUUCUAUGGUGAAGGGAUAAGGAGAAGGGUGCUCUUUGGUAAUAAUGCAGACGAGCUUAAUGAUGCCACCCACCAUCACAGACACUGAGACGCCGAAAGGGAUCAGGUUCACCGUCCUUGUACACACGGCCAGUCUUCAAA